This 89318-nucleotide long non-coding RNA is filed under the name Prunus persica (peach). Its description in RNAcentral is "long non-coding RNA (PPER_LNC001510)". The record is from RNAcentral. Lineage: Eukaryota; Viridiplantae; Streptophyta; Magnoliopsida; Rosales; Rosaceae.
UUUUUUUUUUUUUUUGGUUGAGUUUUUUGUAUAAAAUGGUAUUAACAAUAUACUUCUAUGACAUGGUAUUAACAAUGUACUUUUAUGAUAUGGUAUUAACAAUGUACUUCGAGCUUGCUAUGCUUGUUUUGGGUUUUUUUGGUGGCAAUCAUGUAAUUUAUAGGAACUUCAGUACUUAUUUCUUAUGUAGUAAAUAUUUUUUGGGUAUGUUUCUAAAUUGUAUUCCAUAUGGGUUUUUUUUAUUUUUUUUAUUUAUAAAUUUCAGCCUCUAUUUUGGGUAUAUUACUAAAGCUCCCAAUAAAUUUUAGAAGAUAAUCUCUUGAUUUGAGUCCAAAUUGGGUCAAUUUCAAAUUUCUUUUAUUUAUUUUAAUUUGAUUAUUUUUGUUUUCGGGCUAUUUGGGAGUACUUUUGAAAAUGCUAAGCGCUUCUAAUAGUGUUGGAGAAAAAAAAAUUAUAAGUGCUUUGGAGUCACAAAUGCGCUUUAUAGGUGAGUCUUCAAGAAUCAUUUCAAAAAAUUUGGAUAUUUAAUAUAUAAAAAAUUGACGUUCUUUAAACAAAAGUGCUUCUACAAAAACUCUUAAGAGUAGAAAUGGUGCCUAAAACGUAGUCUAAAAUGAGCAAAUUGUUUAAUUUUUGUUUAUUUUAUUGACAUUAUCCUAUGUUUGGAUGGAGGAAAAUAACUCGGAAUUUAGCUAAAAGUCGGGAAUUGAAGAGAAGAAAUUAGUAUUUCCAUUUUUUUAGCAACUUAAGGAUGAAACUUAAUAAAUGACAAGCGGAAAAAAUCGUGGAAAUUAGGGAUCGAGAUUCUCAAGUUUAAUUUCCUCCAAAAGAGGCGUCAUUUUGGAAUUUCUAUUGAGCCAAAAUUCGUUUUUCACUGUAAUUUCUGCCAUUUACAAAAUUCGACAUACAUAAAUCCAAACAUUGAAAUUAUUAAUUGCUAAAAAUUUAAACCGAUGUAGAUUUAAAUUCUGUCAUUUUAUAAUUCUAUGCAAUUUUUAAUUCCUUGAUUCAAAUGGAGGGUUAACAAUGAGUAACAGGUAAAAGAGAAAUUAAACAAUUAGUGGCAAGUACGAAGAAAUCAAGUACAAGACAGAGCAUAUUAACAAUCAAUAUAAAGCUUUCUGUUGGAGAACCACUAUUUCUAAGAUAUUUAUCAGUAGCAUUGAUCUCUUGUAGAAAACAAAAUAGCAGUUUGGUGUUUUUAACUGUCAACUAACAGAUGCCAUGCAAGUCACAGCUGCAAAUGGGGUGUUGGCAAAUGGCAAAGUGGCGAUUGGCAAUGGCCGGCACACAAGAAGACCGACCCAGAAGAUACUCAAUGAUUGAAUCUCUCUGAUCUGUCAAAAAAAUUAAAGACAUUAAAAAGAAAGCUUCAAGCUCAAGCUCAAGCUCAUAGCUAGCUAGCACUUACGUGGUUGGAGGGCAGGUGUUUAAUUAUUAAUUAAAUAUCAAUAAAAAGACUCACAUUUCUCUUCAUUUUGAUCAUCCCCUUUUGCAUUAAUCACAUCUUUGAUCUCAAAUUCUCAGUCCCCAUAUGGCAAACCCACCUGAGAAAUUGGCCUCAAUUCACGAAGUUUCUACACCACCGGAAGAGAGUUAUGAUGACUUUGAUGAGGAAGAAAUAGCUCCAUCUUCUUCUUGUGGUUGUUUAUGGGGAUUUUAUUUUAGAGCACUGCGUGGAAGAAGCAACAUUGGAACACAGAGAUAUCUACUGCAACAACAAGGAGGAGAUCAAGUAAAAGAAAAUUGGUUGGUGGAGAAUGCGAAGAAAGUACGAGAGUUUUCGGAGGUUUUGGCAGGACCAAAGUGGAAGAAUUUCAUCCGCUCCUUCAGUACAAUUUACAAGAAAAGAAGGGUGCAAUUUCAGUAUGAUCUGCAAAGCUAUGCGCUUAAUUUCGACGAUGGGGGGUUUGACAGGGAAAUAGAGGGUAAUUCUUAUCUUCAUUUUUCGAAUGCCGGAUAUGCAUCUUGUCCAGGGAUGAACAAUGCCAAGUUCUGAUUUGCUAACACUCCCUGUCCUCAUGUUUGCUGUUGUUGCUCUUGCACAGUUUUAUAUGUGUUUCACGUAUAGAUUAAAAUGAGCUACUUGUUUGUUUAUAGAGAUUGUUUAUUAUUCACUCUUUCAUUUGAUCUGUUUCUGACAAAUUUAUGAACAGCUAUAUUUUGCCAGUACUUGAUUGUUUUAUGAUACUUCUUGUGUAUAAUUCUCUGGGCAUAUUUUCUAAAGUUCUGUUUCUUGUUAUGUUCUGUUAUCUGAUUUCUGUGGUAGUUGCCUCAGCUUCUCCAAACCAAUGCCAUCUAGAGAAAUUGGUGCAUGGUUUUUGCACAUACCUCUGCACCAUUAUAUACCGAGUCACUUCACAACACAAUCAAAAGAAAUUGAAACAUGAAGCAGCAUGAUCCAUGCCAUCUGGUUGUACGAAAGAGCGUCAACGAGGCCACUUUAAAAAUUUACAUACCUUUAUUUACUACAAAUUCAUCUCUACAACAAAAUGCCAUAAAGAAAAGCUAUAAUUUAAUUUAAUCACCAGUGUGAUGUAUGUAAGGAACCAUGCUCAGGUCAUUGCACUGUACACCCACCACAACCCCACUUUUCUUAUUCACAGACAUGAAGAUCAUAAACAAAAAAUUGUAAGCCCUCCAGUGGACUAUCCAAUUCAGAUUCAGUAACAUAAUUCCUAAAUACUGAACUCCUAAUGAUAUAUGAUACUACAUGCAUUUGAUCCACCUGCAGCCUUUGAGCAUACCUGUAUAAUGGCUCAUAUUCAGUUUAUCAUCCCAAUCUCAUAAUCAGUGUUAGCCUUUUUCUUUCUGUAGAAUCAAAAUACGAUUCUUUCACUUCAACCCUGUUGUCUUCUUCCAUGAAGUCCUAUGCUAUCACAGUUUCUAUGUUGAAAUUACGGAUGUAGUGGAAGCAUGAACAAAUAAUCAUUCCAGGAAUGGCUCUCGUUUCCUUUUCUCCAUUCAUCCGAAUCGAUCACUGCUGUUUUCACCUGCAUUACUUCUUUUUGAAUUAAGGUUGGUGGGACGCUCAUGAGAAAUUUAAAGUUCAGAAGAAUGCAAGGUUCAAUGAAUAUACCUUUUACGUUUGCUCUUCAAAACUGUGGAAGUUGAAGGAUUGCUGUGCCAGUUCCUCUUCCUCUGAUUGAUGAACCAAUUGUUUAUCUGCUUUAAUUGCAAACCAGUUUCCUGUACCAACCUAGCCUUGUCUUCCUCCUGAAAAUUUAUAUGAAAACCAUGGUAGUUAGGUAUCGAAGGGCAAAAUGUGAAUGCAGUUGGCUUACUAAAGGAUUGCCAAAGCAGUUUCAGCUUGUAGGCUAGGCUACAAUUUUACAUUUAAACCUGUUUAUAUGUGUUCAUCUUUAAGUAAGUAUUCUAAAGACUCCCACAAGCCUACAAGCAUGGCAGGAAAACCAAAAGACUUUCAAAUCAUAAGCAUGCAAACUCAAAGAGCUUCUCAUUAACCUAUACUUACAGUUGGAUAUGGCCACUUUGAAUGUGAUUGCCACCAAGCUUUUAGCACAGAGGUGGUGUCACCAGGAAGCUUUCCAGCUCGUCUCUUGCGCAAAAUUUCCUCCCGUAUGUCUACGAUUUUCUCCUUGUAACCCUGUGAAAAGUUUGCUUAGAUUGGUAACAGAGGAAAUGCAACAGAUUUACACUCAACAAUUCCAUUUUGUCACCUGCUUCAGCUCAUGCUUCAACUCUUGCCUCACACGCUCCAUCAACGACCUUUCGCUCUCUGUCGGGAUAAGAGGGCCGAAUCCCAUGCUGUCAUGACCCUCCAUGCUUCCAUCAAACAAGUUUGCAUCGCUGUCGACUUGGUCGUCUUCAUCAUCAGACAUCGUAGCACCCGUGCCUUCACCGGGGGAAACUCCUGUUCAUCCAGUUUGUAUAAGAAACUAAAACUUCGGUGCUCAAGAGCCAUGAUCACUACCAUUACAUAAAAAAACAUUACCUGUUAAGCUUUGUAGUGAUUGCUCAAUCUCCCAGCAAGCCAUCACUGCUUCCAUGGCAUGCACCCGGACAUGUUGUUGCAGUUGUUCUUUAAAAGAACAAAGCAACAAAACAUAAUGCCUCUAUAAAAUCAUCAACAAGCAGAAACAAUCAGAAACUAUCAAAAUUAAGUUAACAUAUUGUUAAUUAUGGUAAUUGGGUUUAAGCUUAAGGAUCAAGUGAAGAACAUCAGCAAAUGACUUUGCAGAGAGCAAGAGUUGUCUUGUUGUGGUAUGAAUAUCAGCUUUUGUCUUCCCGCAUGUUUAUUUUUUUCUUUUGUUAUAAAAAGCUGGGGUUGUGUCACUCGAGACUCGCUUUUAUUAUGUUUAAAUUAUAUCUGUCAGCACCACCACUGUCCAUAUCUUGUAGCCUUAAAGCUUUUUCAGAUCCCUAUACCCCUAUUUUUUCAAAAUCUUCAGGAAUCUCAUUAUUUCUUCUCAUGGCCAGAAACAUUUCAACCAUGCCAAGUCCUUCCCUUGUGCCACCAUCUCCAACCCAUCUUGAAAAUUAAAUCCCAUAACUUUUUUGUUUUAAAUUCAACAAUUUAAACUUAACCGCAAUACUUAGGAUCUGUUUGAAACUGAUUCUAAAAUUCUUAAAAGCGUUUUUUGACAAUCAAAAUUUCUUUCGUGCAACACAGAACAAAAUUUCUCGAUUCUCGUUAACUCUACCCAAAAUUGAAGAAAAAUUUCUCAUUUCCAAAGUGCAGAAUUUGUAAAUACUAAAAUUCGUCUGUCCUACUAUAAUCUUACUAAUUUGUGUUCUGAUUGAAAUUAUGAUGCUUAAUAAUUGUUCCAAUUUUUAAAAUAUUCUUUAUAGUCGAUUGGCCAAAUUUGAUGACUCAUUAACAAUUCAAAGCCGAGAGACACAAGUCAGCAAAUUAAGUCAUCACAAAUUCACACAAGCAAUCAAAAAAAAAAAAAAGGCAUACCAUGAACUGAUCAAGCUCCUUAUCAUCGCCCACCAUGCCGUGGCCCAAAGCCGAGUACUUAGCCACCACAUUCUGCGACUGAGCCAGCUGGGCGUCGAUCCUCGGCAGCUGGUCCACCGGCGUGGCGAUCCGCAGGCACGCCACGUGUGCCGACAGCAGCGGCUCGUACAGCGGGUGUGCCAGAAUCUCCGCCUUGUGCCUUGCGUUCUGCCAGUUGAUCAUUCCGCCGUCUCCGCCGCCGCCGCCGCUCUCCACGACGAUGUCUGUCUUGUUGAGGCUGCUGUCGGGCUUGAGGUCGGCGGAGUCGUGGGAGAUGGUGGCGGCAAUCAUGGAGUCGCCCGCGACGGCGGUGACGUCAUCGAUGACGUCGCUAUGGUUGCGGUGGAGGAUGGGGCGGUGGGGCUGUGAGAGCCAUUGGUUGGAGGCCUGGGAGGUGGUGGAGUCGGAGGCGGUGACGUGGAGGUUGAGGAAAUUGGAAGCGCCGCCGCCGCCGUUGUUGUUUGGGCUGUUGUUGUGGUUAUUGUUGGCGUCUGCGUUGGUGUAGUUGCGGAGGAGGGCGGUGUUGAGCCAAUUUGGGGCGGGCUGAAAUGGGUGGUGGGGCUCCGUGGGCUUGGAGUUCGGGUCGUGUUGGUCGGAUUGAAAUGGCUGAUGCUGUUGUUGGGUUUGGUCUGUGAAGUGGUGGAGAGGAAGGUCCUGCUGGGAGAGGUGGUUGUGGUAUGCCAUGAUCGACGAUCAGCUGAGUAUUAAAGUAAUUGCAGAGACAGAGACAGAGGACACUCUGUUUCUCUGUGUUUUACAAAUUAAAAAGGAGCAAUUGUAGAAGAUGAUUCUGAGGACAUGGAUAUGAAAAUUUAGAAGCUUUCUGAGAGUCUGAGAAGAUAGGAGAGAGAGACAAGACAAAGAUAUAUGGCUGGAUUUGAUUAUAUCUAUCUCUCUGUGUAGAGAAACUACACGGUGUGUGUGUAGAAACUUAGAGAGAGAGAGAGAGAGAGAGAGAGAGAGAGAGAUGCGAGCUUUUUUGAGUUUUGGGGAGAGAGAUAUUGAAAGGGUUUAGUUAAAGCUUUGAGAGCUUAUAUAUGGGAUGGUACCAAAAACGUAUAUGAGGAAAUUGAGGAGCUGUUUAGACAGAGAGAGGUUUUUGGACAGAGUGGUUUUCAGGCAAGCAAAAUGAGCUCGAGAAACUGCUUUAGCAAGAAAAAAAAUGGUGGGAUUUUGUGGCAGGUUUUAAUAUUAAUUAAGGAGCCAAGGAGCCCAAGGGUCCCCUAUUACUAUUAAACGAAUAUUUUAUUAUUAUUAUUUCACAAUAUGAUAUAGGAGUUGAAAGAAUAGAAAAUUCGGAUCAAAUAGUUGAUUUUAGAAUAUAAUGGUAUUUUAAUUUCUUUACAAAGAAAAAUAAUGGUAUUUUGAAUCUAAUUAAGGGUAGCAAAGAUUUCUUUAAUUAAGAAGCAAAAUGUUUGGGUUUGAUUGAGUGAAAUUUUAUAAGACCACUUAUUAUAUUUUUUUCCCCCAUUUAACAUAAUAUAUGAGAUUUACUAUUCGGGUAGGUUUUUUUUUUUUAACGGACUAUUCGGGCAGUUAUUAUCAAUCCACCUUUCACUUUAUGAGAAUAAUACUAGUCUUACCACAUUUUUAUAUUACAUGAUGUGGCAGCUGAUAUGUACAUGCCACAUCAGUUAAUUAAUAUGAUUAAUACUUUUUAUUCAUUUAUUAAAAUAUAUUUUAUUGAUUUAAUUAAUGUGACAUAUGAUAUGAAUAUGCCACAUCAUUUAGUACAAAAAUAUGAGAUAAAAAUGUGUUAAGUAUAGCAUUACUUUAUUUUUAAUUUAAAAAAAAAUUCACAACCAGAAGUUAGCAUAGGAAAAAAAGAACAAAAAGUAAAAUAACUCAAUGAAAAUCUUGGCAUAUUAUUAUCGUUGAUGGGGGAUUAAUUUAAUAAUCACUGAUAUGAUGUUUACUUUUGUAUGAAACCCCAAUAAAUAAAGAUGAUAAAGUUUUGUCCAUUUGCGUAGACUUUUUAAACAUCCAUAAAUCGUAUGCGAUUUGAAAUUAGAUGAACUAUUAGAAUUGAAUUAGAUAUUUGUCUAGAAUGAUACAGAAUAUUAAUCCUUACAAAAAAAAAAAAAAAGGUUUAACAUAAUCAAAUAGUUAUUACAAUUAGAACGGAGCUUAAACACGAAAUAAUACUCUAAGUAAAUGCAGCUUAAUCCAAAAUUGUGACCGGUAAUAUCGUGAUUAAAUUUUGGAUUAGAUGAAGAUGAGGCAUGGGGAGACUAAUUUAGCUAAAGAAGUUGCCUACACAAUCCUAAAAUGGUAACAAUUGCAUCAAAGUAGAACCAUAUAAAACAUUUCAACCCUCUCAAUCAAUAGCAAAAUUAAAGUGGUUUUGUGAGAGGACACACUCACCACCCCAAAGUUACUCACACGUGAUCGUCAUACUCGAAUAUUUUGAUGCCAAAACAAUUUGGAUUAUAGAAAAAGCAAUUUUAACACUCCCUCCUCUCACUCCACUACCAUAUGCAUGUAAAAGCAACUUCCCAAUUACGAAAGUACACAAACUGUAUCUAGAAAACGCCCUUAUUAGUUUAUAUUUGUACUGAUUAGUAAUAGUAUCCCACAACUCUUGGAGCGUGCCGUCCACGUCACCCUAGCUAGCGUGGCCAACUACCAAUCUGGACCAUCCAACCACAAAGGCGAUGUAUUGCUCAAAACGGCACCGUAUAAUCACAGGCUUACUGGCUACUGGCUACCGGCUACGGCCGGUGAAGGGGAGAAGAGGAGCCGAGGAUCGUAGAAGGAGGGGAGUCGGGACCAUGAAUUACGUCGCUCCUCUCUCCGGCACUCGCGGGAAAACGACGCCUCGACACGCGUCGUGCGCUGCUCGCUUGGACCACGGCGAUGGGACCCGCACCAAGCACGCGCCAAAACGAGAGAAUCGCAACCUUACACGUGGCGUGCUGUGAGAAGCGGGACCAGUGAGAAUUUUUGACUUCUCUGACAGCCGCCGGCUAAAUCAAUUCGAGAUGUGGUCCCCUUUGUGGGAUGCGGUCCCCACUUUCGAGCCCGGUGGGCCCCAAAAUGGCAAGAUUAGGAAAAGGGUUCUAAAAAAAAUACAAAAUAAAAACGGUGAGGGCCCACUUGGGGGGAGAGCGGGUGCUGCUGUGUGUGGCGUUUAUGGCGAACUGUUCACCUACAUGGCUAAUAAAACUAAAAGGCAAAUGGUCCCCUACCUAGUUGCUCUUUGUAUUUUUCAUUUUUAUUAAAUAUUUUUUCAAUUUUAAAUUUAUUUACUGUUAUAUUUUGUUUGCGGAAAUCCCAAAAUUUGAACUCUAUAUAGAGUCAGCUAUUUAUACACAAUUACAACUUGAGCUGAAAUUUACUUUCUAAAGGCCAGUUUGAUUUUUGUUUUUUGUUUUUUGUGCUAUGAUAUAAAGGAAAAUAAGAGCUAUAAUGGAAGUGAGGAUGAGAUGGGAGGAUGGGAGGGAGAAGUAACAAAUGUGAAAAUAAUUUCAAAUAGAUUUCAAAUUUUAAAUUUUGUUUUCACUUUUGUUACUCCUCUCUCUCAUCUUCCACUCUCAUCACUCCUCUCUCCCAUCUCUCACUCGUAUCUUUCCUAUCAGUCUAAUCUCCACUCUCAUUCUCAUUUCCAUUCUAACUCUUUUUUUUCCUUUAUAUUAUGGCACAAAAUAAAAAAAUUUGAAAUGGUUAUCAAACAGGCUCUAAAUUUGUCCAUUUAAUUAUAGAGGGACAGCCAAUAGCGGAAAUAUGUUUAAAUAUACGUUCAACAUCCUCGUUUCACCAAACCAAAUUGAAGAUGUAAUGAUUCAAUUCAAGUGUUUUAAUCUUAUCAUACAACUUUACUACAUUAUUGUUGUACAGAACGAAUACUUGUCCUCAUUUUUCUUUUUCACCCCUACAAUCUCUCAAUUUUAUUCAUUUUAAAUAUAAGUGAUUCGAACAUACGACCUCGGUUGCAGGAAUAACUACUUAAUUACUUGAGUUAUAAGCUCCUUGUCAAUUUUAUUUCUAUUUCUUUGACAAACAACACAAUUUACAUUCUAGUGAUUUAAUUAAAAUUAAUCUCAGAUCAACAGGAAAAAAAAUCAGCAAAAUCAAUGAAUGGGUGCUUCUGUUUGCACCCACUACUAAUAUUAUCAUAUCAUAUGGUUCUUACCCAUUUUAAAAUUAUUUAUUUAAUUUGAAAAAAAAAAUGAAGAUAGAUAUCCUUUGUUCUAUCCCUUGCUACCAUCUUUUAAGCUCAUAAUUCUAUAUAUAGAUAGAUAUUGUGCGGUUCCUACGUACGUACCUUCACUUUAUGGGACAUAAUCUUAUACUAGUUAAGAUAAAGCCUCGAGAUGAUUAAAAAACAAUUAGACCCUAAACCUAUUUUAUAAUUCUGAAGCGACAAAAGAAGAAAGUAUAUUCUAUGGCAUACGGUCUUGGCUUUGGAUAAGGACUGGUAGAAAUUUAAUGUCAAGUAUGACUUUGAUUUCCUAAUACUUUACAAUAUUAUGAUUUAAAAUAAGAGCCAUGUAUGUACAUAUGGUCCUACAUUUACCUCAUUGUCUUGCCUUCUCAACCAUCUUAAUUAGUAUUGAAUUACCUACACUCUACUCUUCCAUUCUCAAAUAUUCUUAGUUGAAAGGUCGAUGAAUGAGUAAAUUACUUCUAGGGUUUUGACUUAGGUAUGAAUUAAACCAUUUGAUUAUAGCGGGUUCGUAAACGGUACCUCUUUUUAGUAGUAAAAUCUACUUCUAGAUGUAAGAGAUUUGUAAUUCAAGUAUUUGAGGGCAGAUGUUCCCAAUAUUAUUUGUAUAAAAAUAUACUUUUAGGGUUUUAAUCUUGAGAUAUGAUAUUAUAUAUAAUCAGACUAAGAACUUCAUAUCUAUCCAUUAAUUCUCAAAAUCAAUUGUAAUUAUUCACGACACAAUAACAUAAUACGUCAAAUUGUCUAACCUAUGAGAUUAUAGUCCAAUGUUUUUGUCACAAACUAAUUGGAAAGACAAAUCUUCUCCAGUCAGAAAGUCUGACAUAUUUGACAAAAAAUUGUUAACAUAAAUCAUUGAUUAGAUGAUUAGUAUGUGUAUUAGUCUAUGCACUUUAAUUAGACUCGAAUUGAAAACGAAAACUAUCACGGUUUAAAAAAAGUAAAAGUAGGGGGUCAUAUGAAUGGGACAAUUUUACCAAUAUGAAACCCAGCUAAGACGGCUCUUGUCGCAUCUCAAAGAGUCAGUCGCUGUUCCAAGCCAUGCGUGCCUUUUAUAUUCAUUAUUCAUAUGUCAUUUCUUAAUUUUAUUUUAAUUAUAAUAAUAAUAAUAAUUUUUAUUUUAUGUCUAGACCUCAAUCUCAAUCGCUUGUCAGAUACUAUUUGUGUUUGGUUUGGCAAAAAGAGAAAGCAAAAGAAGAAGGCACUAUUUCUCUUUUUGGCAUCAACCCAACAACGCCAACAUUAGUUGGGGAUUAAGCAGAUUUGUUAAUAGAAGUUUCUUUUGCUGGUGACACCUAAUCCUUGGAUUAGAGAUCUUAAUCACCAUCCUUUUUCUGUUGUGGCACCCAAAAAAAAUCAAUCGAGUGUACCUGCAAUCACCAAAUUCCUAUUCAUUGCUUUGUUGAUCAUGACUUGGGAGUUGGUUCAUAAUAAUAAUAAUAAUUUUAAGGGAUCAUAUGCAUAUAUAUAAUUUUCAUUAAUCAUUUUCCACCGACAUUCAAAUUUAUAAAGCUCAAAGUUUUCGUUUGGAAUAAAGGGUAUUUCUCAAUAUUAAUGGCUUGGUCGACUAAAUAUUUGUGUUAAAAAGAAUACAAAAACAUAUGGGUAGUAGGAUGAGUAUUUUGAAAAUGAAAAAAAAAAAAAAAAACAUCACUAAACUAUACUCGUACCAUUAGCUUAUGAUAAUUGUGAACACAAAAUAAGUUGCAAGCACAUAAGCAAGAGUUUUGUAGAGACAACUGUAUACAUGUGUGUGAGUGAUUAUUAGUCGUCUAAUGUGAAUUUCACAAUAGAAUUCACACAAAUAUACAACUGACAAUUACUCAUAAACGCAUGAAAAUAUGUUUUCCUGUUUAAUAGCACAUAAGGGAAUGAAAUAGUUUGUGAGCUUCACAUUAUUAUCUGUAACAUAACGACUGGAAAAAUUACACUAUGAAUGUGUGUUGCAUGCAAUUUAAAAGGGUGUGAAGAAACAAUUUUUCAUUUUUUUCCAAGGACAAAAAAAAAUAUAUACAUAUAAACAGUUCGUGAAUGGUUGUGCAGUCUACACGUGUCAUGCUUCAAGCCCAAACGUUAAGAAUCAAUUGAGACGGUUUCGUAGGGCAUCCGUUACCUGUGACCUGCUCAACGUGUAAUUGGCGGGGUUGUCGAAGUCCAGCGAAUCACAGCCCGCCACAAGUUUCCGCUAGGGACGGGUUUCACACUGGGGCCCACACGUUUUACACGAGGCAACAAGUGAAACCCCAAGUGUGGUCCCCACAUGGAUGAUGCAUGCAUACGACACACUUUCACACUCACUAAUUGUAAAAAACCAAAUGGAUUUGCCAAAAACGUGUGAUUAGUCGUAGGUUGAUUGGUAGAUUGGUAGAUUGGUUGAUCAGGAAUUUGUGUGCGUUAAUUGUGUCUGCCAAGAUUAAGGUUCGUUAUUUUUUAAAUUAUAAGUGGAGCCCACUUAAUUAUGGAGGGGACAGGAUUUAAUUAGGGAUUUAGGAGGAGAGUGGAAAAGGUCUUGUAUAGGGUUUUUGUCUGUGUCCUUGUCUUUUAUAAUUUUUGGAUCCAAUUCUUAAUAAUUAGGGCGUACGUGGGAUGGUAGAUGGGAUUUGUGAUGAUUUGGAUUUUGUUGGCUUGUCAUAAAGUUUAUCGAGCUGUUAUUUGUUUUUUCCACAUUGUAUGCCGACUACUUCUACUCUAAUCCCUUUUCAAUACGUCGUUUGUAAAAUCAUAUUGUAUUUUAAUUAUUCAAAUCGUCUAAUUUUUAGAUAUUUUUUUUAAAGAUUAUUUUUGACAAAAAAUCAUUAGAAUUCAAAAUUAUUUGACAACUCAAUUAAAUAGUUGGUAUUUAUUGUUGUCUUUCCUUGAAGUACUGUGUUUGUUAAUUUUGUUGAUUCCAAUUAGAUGCCUUAAUGAUUUUUAAUUUGCCUGUCUUUUUACAAAGAUGAUCUAUAAAUAAAGACUUAAAAAAUAGACAGUUUAGAUCGUUAAAAAAAAAAAUUCAUAAGAAAUUCUAAAAGAUGUCCGUCGAAUAACGAAUCCCGAAAAAAAAAUUGUACUAUCUAUAUAUGCAAACGUGCAACAUAUUUACACAAUUGUACUCCUAGAAGAGGUGGUAUCUGCUGCACUCCUAAUUUCAUUGGAGUUUCGAGGCGCAUGUUGGGGUCCCAAUUGUGUGCUUCAAUGGUUGGCCUUGAGUACAUCAGGUGUAUGUAGGCUUAUUAUAAACAUUCUAAAAAGCGUACAUGUGUCUUGAAGUGGUACGGAUGAAUGACAAUAGUUAAUCUCAUGUGUUGCAAGUUAUGUUACGUAAACUGAGACCCUCAGCCCAAGCUCGUGUGUUUCGUUAACACAAAUGCAUUACUUUAACAAACUUCAAACUUUUUGACAUACUUUUUAUGAAAAUACGUGACAUGACUAUUAGAUAAUCUAAAUUAUAUUUGGCAUACAUCACGUCUCGAUCGACACCCUUGUCAAAUUCAUAUGUACUAAUUUUUGUCACCACAACAUCCCUUUCUUUUAUCAAUGGUUCUACCAAUUGAUACGUUUCCAUAAAUAAUUGAAAUUCACUUUCUUGAUCUAUAUCUUCAAUUCUAGGAACAACCCUCUUUACGUAUGUCAAUUUAUCUAAACUUAAAUGAGAGAUAUAUGUAUUUUCAUUAGAGUAAGUUUGGUGAGGUGAAUCGGUCUCCCUCAAUUAGUCCUAACGAAAAGAUUCUGAAUUUGACAGAUCCUCCAUCUUUGUAUAUAAAUAUAUAAUAUAAUAUACGUACAGAGAGUUUUAGUUUCGGAUAUCUCAAAAUAAGCUUAUUUGACAAAAUUUGUUACUUGUAAUUUUCAAAUAAUGCUGGAAAACAAAGUCCUCGUUGGUUUCCAAACUCGUAGUUAUCAGAUGGUGUCUGUGGGGUAACAUUCUUUUGGAAGAGACUUGGCAAAAAGGUCAAAGGAAGCAAGUAGGAAAAGCGAACCCCAUUGUGAAUUGAUGUUCAGGAAAAAGAAAAGAGGAAAAACCACUCGUGGAUUCUCAUUUGAUCAAAUACCCCAUUAUUGGUUCGUUUUGACCACUCCAUCUCUCCAUGCAUGAAUAUAUGAAAGUAGCUCAUGAUCUGACUGAUGAAAAUAUAUACCUAUUAUUCAAAAUCAUUGUUGUGCUUUUUCUUUUCCCAUUUAUGCCAAAUCAUUUUCUCUCCCAUUCAUUCGCAUCACCAAGCUACCAUAGCUAACCCUAGCUAGCUAGCCGAACAGAUGAAAUGGGCAUUAAGUUUAAGUGGAAUAUUUUGUGCUUGAUGCAUAGCGUGAUAAUUAGACCAACAGUUGUGAUCACAAACUUUUGUGAUGUGCUUGCCUUCCAAUAUUUAUUGGCAUUGAGUUGUCAUCGAACCCUAAAAUCAACAGGUAGUGAGUGGAACAACUCAGAACAUUAUGCAGAAUAAUAUACUUUAAAAAGGACAGAUGUACAAUUUUAAUUAGUUAUGGUGCGCGUGACGAUGAUGUUACCCCACACAAAGUAUGGGGUGGCCUUAUCCAGAGUUUGAAGAAACGUUUUUCUGUGUUUGGUAUUGAAGACAUUUUAUGUUGUACCCCGUUGAUGCUUGCUUAUCGAGGCGCACUUGUGGCUGAAAUCAUUGAGAAAAUGGUAUCAUUUGGGAACAAUUAUAGAGGGGAGAAUUUGGCAAAAAGUGAGAGAGUCCGGGGAAAAAUGCUCACAAGAAUUAUAAAUCAUACAGAAAUCGCAUAAUUGAGACAUGCAAUUUGCUGUGCUUAGAUUAGAUACGUGUAAUUCAGAAGAUGCUCUUCUACAUCUUCACCGUCAAUGCAUGCAUGCACGUAAUCUUGGGUUAAUUAGAGAGGGUUUUAAUUAAGGAUUGUAAGUAAUUAGGAUCAUGUUAUCUUGUUUGAACUUCAUGUUUUGUUACUGGGUUUUGGAGAUUAAUAGCUGGUUUUUUAAUAUGAUGAUGGGAUUAGGCAGUUGCUAAUUUUACCCACCUUCUUUUUCGACUUCAUGUUCCUUUGCCUCCUCUCUGGCCCCCCCUCCUCUAUCUCUUUGUUAGGCUUUCUUGCAUGGACCACAAAAACACUGAGCAUUUCGUGCAUGGACCACUCAACCACUCACCUCUACUUCACUGUGCUCCUUAACCCCACGCCCCACGCCCCACCCCCCACCCCUCCCCAAGAAAAAAAGACCAAAAAAAAAUGUCAAAAUGUUUGAAAGAUACAUGUGGGAAUCCAAUCUCUAUUCUUGACCUAGGCAUAUUUAACUGCCAAUGUUCCACCCAAUCUUUUAUAGCAUUUGUACUUGGUAUUGUUAAGAAAGGAGCUUGAUCUUUUUGUUAAAAUCCCCUCUAUCUAUCAAGGUCAUUGAAUAAAACCCAAUUGCUAAUUCUCUUUACUAUUGAGUUUUUGGGUGAUAAGGAAAUCGAAUACAAAACUUCAGAUCGAGAGGUGAAUGCUUUUGGGUGUGAGUCGCUAGAUAUGUUUAAGUAAAGUUGAAUGAUUGAGAUUUGAAUUUUCAAGUGAGUGAGAGAGAAAGGGAGAAAGAGGAAGGAGAUGAUCCACCUUUAAGAAAGUUGCUAAUUACAAUUAGCCUAGUUAAUUAAUAUCUCAUGUAAAAGAGUGCAAAGUAGAUAAUAUUUUGUUUUGCAAAGGACAGCUUCCGCUGGGGAAGCGUGAAAACUUACCAUCUUAGGCUGUAAGAAGAGGGAACAAAAGACCCAGAAUGGUAAAAAGGAAAAAGGACAGCAACUACAUAUAUAUAUAUAUAUAUAUAUAUAUAUAUAUAUAUAUAUAUAUACCCCACCAGCUCAAUUCAGCUAAUGUAGGCGAUAUUGAUAGAUGAUGAGGAAAAUAAAAGAAAAGAAAGCAACAAAAGGACAUAUAAUAGAGCAAAGCAAAGCAUGGUUUUGAUUUGAUCAUGUUUUGUUUAUUGCCCUUUCUUCUGUGAUGUCACACCAGCCAUCAGGUGCCUCACAACCCUUUUUAAAUAAAUAAAUAUUUUUUUUAGUACAAGUGAUAGUAAGAGAUGAGGUUUUCUCGCAAACACAACAUAGUCAUGAUGUUAUGAAGAUUCGAAUUUAAGACCUCAGUUGGCAAAUCAAUGCCAUUUUAUAUUUGGCUAGAUCUCGUUAGCGUUCUAAUUUUUUUUAUUAUUAAUCAGAGGCACUUGCCAACUUGAAUGAGCAUGAGUUUCCCUCCAAAAAGAGUUUCAAUUCAAAUGACCCUAUCUUUUAUUUUUUUUAUGAUGAAUUAAGUUUGUGUGCUGCUAUAUUGCAAGAGUGUUUUUGUCAAAUUCUUCUCACCAGUGAGAUUGAAAUUUGUGGACUUUAGGGAAGUUUAUUUUAUGCUAUUUGUCAAUGCAUGCCAAAGAAUAAAUCUAGGCCUUGUGGGAUGAAGCUUGACCUACUUUUGGAAAUUUUCUAGUUUUUGACAAAAUUUGUUCAGAAGGGCUGCUAAGGGAAUAUUGGCACAGUGAUCAUAAAUUUGGAAUAUUUUUCAAAGUACUAUGCAUGAAGAAAUUUGUGUAUGUAUCUAUGGAAAUUGAAAACAUUUUGACAUUUUUAUCAUUGUUUGGUGAAAGUUGUCAAAUAAAAUUGCUGACCACCAAAAUGCGACACUGAAAAUUAAUAUGUAUUAUUUCCAAUGUGUUGGCAUAUCAUCUUCAAAGUUAUCUUUCCUUGAAAGGCAACACAAAAUUGUCAUCAAACAUUACAUAAUGUUGGGUGCUGACAUCUUCCUCCCUCCUCAAUCUUCAGGUUCAUUCAUCCUUGUAUAUUCUGGGCUAGUUAGGCCCAUGCAACAUCUGGGUUUCACGCAUCCCCGACUAUCACAAGAGACCCAAAUAAAACGUGUGAGUACGAAACGAGUUAUAAACUCAUAUGUUUUAACUUCGAACUCUCACAUUGAUAAGAAAUUGGAUUGUAUUGUCUUGAAAAAGGUUUACAUAAAUUUAAGGAGGCGGGACAUAUGCAACAACAAAACAAGUUCACAUGUUACACACAUGUCAUUCUCUAUCAAAAACCACAAUUUAAAAAACACAUUCGUACAAAUUUACAAAUUUAUCAAUCACUUUCGUUUGUGUACCAUUCUAACUGAAUCACAUUUCCCACAAUUUUUUCUGGGUCACAUCGCAUUGUUUCAUUUUCUCUAUCUAUACACUGUUGCCGUACACCCAACUGCAAACCAGAGAAGGACCCUAUUUCAGGGUUCCAACUAGCGCCAUAGGCCCACCAAACAAGCCCAUGUUUACUGCUCCUUUCACCUAACCUAAGGAACAAUCCUAGUACCAACUAUCCCUAUAGAACUUCUAAUUUUAAUUUUAAAUUUUUUUAGGGUCGUAGCUGUUUAGCACUAUUAAUCAAAAGAGAUUUAUGUUAAGGAUAAAUACUCACUUCUAUCCGAAUCGUAUUAUAAGAUUCACUUACAUCAACGGCUGACAGUCACUCACGCACGCAUAAAUGACUGUUCAUAACAUAUCUUAUAAAACAAGUUUCACUUUUACAUGUACAAUUUUUUUUUUUUUUUUGCACACGUGUGUAAACGACGGACCGUAACAUUUCUUAUAAAAAAUGUUUCUUUUUUGAAAAACUUGUCUUACACGUGCAUGUAAGUUAUAAUCAAUCAAAUCGUUUGUCCUGGUCGACAUAAGAAAAAUGACUAUUAUUUUCCCUUUCUUCCAUGUAUGUAACUCUGUUUUGGAUAGAGAAUGACUCGUAUAGCGAACCCAUUGGGCAAUUAUAACAUGUUGAUGUACAAACAUCAUAGAAUUGAAUUGGUGAUGGGAUACAAAUGUGACCGCAUAAUGGAAGAAAGUCUCUCUCCCAACUCUUAACACAGUUGCAGGGUCAGGCUUUUAUCCCAUCUUUCACUUUCAUUACAUCUUCAUCACAGAGAGGCGUGUUCUAAAUUUUAAGUAUCAUUGCAAGUUGAAUUGAUUGCUAGAGCUAUCUUAUGUUUCCUUAUGCGUGCAUAAGCAAUUUUUAACCACUGAUAGAUGUAAAGUGUACAAUUUAUUUAUUAUUGUAUUUCACCACCGUCACGAGCCGCUGACACUAGCAAAUGAAAUUAAUCUUACUAUUUACUGUUUAGCAGCACAUGAAUUCUCUUUUACUUUUGUAUGUUGUUUUGUCUUUGAAAAUUAAAUUGGGAGAAAGUGAUUUGAGGUAUGGUCGGAGGAACCUCUUAAUUUGGUGGCUUGAGCAGUUGAGCUAAUACUGGUGGAGGCCACUUUUACAGCAUAUGACUGUCCCUUAAUAAUACCAUUGCCAAGGGGACCGUGGAAACGAAUCUUAUUCUUGUCAAUUUAUAUAAACAACAAGAAACAAUAACAUCAAUCAACUCACCAAAAUUUCCAAAUUUGUUCACAAGUUUUUUCCAAAACCUCCGAGAGUAGCAAAACUCAUGGGUCCAGUUGACGUACAAUAAUUUUAGGCUCAUUAAGAUGUUGUACAACUUUAAAUAAGUAUACAGGCUUAAAAUUAUUACAGAAAAGAAAUAUAAAUAACAACUGAUAAAAUCAUCGGUAACAUGUUCUGAAGGUUUUUUUUUAUUUUUAAAAUUACUCCGGUCGACUCGGGAGAUGUUUCAAAUUGAGUGAAGACAUAAGAAGCUGGCUGUGUUGAAUGUGCAAUUAGAGGAAGCAUUUUGAUCACCAAAAUCCGAAACAGAAAAUGUCAGCUGAGUAAAAUAUCUGAAAAUAUGAAAUUAUGGAAACUAUGGCUGUACUUGAGUUGAGAUAUACAAUUCUAUACCUUAAACUUCAACAGUGUGAAUGAUACUAAAAUUAUCCGGUCAUACCAGCAUGUUCCAUGAAGAAGAAUUAGAAGGCCAUCUGCAAGAGAGAUCACUAAUUUUAGACUGACAGAUAUUCAACAAAACAUGUCCAUGAAUAAGCUCAGAAGUCAAUUGUGAAGCAUUAUCAAGGAAAGAAUGAAACCUUCAAAUAAAUCUCCAAAUCAUUUCUGUGAUAUUCUGCGUCUGUCGCCCCACAAUCUGGAAUAUGCAAACCAAUUUCACACUCACUUCCCUUGUCCCUUACCCAAUUUCACAAACUGCUCCCCUCACUUCCCUUGUCCCUUACCCAAUUUCACAAAAUUUCACCGAGAAAUGGUUGUCCCUCAGCUACUUUCCAAAUGCUCUCCAGCUAAAGCAGGCAAGUGCAUGGAGCCUGUCGCCGUCUUGAGCUUGUCGCUUAAUUCAUCCAACACCGAGUAGAUCUCUUCUGAUUUAGGGUGUGUCUUGUCAGCAACAAGAAACUCAUGAACUACAUCACCAAUCUCAAUCAUGCUACAUCCAGGUAGCUUGCAAAAACUUGCGUCAACCAUUGCCUGUCUAACUGCUUCAACCCUGUCAAACCUUCCAGCUGCAGCAUACAUAUUUGCUAACAACACGUAGGAACCCCCAUCCAUUGCUUCUAAGUUGAAAAUAUGGUCAGCUGCCCACUCUCCCACCUCAAUAUCACCAUGAAUGCUACAAGCAUUAAACAGUGAUCCCCACACAAUUACAUUUGGUUCAAUAUCCAUCCUCUCAAUGAGCUCCCUUGCUUCUUUUAGAAGUGCAGCACGGCCAAGAAGAUCAACCAUGCAACCAUAAUGCUCAACUUUUGGGGUGAUCUUAUCAUUUUUCACCAUCGAAUCAAAGUAUUGCUUGCCUAUUUCAACCAAACCAGCAUGAGCACAAGCAUGUAAAAUCGAAAGAAAGGUUAUGCUAUCCGGAAUAGCACCUGAUUUUCUCAUCUCGUCAAAGAGCUCUAUUGCAGAUCCAGCCUGCCCAUUUGACGCAUAUCCAGAGAGAAUAGUGUUCCAUGUUGCAACAGUUUUUUUAUCCAUUUGAUCAAACACUUCUCUAGCUGCUUCAAUAGAACCGCAUUUUGCAUACAGGUCUACCAAAGAGGUCCCGAUGAACUCGUCCCAAAGUCCAUUCUUCUCUGCAAAUUUCCGAACCCAAUUCCCAAGAUUAAUAGCUCCGGUUUGGGCACAAGCAGACAACAAGCCUGAAAUUGUGUACCUAUCAGGCUUAACAUCCCAAAAACACAUAUCCUUGAAAAGAUCAAUUGCUUCCCUCGAAAACCCAUUAAGGGAAUAACCACUUAUCAAUGAGUUCCACACCACAGAAUUCUUCUCAGGCAUUCCCUCAAACACUCUCUUUGCAUAAUCUAAACAGCCACAUUUUGCAUACAAGUCAACCAUUGCAGCUCCCAGUUUCACACUUAACCCAAAAGUUACCUCUUUUCUCACAUACCCAUGAAUUUCUCUCCCAAGUUUCAAGUUUUUCGAUACCGUGCAAGCCGAUAUCAAUGCCAAAAUCGCGCCUUCAUUGGCCUCAACCUCUCCCACUUUCACCAUCUCCCUAAAAACCUCACAAGCUUCCAAAGCCAUCCCAUUUCGCGCAUAACCCAUUAUCAUGGCAUUCCAGAAAACAACAUCCUUCGCCUUAAAUUCAUCAAACACCUGCCUUGCACUCUCAAUUUUUCCGCAAACCCCAUAAAAGUUUAGCAAAGAACUACACAAAAACCUAUCCGAAUCAAACCCAAUUCUAACAACCACACCAUGAACCUCCCUCCCUUUCUCCACAGCCAAUUCACUAGCACAAGCUUUGAACACAAAAGGGUACGUGAACUGGUCGCCAACCGCAUUUUCGCGUACCCUCAUAUUGUUAUACAUUGAUAAAGCAACAAAUGGGGUUUCUGAUUGAGAAUAUGCUUUGAUCAUGGAAUUGUAAAUGAAGAUGCUUGGCUCUUGGGUUUGAACCAAGAUGCGUGUGGCGUAGUUCAGAGACUGAGGGAACAGGAAGGAAUUGGCGAUUUGGGUGAGGAUGAAAUGGUUGUAGGAAAGGCCUGAGAUUAUAGAUUUGGCAUGGAUUUGCUUCAGUUGAUUAAGGCUUGUGCAGGUUUCUAUGAGAGCUAGGAGUGACUUGGGUCCCUGAGUUUUCAUUAUAGCAUCAGUGGAUCACUGGGAAUUGUACCAGUUGUUCAGUUUAUGUCACUGUAUGGCGGCGGGGAAAUGAGGAGGGAAACAAGAGUCGUGCAAGGUUUUUUGAGUAACGGCAUUUCAAAAUAGAGACUAGUUUUGAUAACUCAUAAAAUCACAAUAAAAAUUUAGUUUUGACUUCAAAUUCCUUACAUAAUUAUCUAGAUAACAAUAUUUUGUGUUUGAUACCCAAUACAUAUUAGUGUAUUUUAAUAAUGCUUUUAAACAUUUGAUAUUCAGGUAACAUCAAUACAUAAUACUUCAAGAAAAGUGGCAUAACUCUUAGGAAAUAAUCAUUGAUCUGGUUUCGAAAUUAAACAAGACGUAAGAUAAAGACCACAAAUGUUUGUUAAAAAAUAAAGAGACCACAAUUGAUCAAUCCGACGACAAUAAUCACCUGCCAAAAUGUUUGUAAAAAAAAAGUAAAGCCAAAUCGAUAGGUUGAACAGGGUGACAACUUAUUUCACAACAUUGUACAAAAUUACAAUAUGAAUAUAAAUGUACAACAGAACACACCCUAAUAAUAAGAAUUUGUUUUCAGAAGUCGAUAAAAUGGAGGGAGGUUCCCCGGCGAAUCUCAAGAACACAUAACUAUAACUCCUGCCGCUGCCAAUAAAAAGCUGGCAUUGUUUACUGACACUGAAAGCAUUGUUCCUCUACUCUAACAUAGUACAUUUUGGGAGCUAAUCCAGCUGAUGUUUUUAGUGGGAAGAAUCAUCAUGCAGUCCCAACAACACGAACAUGAUAUGGGGGCCCACGGCAGAAAAUCGGCUCAUCGGAGGAUUUAGUUCUUGCGCGAGCCCUGAGAAUAUCAUUAGCAUCAUCGAUCACCGAGGCCGCUACCAGUGUGUACUCUCCUGGGACAAGAAAAUACAGAGAGAAAGAAUGCUUGAUUUCUUGAAGCGAAGGAACCUCCACAUUGAUCCCGCUCAAAACACCUACAUACAAAUCAAUCGUAAAACACAUCAGUGACACAUUGUAUUGCAUCUAUGAAAAUUGCAAUGGAAGUUCUAAUAACACUGAUUGCCAAACAAACAGUUUCAGAAAUAAACAAAAAAUAGGCAGGAUUAAAGAGGUGAUUGAAGAAAGGCAUCAUCAUAGAACAUUACCUGAACACAAGACAGUUGCCUUUGUACCCUCUACGCAAUUCUCUCCAGCAACAUCUCGGCAUGUGAUGCUAAGACUCAUCUUGAUCUUCUCCUUUGUGUUAUUACGAACCACGACUUCCAUCGGAGUCAUUUCAUGCGCCAGCACAGAACCCUUAGCUGCAGCAGAGUGAACUUGAACAUUGGGAGAAUUGUGCGAACUAGAAUUUUCAGGUUCAAGGGCAUAUCUAGAAAGCCUGAAGCAAAAUGUCAAUGGGUCUGGCAGCAGUACAUCCAUAACUGAUGUCUGAAGGGCUGCCUGUAUAGCAUCCUUGAUAUUUAGCUCCCCAGAGCUGUUCCGCCCUGAUUGCCACCUAACCUUUAUUUUAGAUAUGAGGUUCUUGAUAGAAGCAUUAAGUUCCGCUUUAGUAUUCCUUUCUGAAAAGCUUGAAUUUCUGCCACUAUUAGCCCCAUCUGCCAGAUUAUCCUUCACAAAGAAAGAAUCAUCAAGAACUGGUAAUUUAAAAUGCUCCAGUGGUAUCAGUACCCUUGCGGAGCAAUCUCGAUCAAUUCUUGUUUUAGGGUAACCAUACUCAGCAGCAUCUCGAUCUCCAGAAAGUCUAUGAUCAUGACUAAAGUUCUCCAGCUGGACUGAAACAGUAAUUUCAAAGACAACAUCAGUGGGAUUAGACAGCUCAAGUUCAAGAAAGCGCAGUCCCCAACUUCCUCUGAAAGGAUCAAUCUUCACCAAUCUGUCCAUCUUAGUUGGAGAACUAAGAGCUUCAGUAGGGCUAUCUUCUAUAUGAACUGGUUUUGGAAGGUUUUCACCCACUUGCGCAGGAAUCUCCAUUGAGAGCAGACGAGCCUUUACAAAAGACAAACCCUGCAAAACACAAAUCUGCAAAGGAACAACCAGGCGCCUGCCAGGGGGAACAGCAGAUUUAUUUGUGGCAGGAUCUCCAAUAUUUGUCAGAGGCCCUGAAAAGUAAAAUGUAAAGCAUUAUUGUCAGAAAGAGAAGUUAUUGGUACUCAUACUCACUACUCAGGAACAAGGUGCCACAGAGAUACAGAGAGCUGUAACUCAUCACUAUGAAAAAACUCCAACAGUUAACUUUAACAAUUAGUAGGAACACAUCAAUAAAAAAAAAUAAAGGUUUAGCAUUCAGUACCAAAUGCUGUGAGAGUAUAUGUGGUGUGGGUAACCUAACCUCCCUAUAUCAAAGCUAAUAAAGCCAAACUCUAGAUUGUGUGUGUGUGUGUGUGUGUGUGAGAGAGAGAGAGAGAGAGAGAGAGAGAGAGAGAGAGAGAGAGAGAGAGAGAGAGAGAGAGAGAGAGAGAGAGUAUUAUAUAGAUUUAUCAAUACCUGCAUAAUGGAUCAACAAUGUGGGGUUACUUCCAUCCUUAGAAUGCCUCACAGUGCCUCCAGAACCACUCCUGCCUGCAGUAUCUGCAUCUGCUAAGACAUGCCGCCAAGCCCUUAAGGUCACAGGUAAAGUCACUUCUGCACCAGGCCUCAACGGAAGGGCUGAGUUUAAGGUUUCAGAUGCAAUCGAGAUAACAGAAUCUUGGUUUUUUCCUGAUAGUGAUACAUGUGCUUGCUCAACUGGAACAGUACCUGCAUUAGCCAGACUUAUCCAUAAAUCAUGAAUUUCACCUUCAUGUAGAAUGAUUGCACCGUCACCCCCGACAACACGUGAUACCAGCAAUGGUAAUGGUGGUACCACAGAAAUGUUUGGAACAGAUAUAUUUUUCAACCUCGCAGACCCACAGCAUCUGAAUGGGUCAGAAAGCACAAGUCCUUGUGUAGCUCCAAGGAGCAGAUUGUCAACAUCCUUAAACAGGUGUUCAGUAAUAACACCAAAGCAGUGGACAGUGCACCCAGGAAUUGUUACCGUCCCCACCGAAGUCGGGAUCCCAGAUAAAGUGACCACCUUUGAUGAAUUGGGUGGAAGGUUUACAGUAACUGGAAAAGCAUCAAAAUUUCCUGAAGGCACUGCGAGAUAUAUACUAUCAACCCUCAAAUCAAAGCCGCAUGGGUUUGCCAGUUCGACCAAAAUCUGAACUGGUUCUCCAACAAUCCAAAUCAGCUCCUGUUUGGUGUUAGUAUUUGCAUCUCCCUUGCUAAAUGGCGUAUAAAUAAAAGGCCCAGUAUUAGCAGCUCCUGCCCACCAGUCUUCUCUUGCUGGAUUGCGCUUUACGAUGUCCAUUUGCGAAGGAUGCAUAGGAAAAGAAUACAAUCUAGAAGCAAGUAUGAUUAAAUUAGAAAAAUCCUCAAAAAAUUUGAUGAGAAUUAAAUGAAGAACAUAAUGGUGAUUUGCCUGUAUCCUUAACAUCAAUAUUCAGUUCAGGAUCACCUUAGAUAUGGGAGAUUUUUAAAAACAAAGGAAUAGAUUGUUACUCAUCGGCAAUAAGAAUAGAACACUUCUUAGCUCUACCACAGGAUCUAAGCACAUUAUAGUUCCACAAAGAGUAUAUAGGUAAAUAAAACAUUGUUUUAAAAAAAAAAAAAAAAAAAAGGCUCUAAAGCAAGUAGCCUCAACUAGACAGAAACAAAAAGUAAAUAAGAAAAACUCUAGCAUCCAUAAAAAAAUCAUCACGUUGGGCAGAGCUAGCAGGUAUUCACUUCUCAUUGCUCUGCAGUCUUUAAGAUUAAAAGGAAAAAAUAAGGAACCUUUCAAAUGAGUUUACUUCAGAUUCGUCUGUAAUUCAUGUAUCAGAAAGAUCUGUUUCAUUGCUGCUCUGCUAGAUUAAGCAUAUUAAUUGCCUUUGAAUAGAUAAAUAAUAUAUAUAAUAAUUAUGGUAAACAUAUAAUUAUUUGUUCAACUCCUAGGUAUCAUGGUCUCUGUGCAACUAUAUACUUGUCUUGCAAUAAAGACAAUGGGAAAAAAAUUACCUAGAGCACAGCAAAUAAUAUUGUUGUUGGGCUUCAUAAGAAAUAAAAUGUUCAUGUACUAACAGGAAAAAUGCAUAGGUACUGGUGAAGACCUAAUGAAAGGUAAAGCAGGGUCAGCACAGCGAGUUCCCGAGGGCAAUCUAUCUGCUGAAUUUGAAAGUGCACUAGCAAGGCCAUUUUGCCCAGCUGGUGUAAUUAAAGGAUAAUAUGAUCUUAGUAGUCUUGCAGCUGCCCCCCAGGCAGCAAGAGGAUCUCCUGCACGGACGGCAGAUAGAAGAAUUUCUCUUAGUACAACCAUCUGUAGUGUGCUCCACUGAGACUCAAAUAGAGAGACUACUGACUGGUGGAGCAUUUUCCCACCCUCAGCAAGGCUUGAUCCAAUUUCCUUCUGUGCAGAAAUAAAACCAGAAUGAGUAGCUGAAAACUUACUAAGGCUCACAAACAAUCAAAGCCACACAACAUAUAAGAAGGUUUACACAUGAAAUUUACUGGGAAAUAAGCAUGCAGACAGACCGAAAUGCAAAUUGUGACCCGGAAUUUUUUGCUUAAUACUUAUAUACUCACUUUGGAAGGAGAGUCUUCUGCGGAAGCUCUACUUUGAACACGAUAUGCUCUUGUGGUCAUUGCUAAAACUUGCAUUGCACUAAUAGCAGCCAGUCUAUUAUCUUGUUGCAAAUAUAACUGAGCUACCUGCCUCGAGAAAAAAGCAGCUUUUCGCUGAUAACCAAGAGUUCCGUAUAACCGAGCUAUUUCAACAUAUAAUACGAGUCUAUCACUGGCAUCAAUAAGAGACUUAGCACCAUCUGCUGCACUUGUUAGGUAUCCCACUACCUCCUUAGCCAGCUCUCGUCUGCCAAAAUAAACCAAAAAUAAAUCCGUAAGAUGAAAUAGUGUAAAUAAUAACUCUCUUCCUAUUAGUAUUUGUGAUCUAAUUCAACUUUUUAGAGCCAGAACAUUAUCCAGUGAGGUCGAGGGAUACAAUCAUACAAGUAAUACAUGCUGCCUUUAUCAAAUCAUAUAACGGUCAUGAACAAAUUUUACCUGCAAAGAAACCUUGCCAUUUUCAAAGUAGCCUCUAGUUCAAAAGUUAAGGGUGAAACUCUGCACAGAAUAGAUUAAUAAAAGUAACUGUUAAAAGAAUAAGUACAUAACUAAAGUAACAACCAUUUAAACACAACGGAAUCUAUGAAUUACCUCUGAGCAUGCUCUUGUAUAAAUGACUUCCUGUAGUGCGAGAUGACACUACUAUACCGAAAUCUAACUUCAUCUUCCACAGCCGAAUCCUUUUCGCCCAUUCGAUCAAUCUAACAACAUGAAUAUAUAAAUCAGUCAUAGGAAAUAAAGCAAUAAGUAAACAGAAAGCCAUGCAAGUCUACGUUACUAAGCACAGGUAACCAUGCAAAAGUCCAGAGAAGUAGCUAUUACCAGUAAGGCACAGACAUUUCCCUCCAAUGCACCAGCAUACCAGAAAAAAUCUCCAGUCAACCUAGCAAGUUCUAGUGCAGUAGUAUAAUGAGCAUUAGCAUCAACAGGUGACCCUGCCAACAAGCAAUAAUCACCCAUUGUCUUCUGGGCACGCCCAAGCCUCCGUUUCUUCGCCUUUAUAACCUGUCAUUUUCAUUGAUUUUGCACUUUACUUUUCAGUACCAAAAAAUGAUAGAAUUCAUAACAUUUAGCACAAAGAAAGAAAUCCACAUACCACCACUCCAAUUCAGAUACAACAAAACUAUAUAUUAACAAUAAUAAUAAUGAUAACAGCUUAAAAUUCUAUAGGACACCUAGACAUGAACCUCCUCUGAGUUGAGAGUAGCUUGAGAAUCCAAAGGCGUCUUGACAAUAGUCCCUGCAGGCUCAGCUUUCAGCACCCAUUUCUCAAACUCCAUCAGCAACGACGCCGCUAUGUCCUGCAUCAUCGUCUGCAAGUGAAACUCUUGCGUCGCCCGAUCUGCUGGCGGAAACAGCAUCAAGUUCCCACCUUUCUUGCUCCCAUCCUCCAACUACAACAAAAAAAAAAAUCCAAAAAGUUUCAAAUUAAGAACAAGAAAAGAGAAGAAUCCAAAAAAAUGGAGAAAAGUCUAGAUUCUGAAUCUCGAGACCUGAGAAUCGCCGGGGCAGAAGGCGAAGCAGCGAUCGACGAGGGCAGAGGCGUAGGCACGGCGAGCCGAGUCGAAUUGGUCGAUGACCGAGUCGAGAUCGGGAGACGAGGGGCAGUGGCAGAUGCCGAUGACGGCUAGGGUUUUGCGAUUGGACUGAAAGUCCUCCCAGGGGGACGGUGGGGCCCCACCGACGAUGAACUUAAACCGGAGGCUGCCGGAGUCCCAUGGCUGAUUUGAAAAUGGGGACUUCUGGUGCUCAGUGUAGAAGGAGCUGAUGGCGGAGAGAGGGAUCGUCUGGAGGCGGAGCAGCAUCGAGUGGUAGUCGCGCAGGAGGACGGGGGGCACGUGGCCGAUGGGGAGGACCGCCACGCGGAUCAUGGAGCUGGUUUCGAUGCUGACGUCCGGCUCCAUUUUUGGGCGGGGAUCGGAGAGUCAGGGGAUUAGGCGUGGGAGUGAGUGUAGAGGAUCGGGAGCAUGAGAGUGGAAGUGCCGCUGUGAGGAAGACACAGAUCGCGUUCUCGGAUUUUGGUUAGUUAAUAAGAUUGAUGGAGAGGAGGGAAAGGUGUUUGGUUGCGGAGUAAUGCGGACUCUGAUUGGGGACAGAGAUGCCCUUGGACGAGUUUAUCAUUUUCUUUUUCUAUUCCUCUAUUUAUUUUAAAAGGUGCACCUUAAAAUUAUACUUUCUUUUGGUUGACGAAGAGGGAUUGAAUUCGGGUGUGAUAGAUAGACACAUUCUCUUGAAAAACUCACCUAAUCAACGUCUAUCAAUGAAAAAUUACACUGUCAUAUGCAAUUUUGCAAAGUUGUAGUAAAACAAUUUUUAACUUAAAAUUCGUAUUACAAAAUUUUUUUACCUUCAUGAUAUAUAUAUACAUGCAGUUCUUAUCUAAUUAGAACUUUAAUGAAACAUAAACUUAUAAUUAUGUGAUUAAUUUAUAAUAUCGCAACAUAAUAUUAUCAAUUCAUUUAUGUUAUAACUACAAAUAAUAAUUUAUCUUUACAAAUAGAAGUUAAACUCAAGCACUGGUUUCAUAUGUGACAACUUUAUUCAAUGGUUGCAAUUGUCUAUACAAGUUUAACCAAAGUUUUAUAAUUUUACUUAAUUUAGAAAAAUGACAAAUAUUGCCCAAAAAGUUAUAAAAAUCUCAACAACAAAAGAAGAGCAGCGAGCAUUCGCGCCUUAUUGUUUGGAAACAAAACCCUAGUGGAACGUAAUUGGAAUUAGAAUACGCACCAACUCAUCUUCUUCUAGAUUGAGAAGGUGCAGCGACACCAUGGCGGACCAUCUGCAACAGUCCUCGCCCCUUCUUCAAGAGAUCCUAAACUCGUUGUCCAAUUCAGUUGAUCAACCGCAAAGCUCAGUGUCAGAGCUCACCAGCUUCCUCGAUUCAGUCCUAGACGCCGCUCUAUCAGACCCAGACAAUGAAGAUGCAGAAACCAAUGCCUUCCUAGCUCUCACCGAAGUUCACAACUUUAUCUCUUCCCCGUCACUGGACCAGGUUUCAUUUCAUCAAAUUCUUCUUCAUUUUGUUUAAAUUUUCGGUCUUUGUAAAUUGUAUGGUUUGAUGUUUACGAACUGUUUGUUGGUUUGCCCAGGCGAUCAUUGAUUCAAUCUCAUUUGAGCUGCCAAUGGCAGUUUCCAAGUUUGGUGGUGUCUCUGAGAGAUGCCUGGAGGUUGCUGAGAGCAUUAUUGAUGGCGUUAUAUCACUGUGUAGUCCGCGAGACAUGCUUUCAAUUCUUUGUGAGGUAUGAAUGUUGCCUUUUUAGUGCAUUUUAUCUCAACUUUUUGUAUUGUUUGUUCUGUUGGGUUUUUAGCUCUUUGAUGAUUUUUUUUAUUGUACUUGGGUCAGGCAUUAGCUCCCCCAAUUGAGACCAUCAGGGAUUCUGGUUAUGUUACGCCUCUUCUAAAUGGGCUUUCAAAAGGUAACUUAUAUGAGCUUCCCUAAUGGUAUUGUUAUCAGAUUUAUUGUAUAUGUCAUAGAUGGAUAUUGAAUUUUACCAAUUGAGUUGAUGAUAGCACUAUUUUGUUAAUUUUAUGUUUCUUUUUUCUUUUGUUAAUUUCAGUGUUUCUUUCCCUUCAGAGGCGUCACUUUGAGCAAGUGAAAGUAGCAGUUCCUAUUAUCGUUAAAGUUUUGAAGGCCAGGUCUUUGGAGUUGGAAGAUGAAGAUCCAGAAUUUAAGAAUUUGUUUGACAGAGCUAUGAGCAUUGCUAAUUCCAUACGUGCAGUUUGUGUAAAGUUGGUAUGUGACAAAUUGAUGCAAUGGUUUUUCCUGGUUAGAGACUAUGCUGAGAUUCUCAACAUAUUCUGUAUCAGAACCUAAUGAUGUUUUGUUCUAUGCUACAGGAAGGUGGAGCAAAUGAUAAGCUUCGUGCACUACUUGGUCUUUAUGUCUUACAGAUUAUGGUCAAACCUCCAUACAAUCUAAGUUCUAGUUUCACUGUUCUUUUUUUUUUUUUUUUUUAUCUGUGUUAUAUAUCUACCCAAAAAAAAAAUUCAAGCUAGACUCUUUUAUAUAUCAUGCCUCCCAUAUUUGGUUUGCUUUGUUUUUUCUUUUAAAAACACUGUUGAUCUGCAGGCUCUUGUCAGCAUGAAUCACAAAGUUUCAAGUUCUCAGCCCUUUGUAUUGCAACUGUCUAGUUUCUUCCCAUUUUGUGGUUUGACGUAUCUUGGUGUAAUAACUGGAUCUGUUGUUGACAUAAUAUCUAGGACAGUUGGAGGUAAAUCCCUUGAAUCACUACUAUUCCUGCCCAUGUAUUAUAUGAUAUUUCACUCUAUUUGUUAUCCAAUUUUAGACCUUGAUGUUUCUUUUCUGUUCUUAAUUUCUGCACACAGAGGAUGAAGAUGAUUAUAUGAGUAAUUUAUCCGAUGUCAAGCAUGGGGCAUCUCUUUCAGGUUUAUGUUUCCGAAUGCUGAUUGCUCCUUUUCUUAUUGUCUCAAUUUUUUUCUAGCUUGAAACUUUGUUUUGCUUUGGUUUUUUCUGUUGCUUUAUUGAAGUGAUCUGGGGCCAUGCCUCUGAUGAGGUUGUUAGAGCUGCUGAGGAGGAUUUGGCUUCUGUCAGGGAUGAACUUAAGAAUAACCAAACUAAAAGGUGGCAAGCUGUUGGCAUGCUAAAGCACAUACUAGCUCCUGUCACUCUGCCAUGGGAACUUAAAAAACAUGCCAUCAACUUCUUGCUCUGCGUUACAGAUGGAAAUAUCCCCCACUAUGAUGAACAUGAUGACUUCUCAUCUUAUAUGUCUAGCAUUUUUGCUACUCUGCAGGUUGCCUCUUGCCAUCAUUAUACGUUGCAGGAGUUUCAUAUUUAUCGAAGAGGAAAAGAGUCUAAUCUGUUUUUUUUUUUUUUUACCUCUUGUGGGCAUGGUACAUUUUAGGCUGUGCAAAUGGUCAUCAUAUAUGCAUCAGAUACAGUGCUCCGAAAGAAUGCCUUUGAAGCAUUCAAAAGGGUGAGGAUUUGUGUUAUUUUUCCUCAGUGUUGCGUUUACCUAUAAUAUAUGUAUUCUGUUACAUUUUUAAUUAGCGAGUAAUAGCUCAGCCUAUGGUCAUUUAGUAGUAAGCUUUUGCAUAGAAUGUACUCUACUUCGUCUGGUUUAGAGUAAAUUAACAUUAAUACUUACUUAUGUUUACCAUCAAAACCAGAUUCUUGCUGAUAUUCCAACUUCUCAGAGGUUUGACAUUUUAAAGGCUUUGAUCACAAAAAGUGAUUCUUCCUCUAUGGUAAAACCUUGAGCGCCAGUUUUUUUGAUAUGUAUUCCUUCCUUUUUUUCGUCUAAUUAGACUUGAUGCGACAUUACCUAAUGUGGGUGUUUCAACCUUAUACAGAUUGCAAUCCUUUUAGAUAUUGUUAAAGGGGAAAUGCACAAGGAAAGUCGCCAUAGACUAGGAAAUGACGAAGUUCUGCAAGCAGAGUAUAAAUCACAUCCACAUACAGUGCUUUGGACUCCCAAUGUCCUUGCAUUGGUGGAGAUGAUUCUAAGACCUCCGGAGGGGGGACCUCCAUCCUUUCCUGAGGAUAGUGAUGCGGUAUUUCUUCCACGUGCUUUGUUAAAUUCUUUUUAUAAAUUUCUUAUAAUACUGAAUUCUCUAUGUUUGAUAUACCAAUAUAUUAUGCAUGAUAUUUAUUUUAUGUCGAUGAGUUUCAAAUCUAAGAUUGCAAUAGCGUCUAAAGAUAUGUUUUACAAUCCCUUAGCUGUCCCACAAUUAGGGAUGCUUGGUUCGCUUUCAACUAGGAUUGGUCUCGUGCAACCAUAGAUUCGCCUAAUGUAGCCAGCCAAUAAUCUUGUUUAACUGCUACAAAUACAAAUCUUCAAAUCUCUGCAGUCUUGGAUUCCUGAACUUAUCUUCUUUUCCUCCCUCGCGUCUUUGGACAUAUUGUCAUCUUUACCAAUAAUGGAACCAUGUUAUGUGGAGUAUAUUCUUCACUUGCACAAUUGUUGCUGUAUGUCGUUUCAUUGCAUAGCAGUUUUUAGUUGCACAAUAGGCCAAGCCCUCAUGAAAUGAACUGACAUGAAGAUAUUUGAGUAUCUAGGUUUUGUCUCUGUCAAAGAUAUUUGAGGUCAAAUUUGAUGUCAAUGAAAGGCAACAAAAUGACAAAAACAUGCCUUAAUUGUCAAGACUCAGUACCGAGUACAGACGCUUAUUGUUUAGGCUUGUUGAUGCUUAUUGGUUAACCUGUUCUGAAUCGUUUGACAAAGUUCCGUACUAUUUCUACAGGUUCUGUCUGCACUCAACCUGUACAGAUUUGUAUUAAUAACAGAAUCAACAGGUAAAUAUCCCAUCAUUGAGUUAAAGCAAUAGCGAAUGUGGAAAACAUCACAGCAAAUUAUAUUGUGUCGUGUGAGUCUUUACUUUUUCCUUUAGAAAGAAAAUGCUUGUUUACGAGUCUCAUUUUUUACUAUUUUUACCCUGAUUAAAAAUGGCACAGGAAAAACUAACUACACCGGAGCGGUGUCCAGAAGCAAUUUACAGAGAGCCUAUAACGAGUGGCUUCUACCUCUACGUUCUGUGGUCACAGCCAUAAUGGCAGAGAACAAGAAUGAUUGUGAUCUUUCCCUUGACGCAUUUUGUAUUUUAAACCCAAUAGAAUUAGUUUUGUACCGCUGUAUUGAGCUUGUUGAAGAUCAGCUCAAACAACACUCUGCGUAAAAGUUGCCAUCACUGGCAUGUGUUUUUCUAGUAAUUCAAAACCCACUCAUAGAACUAUAGAUCCAAAGUUUUUACACGGGCUAGCAUCUCUCUUUUGUAUUUCAGCUAUAGAUACUCUUCCAUUUAUAUAGACGAGUGUUGGUUUUUUUCAUAGCAAGGAUCUAUCUCUUGGCCAUCAAUUCAUGCCACGUGGCAUGAUCUGAGCAGUUGAUAUCAUAAGCACUUUAUCUAUUCAAGGAGCAAAUGUUGUUCACUUGAUGCCAAAAAGAACCACCAAUGUGAUUGCUUUAGACUUUUCAGCAAAAUGGCUCGGAAUGUGGUUCAUGCGUCGCGUCCAUCAUCGCAUUUUCCUUUGGGUAAAAAUGCAAAACCAUCAGCACGCGCGUUCCACAUUUAAUACACCUAGUCUCAUUAAAAAUACCAUUUUCUCAACAAUAAAAAAAAGCACAAUCAGAUGGUUUAUUUAUGAUGACUUUAUAUAUAUAUAUAUAUAUAUAUAUUUAAAUGUUAUUUGCACUCCAAAAAUUAACCUCUUUCCCACCCUCCUUAUGUGUAGGCGCAUGGCAUGCAGACGAGUUCAUGAAGUCAAAGUUUAAAGUGCUUAUUUAUAUACAAUAAUAUAAUCAUGACUUUCUACUUUAAGGGACGCGUGUCUGCAUAUAUAAUUAUGGUGUGGAUGGAUGUCCCAAAGUACACAAAAUUGACAUCAAAUUUAUGGACACAAAAAUUGACAGACUAAUAUUGUCAGAAAAAAAAAAAUAAAAAAAAUAAAAAAAAUUGAAAUCUUAAAAUAAUCAAUAAUACAAUGAGUCAUUGACACCUGUCCGAAAGUUGCAAUUUUGGUGACUGAAAACUAUAACUUGGAUUUCAGAUAGGGUUUUUAAAACCUACAAAGAAUGAUACAAAUUUAUGAUCUAAAUAAUUUGAACAUUAGAAGUAAUGAGGGUUUACCCCAAAGAAUUUUCCAGAGGAAAGCAGCAACAGCUGUGACAUAAACAGAAGCCUCUACAGCCUAAUGGCUAUGACUGCUAAUUUACUAAAAACCCUCAAAACUUAGGUAAAAGGGAUCCAGAUCAGGUUAUAUCUGUAACUUCACUGGAUACGCUCCGACUGACCUCUACUUGUACUACUUAUGAAGAGCUAGUUCCUGGAAUGCGCUAUGUUAUACUGGCAUAUCAAUCAGUUUCUUCAUUGAAAGCAUAAUGCAUUUACUCAUGCUUUCCUCAGCUCAUCCCGUAUAGCGUUUCGGAACCAGAUUCCUCUCCGCACGGCUCCAUGUUUAGAUCAGGCAGCAAGAAAGAAUUGUCUCGGGCUGAAACGGCCUCGCGUUCACUGUAAGAAUCGGAUUGCGCUUCUGCAUGUGGAGGCAAAUUUGAGGGAAUGCCGUAGGUGCUCGACGCUGUUCUCUCGUGGGGUUGACUGGAAAUUGCUUUCCCUGCUCCAUCAAAGUUUGCGCUCAAAUUCCUAGCAGGAUGCAUGUUCAAGUCGAGCUGCAAAACAAAAUUAUAAGGUAUUCAGCCAAAAAAGCCAUAGCAGAUGCAAAUAAUUGUAUCCAAUCUAAAGGACAAAAGGGCAGAUCCAGGAGAAAGGAUCCUAGAAGAAAAAUAGUAUAUAUAUAUAUAUAUAUAUAGGAUAAAGAACACCAGAAUUCACCUUGAUUCUCUUAAAGUUCUCAUUUUUGGCUCUUUGUUGCUUAAAAGUUGCUUGUAAGGUCGCUAUUUCCUUUUCCAAAUAUGUCCUUUCCUUCAACAACGAACUUUCCUCCUCCUUAAGCUCAGCAAAUGUCUGAAAAAUGACAUCCAAGUCCAUAUCAGAUCGAAGUUAAAAAGCAUCCUAUUGCAGAUUAGAAAAUGACAGUAACUAAACAAACAAAUAAAAAAAGAAUCAAAACAAAUCUGGAAAACUAAUUAAUUCUCAAUUCUCAAUGCAUUCUUUUAAAUAAUUGUUGUUUGUUAUCUUGAACAUGAAACCAAGUGGGGGCCAAAAAGAAGAUUUGGGUUUACCUUCUUUCUCCUUGCCCUCUUGGUGGCAGUGGUGGUGCUGGUGGAUUCAUACGUAGCAGUUCCCUGAGAGACAUCAAUGCAAAACACACUUCAGCAAAUACACCCACAAAAAGCAAAAAGAGAACAUAUCAUAAAAGGACACCAAAAACAUCCAAAAACCAAUUUCUUUUCUUUUCUUUAAAUCUCAAAACUUUCACCAAUCCAGUAGAAGCCUGCAAUAAUUAUUCCUUUGCCAAUUAAAUUUACCGUUUCUCUGGACUUUGGAUAAAGCUUCCCCAUCCCAAUGAUGAGUAAGCUUAAACCCAUUUAGAAAUUCACAUCAUGAAUAUCCACGUGGCCUGGCCACACAUGACAAGCUCCUUAUUUUAUUCCUCACGUGACUUGCUCACAUGCCUCUGCUUCUCCUCCCAUGGCCUCCUCUCCUCCAUAGUCCAUACAAACAUUGCCUCUCGCUUCGCUUCCUUCCACACCGAACCCAAAUCCCCUCGUCCAAAAAUAAUAAAUAAUAAAUUAAAAAAUAUAUCGUAAUUCUUUAAACUAAAUAAGCGACAAGGACCACAGCCACCACUCUCACCAAACCAUCCUUGACCGUCAGAUUCACAUACCCAAUAAAACUCAAUCCCCCAAUCAGCGGCCACAACCAUCCCAUCGAGUUCCUCUGGAUCUCCAGAAAACAUAAGAAAAAGAAAAGCGUUAUCAAAGGAGAUGAUGGUCCAUAAAAGCCGCUGACUGCGCCCGCGCCACAGAGGAAAAUUACCCCAGCAACCCCCACUAACAACGCCACACCAAAACCGAACGCAGACCUAUCCCUAAGCCAAACUCACUUCCCCCAAAUGGCCCCACCACGCUUUUAAGAUAGGCCCACGUCACCACCACACCCUACUCCCCUUUUUAUUACUAUGACCGAAAUACCCUCCUCCUGUUUGCUAUGCCCAUCUAUAUUCGUACUUUUGACUCGACGCGAGAUGCGACUUUUGUCGCGAGCAAAAAGGGAUCAGACGAGUAAGCUCGUCGUCUCAGGGAAAUUUCGCGGUUUUCACUCUCUGCGGUAAAUCUCGGAAUUGACGGGAGUGUCCUUUGGUGAUCACAAUCUAGGGAGGAGUUUGGAAGGGUAGUUUGGUAAAUCUCGCAGGCGAAUCAAGAAAGGCAGGUUACCGGCAAAAGGAGCGAGACGAAAACGUGAAGGAGGUCUCGAUCUGCUACAUCACGUGAGGGAUAUGGAAAGGCACACGCGGGUCGGGGGCAUUUUGGUCAUGAAAUUGUGCGAACGACGUCGUACACGGCGGCUAAAAAGGGUUGACCGCCGGCGAUUAUCGAGCUAACCAAAGAAGGAAAAAUCUAAAGAAGAUAACGAAAUGACGAAUUUGACCUCGUCAGCAUUAGCAGCUCAAGAGACGACAAACGAAACGCGAUAGGAAAUCAGAAACGUCGGUUUCGAAAUCCAGAUUAGAAAACGGAAAAACUGAUGACAAGGUAAAUUAGGUAGAGGAAGAAGGCUGAAGAUGGUAAAGUGAAAAAGAAGCCAUGAAAUGCGUGUGUCGUCGACGAACACGCUAAAAGCCUCAGCCGCCUCAUGAACACUGAGGCUCGUGCGGUUCUGGUCUCUGCUUAUUAGCAGAACCAGACGCAAAUACGAACAACCGCCGUGGGUAUUUCCGUCAAAUAACAAAGAGACUCGAAGAGUCUUCACUUCAUACACAGCAAGCAGAGAUCAGCUAACAGGAAAUCCAAAGCACAAAAAAGCGAAAAGCAGAGAAAGAGAGAGAGAUGGAGACCUUGGAUCUGGGACAGCUGGACUCUUCGAAGCCGUCGGCGGUGGCGGAGGGGGAGCCGGUGCCGCCGCUCCAGGAGAGCGGCGUGGUGGGGCUGCAUCUAGUGGCGGAAUCGGUGCCGUGCUUGCUGAUGUUCCUCUGCCGCGAAACGACGCCGUCGAAUCUGGACGCCGAUGACGCUGACUUGGAGCGUGGCAGCCGGAUGCCCCACCUGAGCGGAAUCGACUCCAACAACGGAGACGAGGAAGACGAGGCGGCCGUCUGCGACUGCUUGAGCCGCACCAGAAGCUCCACGACGAGCAUGUCGUCGGUCAUCGCCGCUCUCAUCCACUCGUCUUUGACCACCAUCAUCUCAGCAAAUGGUUCUAGAAAGAGAGAGAGAGACAGAGAAAAGGCUUUAGAGAGAGAAAGUAGGGUGGCGGAUGAAUGAAUGAGAGAAGAAAAGGAGAUGGGUUUUGAAAAAAUAUAUAUGGGGGGUGGGUCAGGAGGGGUGGUGGCGUUAAAUAUAUUUGUGUGUGUGGUGAAGAAAGUGGGAAAAAUUGAUUCUUCAGUUUUUUUUUUUUUUUUUUUUUUUGGGUUUUGUUUUGUUUCUUCUUCCUCUUCUCUUCUCUUCUCUUCGCUUGGUGUUGUUGUUAGGGUGGGUCUCGUCUGUGUGACUCUGACUCUUUUUCUGCUCUUUCUUUUUAAUUUUCUUAAUUUCUUUUUUUUUAAAGUGCUGGGCCCACAUGGUGACGUGUGUCGCUGACAAGAUUCAAUUUGUCAUGGGUUAUUAUUGGGUUAUUCCCUUCUUAAUUGGGGGAUUUGUGAUCACGAGUAACGAAACGACAGCGUUUUGCUGUCCAUCGGCUUGCUCCCCUGCUUUGCUUUGUGUGAUGCGUUCCUUUUGUGCGCCAAAGGGGCAAAGGGCAUGAGCAUGACCACUUCAAACUUUACGGCCUAUAUAUAUAUAUAACUUUAAUUUACUUUACCAAAUCCAAAAUGCUUAGCCUAACAAAUAUAUAAACAAUGUUUGCUUCAAAUUUCCGUCUCCAACUCUAUCUUUCAACUUUCUUUUCAACAUGUUUGCUAAAUCGAAUAAAACAUCCAAUCCAAACCUCUACAAUUCCACAAUUCACUCGUAUACUUAAAACUAACUCAAGUUUAAAACACAAGGAACUCAUUUUUAAAUCAUUAAUACACAAUAUGUCAAAACACUUUUAGGUAAGUUGAAGAAAGAAAGAAAAAAAAUGAGAGUUUUAAUUUUAUUUGAAUUUCAAUUAUUACAUAUCAAAUAGCGUUGUCUUGUUUGCGCUUUUCAAAUUCUUGUUGUCACUCUCGCUUGAAUGAACGAACACAAAAUAGAUGUUUUUUGCCAUUUUAUAUUAGUAUAUUGUUAAUUUGGCACGACGCGCUAAAAUUAAUAUUUUAAAUUAUUGGUAUGUUAAUAUAGCAUGCCAAACUAUUUAGUAUAAUUGAGGUUCGAAAUCCAUAACGAAAAGGAAUUAUAAAACUAUUUAGUAUAGUUGAAAACCAUUAUUAGAAAGUUAGGUGGACAAUGUUUAAGCAUGAAGGGUUAUACUAAUCACUUAAUAUAACAAUCGAUCCAAAGGCAAAGUUAUUGCCUUUCCAUAAGUAUCUUACCACUUCUAGUAACUCUAAAGAUUCUUUGAAACAGAAAAACUUACGAGUGACAUGAAACUUGAUCUUAUCAUCACCUUUACUUUUUUUUUUCUUUUUUUUCAAAUUUUAUCUGUCAAUAAAACAUCAGCAACUUAAUUUGGUCUGCUCUGUUUCAUCAUAGAAAAUUCAGAAAUGUUUAUCGGCAUGAUUCAGAAGGGUUUGCAAGUAAAUGUUCUGCAUGAUAAAAAAGCUAGCAAGCUUCUUGAUAAGGUUGCCUUUUUGGGUUUCUGAACUUUACUAUUAGGCUCGUGAACUGGGGAGGGUUUAUCUCUUGCCUAUUCGGCUGGAAAUAUCUAUUUGCCAAUCACACUACUUUCAUACUGUAUUCUUUUCUAGGUCAUAAAUUUCCGCUAAAAGUGUAAAACCAGUCGGAUUAUCACCAACGUAAUUUGAAUGUGGUAUAACUAGACUGGGUGUGACACAACCACAAAAUAAAUCGAGCUUGCACAAGCAUGAUGGAUGUACUUAUAAUGUGCAGCAAACGAGUAUGAAACAACCACAAAUGUCUAACACAUCAAAUAAGAGUACAAGCCGUGGCAGAGCCACUCCUAGACCAAAAGUGACACUGGCCCCCCCAAUUUUUCACAUCUCUCUCCUCUAAUAUAUUAUACAACGAGUAAUAGACAACUUUUAAUUUAUUAAUGGCCCAUCUAAAACAAAUUAUACAUAUUAAGUUAGAAAUAUUUUAGCUCUAACAUGUAAUUCUUGAAAACUUAUGCAUUUGAUAUAUUUGUAUUUUUCUAUCCCCCCUCUCCUCUAACCUUACAAUUCUAGCUUCGCUCCUUAGUACAAGUAACAAAAUGCAAGCACAAACAUGAAAUAAACUUUUACUAGAACGAUGGACGACAUAGUUAAUAUUUUAUUUUCUCCGUUUUGUUUCUUUUUGGCAAUGGAUCAUGGGGCUCGAUGAAAAUUCUGCAGGACCAUUCUUUAUCAGCUGCAUAUUUAUGGAAACCCUCGAAAUUGUAAUGAAAAAUUGAAAACAUUUGCCCUUUCUGGGAACCAGCAUCAGCCCUCUAGGGAAUGGAUAUCACAAAUCUAGUUGGUGUGAAGGAUAUUCAUGGUUCGAAAAUGCGGUUGGUGAACCCAAAAAAUGCAGGACCUAAUUUUAUACUGCUGCUGGAUCCAAAAUAACUUUGAGGCAACGAGUGUGAGUUAAUGGGAUAUUCCGCUAAUCAAGGCCUUAAUGUGGGUCGUGGCCUCAUAAAAGAGUUUGGUCUAUCAAAGUACAGGGCCGUUUUUAUUUGGAGUCGUUCGUGUUCAUACAAACUUUUAUUGCCCAAGCAUAUACUUUAUGUGAUAUUAAUCUGUCACAGUAACAACUUUUGCUUUGAAAGUCUAUUUUUUCCUUUUAAUUUUAUUUAAUUAUUAAUUUGAUCAAUACACUUUAGACAAGUAUUAGAAAUUAGGUUACGGAUUUUUUUUUUAAAUUUAAAAUUAGGGGUUCUUGAUGUACUGAUCAAUUUUUAGGCUGUCCAAGAAAGAUUUUGUAAACCCAAAUAGACGAAUAGCAACUCCUAACAGCCCAUAAACAUUGCGUGGUACAACGGAAUGUAGUCUAGUCUAAUGAAAAAAUGCAUUAACUUGCAAACUAAUAUUCUCAUGUUCAAACUGCAAACUGCAUCACCAAGUUUCAUGGACCAAACAUUUUCGCACACUAAUUGCUGGUGCACCUUCAUAACCUAAAUAUGACAAAGCUAUAAAACUAAAUAUUAAUUAAAAGAAAAGGUAUCACACCUCCAUAUUAAUUUAUUUUUGGUAUAAAAAUUUCAACCUUCACUCAUUUAAAGAGUUCGUUUGAGAGUGAUUUUGGAUAGACAACAUUUUUCACACCUCCUGUAAAGCUUCAUAAUUUCUGAAACUGAUGCAAACGUCUUUUGAAGCUUUGGUCCAGAAGGCUCACAGCUCAGCAUCCCACAUUUGGGCCUUACCAAGACCAAAAGCAAAACCAGUAGAAGUCACCAAAACUGUCCCUAACUGAGCUGCAGACCCUUCCACUGACAUAAAAAGUGAUUCUGUUUAUUGGGAAGCCAUCUGCUUUUCUUUACCUUUAAGAAAACGAAAAAAAAAAGAAAUGCUUUUUAGCUUUUACUUUUGACAGCUCCAACCAAAAGCACUGUUGUAACCCAUUUGAUUUUUACUAGCUUUACAACCCAUGUUGUUCAUCAUAAUCUCACAGCAAUUGAACUUUCCCAGAAGUCAAUUCCCACAAAUCAAACCCCAUUUCUGUUUGCUUCAAUUUGUAAUUCCAUCAAACACCAAUAUAAUUAAAACCCAAAUUUCACUAACAACAUAUUUGCAACUAUAAGUAAAAACUUAGGACACAGAAUAUACCCUAAUUUUACAGAUACAGCUCAUGAAAAACUAUACCUUCCAACCCUAAUCUAAUCUUAUACUUGUACUGUAAGACACAAAGGAAAUGCAACCAAACCCUAAUUUAAUUGAAAACGAAAAACAAAUUUAAAGAAACAAGAAAAAUGAAGCCUUCUACUGCUGCACAUAAUCUAAAGAGAAGAAAAAGCGUUAGGUCGAAUUGUGACCUCAUCCAUCUAUCUUCCCACGAAAAGAUAAGGGGAAGGGCGAGAAUCAGACAACACGAACAUUAGCCAGACGGGGUCUCUAUACUGCUGCACAUGCUUGGUCCGCCAUGGACCGGCGACCCAUCUACGACAAAUUGAGCCGCAGAAGCUUCAGCAGCACGCUUGCAGCUUCAUCGGUGCUUGAAGGGGCGCUCUUCUUUGCGAAGAACGACGGCAGAGGUAGGGACUCCGGGGGAGGCGCAGCUAUACACGACGACGACCCGGCGUAGAACCCGGAAGCCCAGUUCCGUUCCGGAACCUUCUUCGAGUCAGGACCCAUCCGGCUGGUGGAUCCGAGAUCCGGAACCUGGGGAUUGGGAUUCUGCUUCUGUGGUGACCGAACCGGAGUCGCUUUGGGGAUUUCGUCGCCGCGUUUUAGGAUUUUGACCUGGCCCAUGACGAUAUUCUUGGGGGCUGCGGGUUUCUGGACCGGAGAGGGUGAGUUGUUGUUGGGCCGGGUCGGCCUUCGCUUCUUCCGGUCGGUUUGGGGAGAGGUUCUGACCCGAUUAGGGUUAGGGUUUCGAUUGGGAUUCAUCAGCGCUUGCUGAGGUGAGAGAGAGUCUUUGAGGCAAUUCUGGGGACUGAGAACUUGAACACCCAUCUAAAAUCUCACAAAAUCAGAUCCAAAAAUUCGAGCUCUUGCUACGAAAGAGAAGGAGGAAAUGAAAAACUUUGGGAAUUUACAGAGAGAAAUGUGACUGUGUGAAGAUUGGGAAGGAAGUAGGGUUGAGUUUUAUAGGGGAAGAUAAGAGACCUGAAGGGAAUAGGAGUAGGAAAAGCGACAAAAGGCGGUAGUGUAUAAUAGAAUCCACUUUCAUCAACCCCCCCUUGGGGGUUUCCUUCCUACACCGGUUUUUAGCCAUCAUUAUUGUUUCCCUUCACGAAUCUCAAUUAGGUUUCCUUUCCUUUUCUUUUUAGGAAAACGAUUACGUUUCCCAAAACACAUUUUGGUAUUAUUAUUUUCUUAGUGAUUUAGAAUUCAAACUUUUCUUGUUGAGGAAGAAAGUGCCCGAAAUUAGAUAUUAUGUUGUUUUUAGGUUUCCUAAAACACAUUUGUUAUUUUUUAAAGUGACUUAAAAUUCAAACUUUUCUUUUUGAAGAAGAAGGGACCCAACUUUUAAAUGUGUUACCAAAAUUCCUUAUUAUUGUGUUUAUCACAACUCCUAUUCUUAAGUAAUUAUUACAAAUUCUGAAAACUUCUUCGGAUGCUUCUCAUAGCUCAGCAUCCGAGACCAGCAGCACAACCAAUAACAACCACCAUAAUUUUCCCUAGCAAAGCAUGGGUUUCAAUUUAGGAGCUUCUCCGCUUAACCAGUACUUAGCUGCAGACCCUUCCAUCGGCAUGGAUUAUGUUUUUGGGAAGUCAUCUGCUUUUGUUUACCCUUACAAUCCAUUUGGUUCGCAUAUUGAAACUCUUGAGAAUGAAUUUCCCAUGUUUAAUCUCAUGAGUUGAGAAUAGAGGAUGCUCAGUCCUAUAUUUGUAAAAGUUGAGAAAUGAGGAUUAUGAAAGGUCAUUUUAUCACAUUCCCAUUGGUUUGUGGAGUAUUAGGAAUUAAAAUUGUUCAUCUUUCCAACAAUAUUCUUAUCUUUUUUUUUUUAAUUAAAGAGAAAUAAAUACGAAGAGUUUUUCUAAGAGUAAAAUAUGGUAUUUUAAAAAUAAGAUAUGGGUAAGUUAGCCAUAAAAAUUUGAAUUAAAUGCUUUCCCAUGUGGGGGAAAACAAAUUCCCAAGCUCAGCCAGGGUAUGAAAUUCCCUUUACAUGGGAAGUCAACACCCACGAGUCUAUAAUUGCAUUUCCAAUAGUGUACUUACUAAACAUGCGAAUGGAAUUUCAAACUAAUUCUCAAAUUCCCAAAUUUUGAACUAAACGAGACAUUAUGGUGUGUUUGGUUCAGGGAAAAUGGGGCUUGGGAUAGGAAAUUAGAAUUUUCUCAUGUUUUAUAAACCGAGUCAUAGAAAAUGAUUGCCUGACACAUGAGAAACUAGGAAAAAUUAAACUCUCAAACCCCUGAGGUGAGCAUUAAAUGCACAUUUUUAUGACUAUUUUGUCCAAUUCACAAUUUAUCACUUUGACUAUUCUUUUAUUUUAUUCAAUUCAUAUUUUUAAAAUGGGUAUACUUUAUAUUAAAUUUGUUUUAUAUUUAUACACAAACCAAACAUAAAAAAUUAAAUUCAAUAAUUUUUCACCUUCCCAAUAUUACCAAACAUAGAAAAAGAAUCAUCCUAUCAUCCAUAUCUCAUCUCUUGUAAAAGACAUUGAAAAUGAUUUCCCAUCAAAUCUUUUGAUCGACAGAACUGCUUUUGUCCUUUUGCUUUUGAUAACUCCAACCCAACCCAAACCACAAAGUCUCCAUAAAUAACCAUACAAGUUCAACAAAACCAAACAGAGUCCAGUGAAAUUCUGAGGUAAACAUUUGAUUUACUACCUUCACCAAGAAGUUCCAAGUUAGAACCCAUGUUCAUCAUAAUCUGUCAGCAAUUGAACUUUCCCAGAAGUCGAUUCCCCACAAAUUUCCAUCAAACACCUCAUACAUACACAACACAGCCAUCUCCAAACCCCAAAUUUAAUCACAAGAACAAGAUAAAGGAAAUUAAGAGUGCAAAAGAGCAGACAAAACACCAAUGGAAUUAAAAACCAAAUUAGACUUAACAAAUUGCUUGCAACUACAUCGUAAAAACUUGUGGAUACAUGUACACAAAAUAUACCCUUAUUUAACAGAAACAGCUCCUAAAAAACUAUACCUCUCAACCUUAAAUAGUACGACACAAAAAUAAAAGCAACCCAACCCUAAUUUAAUUGAAAACAAAAUGCUAAAAAUUGGAGCCAACCCAAGUUACCAACUACUGCUGCACAUAAUUAAAAUCCCUAACCCAUAAAUUAAUCUAAAAAGAAGAAAAAGCGUUAGGUCGAAUUGUGACCUCAUCCAUCUCUCUUCCCACGAAAAAAUAAGGGGAAGGGCGAUAAUCACACAACACGAACAUUAGCCAAACGCGGUCUCUACACUGCUGCACAUGCUUGGUCCGCCAUGGACCGGCGACCCUUCUACGACAAAUUGAGCCGCAGAAGUUUAAGCAGCACGCUUGCAGCUUCAUCGGUGCUUGAAGGGGCGCUCUUCUUUGCGAAGAACGACGGCAGAGGUAGGGAACUCGGGGGAGGCGCAGCUAUGCACGACGACGACCCGGCGUAGAACCCGGAAGCCCAGUUCGGCUCCGGGAACUUGGUCUGCUUCGGAGGAAUCGGUACCAUCUUCGGGUCAGGACCCAUCCGGCUGGUGGAUCCGAGAUCCGGAACUUGGGGAUGGAGAUUCUGCUUCGGUGGUGGCUGAAUCGGGGCCGCUUUGGGGAUUUCCUCGCCGCGUUUUAGUAUUUUGACCUGGCCCAUCACGACAUUCUUGGGGGCAGCGGGUUUCUGGACCUGCGGGGUUGGGUGGUUGUUGGGCCUGGUCGGCCUUCGCUUAGUCCGGUCGGCUUGUGGGGAGGUUCUGACCCGAUUAGGGUUAGGGCUUCGAUUGGAAUUCAUCAGUACUUGAGGUGAGACAGAGUCUUUGAGGCAAUUCUGGGGACUGAGAACUUUAACACCCAUAUAAAAUCUAACAAAAUCAGAUCCAAAAAUUCGAGCUUUUGGAGCUCUUGCAACGAAAGAGAAGGAGAAAAUUACAAACUUUGGGGCUCUUGAGAGCCAAGGGGAAUUUACAGAGAGAAGGGAAAACGAAGAUGAGACAGUGUGAAGAUUGGGAAUGAGGGAGGGCUGUGUUUUAUAGGGAAAGGAAGGGGAAGAUACCUUAAGGCAAUUCGAGUAGGGAAAGCGACAAAAGGCGGUAGAGUAUAAUAAAACCCACUCUCAUUGUUUUCGAUUUACUUUUUCCCUUCAACAAUUAGGUUUCCUUUUUCUUUUUUGUUUUGAGGAAAACAAUUUAGGUAAGUUUCUAAAACUAAAACACAUUUUUUUAAAUUAUUUUUAAAAGUGAUUUUUAAAUUCGAAGUUUUCUUUUUCAAGAAGUAAGGACCCGACUUUUAUUAUUUGGUUGGAACCACAUAAAAUGUACUAUCAAAAUUCGUUAUAUUUUAUAUACCAAUAUUAUUAGUGAAAAGAUGCACAUAAUAAUUGAAUUUAUAAUCACGUGAAUUAUAAGUCGUUUAUAUUAUAACUUUUUGAUAGUCCACAAUUAAAGUACAAGGUUUAAUUGGUUUAGAAAUUUAUUUUGAGAUUGAAAAUUAUAGGGUUUUUUUUUAAAUCCCAAUAUUCAAUAGCAACUAAAUAUUAAUUCCAUUAACUUCUUUGUUUCCAUCAAAUCCAAACACGAUUUACAUGAUAUUGUUUAUGCGCGUGAUCUGAAGCGCGUAGGAGACAUAUAGCUCCCUUCCUGUUUUCUUCUAUUUUUUUGGUGACGGGAAGUAUCAUUGAAGGCCCUUUACCUAAAACGCUGCUUUAAUUCGUGAUGACGGGCGUGUGACGUGGGUUCGAAACCACCGCUGGCAUGAUUAUCCACGGCCUUAGUUCUUGCGCCUUAUUUUUGGAAGGAACUACCACAAUGCCCCUAUCAAAUAUGAUUUUCUUUUUUCUUUUAAUUCCCGUACUAGUAAUAUUGCAAAAUAAAAACGUUUUUCCGAUCGAAAUAAGAAGCCUCAAUCCUUGUAAAUUAGGAAUUGGACAAUGUUAGUCAAACAGACACGUGUCUAGAACCUAACAGUGACACUUGUACCAAUAAGAAGACGCCACUUCACAUAACAAAUGGCAAUCCUGUCAAGUACUGCAGCCCAUAAUACCUUUUUAUUCAACCAUUAACAUGUUGACACAUAUAUUUAUAAUUAAAUAAGAAAGUAAUAUUAAAGAUCGGUUAGGUACGGGUUUCCAUGGGUAAAUGAUAUCCUCACCCGUUCCUUUAUCUGAUAUUUUCAGUAUGGGUCGGAUGGGUUAAAUUAAUAAUUAAAAAAAUUUAUAUAUAAAACAAAAAAUAAAGAAAAAUAAAAUAUUUAAAAUAUCAGAAAAUACUUUUAAUUAAUAUAAAUAUUAAAAAUUAAAAAUAUUAAUUAAAUAAAAAUAAUAUGAUAAAUUCACAUUUGAUCAUGAAAUGACUAAGUUUGCAUCAAAAUUUCUGGUGCUUGUGAGUGGAUCGGUUGCCUCCACUAUACUGCUUCUUUCAAAAGGAUGUAAACAUUUUGUGAGAUGAAUGAAUUUCAUAUCCUUUUUUUGUUGGAAAAAUAUAAAAAAGAUAAAUUCUUUUUGAAUCUUCCAUGUAUUUUUAUAUUCAAGUACUUUUACUUAGUGGCGUAGAUUUGGCCCAAAAUUAAGCACCAUUCAUUGCAAUUGAAAAUUGUAUAGAACUGAAAGUCCUUAAACAUUGUUAUCCCGAAAAAUAUUUUCAUAAAGGAAAAUGUUAAAUUUAUUAUAUUUUUAUAUCAUAUUAUCAGUCCUGAUCUCUUGGACCACAGGAGUCCAAGAGAUUGUGAUCACUCAUGUGAUGAAUAGAAUUAAUAGAUUCAAAAUGUUCUCUUGUGAAGCUAUUUAAAGGGAUUGCANNNNNNNNNNNNNNNNNNNNNNNNNNNNNNNNNNNNNNNNNNNNNNNNNNNNNNNNNNNNNNNNNNNNNNNNNNNNNNNNNNNNNNNNNNNNNNNNNNNNACGUCCCGGAGCUAUGACCCACGAUUACGCGCUGUUAACUGCAAUUGGUCACGUAUAGUGGUGAAAAUAUGUAAGGAUUGUUAUACCUUUACAUAUCGGAGUAAAGUAAAAUGUGACCCUUUUUAUUUUAUCCAACGGAGAGUGAGCACAAAUCUCUUGGACUCCUGUGGUCCAAGAAAUCGAGACUGAUCAUAUUAUAUAUCACAUCUUUAAUAGAGAUGAGUGAGGCUCAUCUCUAUUACAAAUAUAUGACAAGUCUAACAUUACCUCUCCAUGAAAAUAUGCAAUCAACUUGGUUUGACCUUUGACCUCUUGAUUUUUAUUCAAAGACACAUAUUCGGUUUCAAACUGCCCUGGUCAGCAGUCAACUUCGGCACAACGAAGGUUACGAGUCUUUUGACAAAGGCAGCGACCCAGAUUCAGGAAACUAGGCCCAACUUGGUAAUUAAACCCAAAAUGAGAGGCAAUCAUUUAGAAGCCAAAAGACAAAGGAAGGGAAUAAGAAAGAAUCCCGUGUGCUCGAGACAACAAACGCAUCAGACCGAAAAAAAAGAGAGACAACAAACGCACACAUCAGUCUACUUCCUACCCGAAUAAAAAUCAAUAGGUCCACGUGUCGCGAGUAUAUUUAAUUGGAUGGUGUAGACGUGGAAUGAGGACAGAUGGCAGCUGGCCCAACCAACUUGCAAAGGAUGGUUCAACUCCAACUGGGCCGCAUUUCUCUAUAACCUGUUGCCAAGCUGGAACUUAGGAUGGCAUCUGCUGGCCGUAAAUUAAACAGAAUAGAGCUAGUCUCAAUUCAAAAUUUCUCCCAAACAAAAGAAAAAAAGAAAGAAAAAAAAAUCGUAGAGGUAGACACGGUUCGGUUUAACUGUAUUUAACCCUCAAAUAGGAAAUCUAAUCAAUGUAAUAUCAUGAUUUAGCGUAGGCGGUUUUCAUAUAGGAUAAAUCGAAUCAAACCCAACGAAACAAAUUUUGGUUUGGUGCGGUUAUGUCUAAGAUUACAUACGUUUAGUGCAAAAGCCGAAUCGAACAGCUUGAAUUGAUUUGAUUUGGUUAAGCCGGUUUGAACAAAUCCGGGCUUUUUUUAUUAUUGGCCGGAUGUGGACCUCAUGAUCAUCAUUAUGACAUCCCAACAUGUGCAAGCCCUUGGUUUUUUUAUAUCUAAAUGGGCCAAUUUGUUCUGGAGUAUGAUUCUAAUAAAGGAUUUGGUCAAACUUGGGGCCAAUUUGUCUGCAACCCAAAUUUUCCAAGAGCCAUUUUGUCAAACUUGUCAGAUUUAUAUACCGGGUUUGGUGCCUACAAUUAGUUUGGAUUGAAUUGGAUAACUCUAGUAAGCUAUAAUUGUGUUACAACUUGGCCCGCAUUGUUCCUUUCUCCAAAUGAAAUAAAUAUACAAAAUAGAAAAUUACAAACUAAAAGUUUACGUUUAUACACCAAACCUUAUCUUACUUAUUCAGACCACCGACAUUGGGCAUGCGCCAGCCCUCGUACAUGAUCUUUCAACUUGGAGACCAGUGUUUUUAGUAAACAAUUACCCGAACUUUGGGGUUUAAAAAUGAGUGAGAGGUUUCCCUAGAUAAACAAACAUGAUUUCCUUGUCUAAAAUAAAAAAAAAUUAUAAAUUACAAAAAAAUAAUAUUGUACACAUUCCCGUUCACCCACACUACAUGGAGCGGGUGGCAACAAAUUCCCCGCCCCACGACGAGCAGGUGAACAUGACUGAUAAUGUAUGUGUAGCAAAGGGCCACGUAUGGGCUGUAAGUUGAGGGAAAGUCGGGUUUUUUUAAUUUAUUGGUCAAUCAAUGAGAGAAGAUUGCGUUGGCAAAAGGCCCAAAGUGAUACUUGGUGGAUAAAAUUUUCCAUGUGGAGCAAAAUUUCAUUAUAUGUGUAUUUAAGUGGAAUAUAUUAAUAGAAAGGAUGGCAAUAAUUGUCCUGGAUAUUCAUGUCACGCAUUAGCAGUUUGGAUUGGACAAGUAUUUAUAUGAAUUAUUAUUACAUGGGUCGAAAAUGAAAAAUGUCGGUGGUAACGAAAUCAAUGAUCACUACAUAAUUUUAUUCCCUAAUUUUUCUGAGUGUGUGUGUACUGGCUGCUGCCACACUGAUCAAUACUGAAGAUUGUACAUCUUUAUAAUUUCAUAUAUUUAUACAAUUUCCGACAUCACUAAGUGAGACAAUGAGACAUACAGACUUUUCCCAACACUUGUGCGCACGUGCUCCACGUGCUUGGAGAGACAAAGAAAGAUUAAGAAAGUUUUUUUUUUAUAAAAAAUUUAAAUUUUAAAUACAAGCAAUAAUCUCAACUACUUUAACUUAUAAUCAAACUCGUAUGCAAAGCAAUGACGGAUGCAUAGUACCUAAAAAAGGGACCUACAUUGGGAAAAUAAGGGGACACGAGGAGGGAAAUAUGGGGAACUCGGGAGGGGAUAAGGGAGGGGUCCACAACCAUCUUGGUCUUUAAGUGGCUCUAUCCUUGGGCGAAGAUGACAAAUACAAUGUCGUGGUCAAUUUACUUAAUUCAUGUUUGUAAGAAGUUUUUUUUGAAGAAAUUACGAAGCGAUAAAAAUUUAUUAGAUCAACGCACAUAAGAGAACAAAGGACAAAGACGGUAAAAUGAUUAGGUUUGUUAGAAGCUUUAAUGUUAAGCAAAUGUUGGAAUAAAGGAACAAAGAGAUUGAAAAUAAGAUUGACACUGCUAGCUAGAGUGGUAAUUAAUCUAAGCUAAAGUAGGGCUUCUAAUUUAAAAAUAAUAAUAAUAAUCACCUUCACAUCAAUAUUCAAUAAAUUAGUUGACAAUUACAAAAGACAUGAUUAUGAAUUAGAUUCGAUCAUUCUAAUUAAUAAUUUAUCUCCCAUCACUCUCAUUGCUAAUGUCACAUUAAAAAACCAAUUAGAGGUUGCUCAUUCGGCAAGUUAUCUGCGGGCAUAUAUAUGGCCCAUUUGGCAGAAAGAAAGAAACCCACGCAAAUGCAUUGCUUAUUUUAUCACUUUUUUUCUUUGCUCCUCAAGUAAGUAAUGAAUAUAAUCCAAGUUGAUUAGAGCGAAUUUGCUCCCCAUUCUAUAUCUGAGUUUGAAUCUCUCUCACUAUAAUUUAGAACAGUUUAAAGUAUUUAUCGCUUGUAAUUAGUACCAUAAUCGCAAAUAUGAGAUGGCUAGCUACCAAAUUGAAUAUAUGAAAUUUGUUGACUGAUAGUUGCUUGUUUACAGACAUAAAAAGACUUACUUUUCCUCCUCAACAACAAAUUGGUAUUUCUUAAAUUAGUUGAGCGGCCUCAUCAUUCUGUUUGAGCUUGAUGCUUUUGUCAAGUUAGUCCUGGAUUUAAUUAAUUUACAAAUUUAAUUAAUAAAGGAAAAAGCCAUUGGUUACUAAAGUCAUCUCCAAAGAAAGUUGGCUUUUAAUUAGAAGACAUCCAUCUUUUUCACACUUUUUUCGAAUCAAAAAGGAAAAAAGUUAUGGCCAAAGAGAAUAAGAAACGCACACAAAAUAAAAAUAGAAGAAGAAGAAGAAGGUCCCGCACUCCUGCAUGCACGUGAAACUUUAUCUGGAAACUUCUUUUUUGCGUUUGGUUUUAAUCCUGGGGCCAUGGAAAAAAUUGGACUGGCCCUAAAAGAUAUGCUUUUGUCGCCUAAAAAAGAUAUAAAAUAAAAUCUAAUUAUGAUUCAUUUUAAAAUAAUUUAUGGUUUUCAUUAUUAAGAAGAUUUUGAAAAAUACAAUUUUACAUAUCUAACAUGAACUCGCUGUGAAUAAAGAUAAAAAAAAAAACAGAAACAUAUAGAUAUGUGUGCGAGCGUGAGUCGAGAGACUAAUUAACUUUAUUAUACAGAAAAUUGGAAAAAAUAAUUUUGUUACUUUGAUAUCUAUAAUAUAGACAUGCAUAUUCGGUACUAUUUCAUGGAGCAUGUCUUUUUUCCUUUCUCCCCUUAAGAAUCUUAAUUUAGGUCCAAUUGGUUAAUGGACAACAAUAUAUAUAUAUAUAUAGACAGAUGAUGAUGUUGAAUUUGAAUAAUUGAUGGCAUGAUUACUUUUCUUAAUAUAAUGGGGUUGAAACUGAAAAAUAAUCGAGUGCACUCUUAUUUGAAUAUGUAUAAUUUACAUUAAUAAUCUAACGACAUAAUAUGUAAGAUUAUAUGACACAAUUACCUACUAGUUUGCUUGUCUUCUACCUUUUUUCUUCUUCACAAAAUAUAUUUGAAGUACAUUAUCCUUUUGUUCGGUUUCACAAGUAACCCAUGCAAUCAAUUGCCUUACCACAUACCAAUAAAAUAUAGAAAAAAAAAGGAGACAAAAAUCCUCUUAUAUAAUAAUAAGGGUGAUCAUUCCAAUUCAUGCUAUAAUAUUAUCCAAAAAAGUUCCUUAAUUAAUCAUCAUCAAUUAUCUUUUUAAUUAAAAACGAAAGAAGUCUCAAUCUCAAAUUGGUAAAGCGAAAUAAUGAGUGGGAUGUUUGUUUAUGGUCUUGGUCUUAUUUUAAAUAAUUUUACAUGAACAACAUGCAUGCAGUCUGCAGACAAGCUAAAAAUGCCAAAAAAAACGGAAAACAAAAAAAGAAACCAAGAGCAACAAAUUGCACCAAAGCUGGGCCUGCUUGAUCAUGAUGAUGAACAUUGGAAGUCGAAGCAAACAAUUUGUAAUGUUACGAAUUGUCAGCUAUUGCAUGCAGAAAGAAAGAGGAUCAGACCUAAUGGUCUGACUGUGACACUCUACCCACCCUUAGAUCUUUGACUAUUUUGUUCAUCGCAUGUGGGUCUCCUUCCCUAUAAUCCUUACCAAUACAAAUAAGAAAAAUAAAAGAAAUAAAUUCCCCAUAGAAUAAGCAAGGGACUAACAUGGGUGCAUACGAAUACUAGAUAUAUGUUACCUGUUUUUCACCAAACACGUGACAAACAAGUCUUUGUUUAUAUGAAAUAUUGGAUCAUUGAUCUUUCCAAUUUGGAAACUAGAACUAGAAGGGCGUUGGGAAAAAAGAAAAAAAAGAAGAAGUAGAUGGAUAAUCUCAUAGCCUUGAUAAAGGAAAAAUAAAUAUCAUCAAUGGAGUCCUGUCUAACGAAAAAAUGCCUUGAUUUGCAGAUCAAUAAGUUUGAAUUCCCAUCGCUCCCUCUCAUUCCUAAUUUUGAUAAAAAUAAAAAAGAAAAAGAAAAAAAGGAAGCAUUUAUUUGUUUUCAUACUUGUGUUGCAAACAUAUAUGAUAGUUUGGGGAUGGGAAUAUUUUCACACCAAAAAUAGCUAUCUGAGGUUUGUUUAAUGAAUAAAGUAUCUUUCACUAUAUUUAUAUAGAGAGAAAAAAGAAGUUGCCCAAACCCCCUCUCACAUUGGGGGUGUGGAUUGUAGAGAUACAACCAGUUUUGCUAUGAAAAUGACUCCAUCAUAAUAUAUUUCAUGUGAAUCUUCACUGUUGUUAAUUAUAUCAAUUUUUGUCAUUAUACUUGUUUUGCACACAUCUGAUAUUCUAUAAAUGUAUGGAUAUUUUUAAGAAGGAAUGUAUUUUUCUAUUACUUAUACAAUUUGAAAAGUAUACAAAAAAAAGAAAAAAAAACAGACAUUGAAGAUAGUGAUUAUAGUGACAAGAAAAUAAAAAUUAUGGGUCUCACUCACAUCAAUUAGUUGUAUAAUUUUAUUUUAUUUAUGAUUUGGAAAAGAUAUUAUGACUGAUGUUUAAUGGUUUUUGACUCUCCACAUGAUUGGUGUGCACUGUCCCCACCCAGAACAUAAAAUACAGCUUUUCUCUGCAAUUGCAUCUUUGUUUUCCCUUUUACCUUUUGCAGAUGGAAAGAUAGUUUAAAAGAAGUUAAAAAGAAAUGGCUACUUGCUAGAGGCAGAGAGAGAGAGUCAGAAAUCAAAAUAUUCAAGGAGAAGGCCUGAAAGAUCCAAAACACACCUCCCCACCAUUCCUAGGCUUCCCAAACCCCCCCCUCUCUCUCUCUCUCUCUCUCUCUCUCUCUCUCUCUCAUCCAUUGGUUGGAACCCACAAUUUGUAUUUUCAUGUGUUCUUAAAAUUAGUAAAGCAAAAGCAAACAACAAUGAAGCUUCUUCUUGUUAUUGCUCUCAAUUUGCUUUUGCUGCUUGUACACCAAAAUCAGCCACGUCCCAUUUGUGUUGGUGCCACACCUGACCCACUUGUUUCCUCCGUAUUAGCUCCGCUUUCCUCACCCAUUUCUCCAAUUGCCUCACCCAUUUCUCCAAUUGCUUCAUCAAUGGCUUCCUUCUCUCCAGGUACUUAAUACUUAUGCUUUGCUCUGCUCUCCAUAGACUGAAGACUCUUCCUUUUCAUUUCUAGCAAGUGGGGUUUUAAUUGGGUCACGGGUGCACCACUUCGAAAAUUCGAAUUUCAAAAAUGACCACCAAAUUGCGUGCAUUUACUGCAAUAUAUUGAAUUCAAUUUCUCUGAUUUUAUCAACUUCUGUGAUGUUGGUGCAAAAAUCUCCUGGUUUUAAUGUAUGAGAUAUUGCCCAUUUGCUCAAUUUUUGCUGAAACACGCCUCUAUAUAUUUAAUUUGUAAUCAGAAAUUCAAGAAGGAAGUGAAGGGCAUCAAAUGGAGCCACAUAGGAAAAUGCUAAUUGCUCUCAUUGUCACCUGCACUGCACUUGGUGUAGUUUUGUUGUCACUGUUGUGCUUGUGGGUUUAUCACAAGAAAUGUCCACACAAGUCCCACAAGAAAAGUGCUCAGAGCUCAGGUACUUUCAUUUGUACCAAGCACUUUUUGCCCUCUAAAUCUUGCUUCAAUUUGUGCGUUUUAGUAUGCUCGUAAAUUGUUCUUCUCUGAGAUUUUUUGUUCUGUUUGGUUCUGUUUCUUUGGUUUGUGUAAGAAGAUGCUGAGAAGGGGCUUGCAUUGGGUCCAUUUAUGGGUAAAUUCAAUUCCAUAAGGAUGGUUUCUAAGAAAGGAUCUGUUUCAGUAAUUGAAUAUAAAGUACUCGAAAAAGGCACCAACAAUUUCCGGGACAGCAACAUUAUUGGUGAGGGUGGAUUUGGAUGUGUUUAUAAGGCCCGGUUGGAUGAUAAUUUGCUUGUUGCAGUCAAGAAACUAGACUGUGCAAGUCAGGAUGCUGAGAGAGAAUUUGAGGUAACUUUUGCUCAAAAUUUUAGUUGGAGUUUUGUAUAAUGCUGUAUUUAUUGUAAAUCUUAUCUGAUGUAUUUAUUAUGUCUAAAUUGCAGAAUGAGGUGGAGUUGUUACAUAAAAUUCAGCAUCCAAAUAUAAUUUCCUUUUUGGGUUGUAGUACUGAUGGUGACACAAGGUUCAUUGUUUAUGAGUUGAUGCAUAAUGGAUCUCUGGAAACUCAAUUGCAUGGUAAUACAUUUAGUUUCUGUUAUUUUUUUUUAAAAUUAAAAAAGGAAUAUCAUGAAAUAUAUAUUUUUGUCCUAUUGUUGCAGGACCGUCUCGUGGUUCAGCACUAACAUGGCAUAUGCGAAUGAAAAUUGCUCUUGAUGCAGCAAGGUGAGCUUGUUUUCCCAAUUGUGGAGUCCUUUAGUUGUUAUGGGUUGUUUACAUUUUAACAUAUUGGGUACUGUUGACCAGAGGAUUAGAACAUCUGCAUGAGUACUGCAACCCUCCAGUGAUCCAUAGAGAUCUGAAAACAUCUAAUAUUCUUUUAGAUGCCAACUUCAAUGCCAAGGUAUGGUUAUAUAAAUUAUUGUAGUGUCUCAUCUUUCCUUAUAAAAUUAUUGAGCUUGUAUUAAAAUAUUUCAAUAAUGCAUUAUUAUCAUCCUCUAGCGCUAAAUUCACUGAAGUUUUUUUUUUUUCUCUCUCAUGGUGGCUUGUUUCAGCUUUCUGAUUUUGGUCUUGCUGUGGCUGAUGGGGCCAAAAACAGUAAUAACAUCAAGCUCUCUGGCACCUUGGGUUAUGUUGCUCCAGAGUAUCUUUUAGAUGGUAUGCCAAUUAAACUUGUAAUAAUUGCAAGGUGUAUUCUUUAAUUCUCACUGGUUACUGUGUCUACUAAACUAUAGUUUCUUUUCCCUAAGCUAAAUAUAAUCUAAUUGUUCUUUGGACCCUUGACAACUACUAUGGUACUGCGUUUGAUCGACAUAAUAAAGUACGUGUCUUUUAGUUAAGCUAUCUAGGGGCCGUAGCUGCACAUGUUCUGCCACUGGGUUCAUAUACCAUUUUAGAUUUGGAAGAGGAAAUCCCAGAACUACUUGUUACACUCAAGCUUAUCUGAAAUUAGGGAUGUUAUAAGCCAUUUAUGUGGAAAUUUGAACUUGAGAGAAGGGAGAGGUGGACGGCUUGAUAGUUAUCAACUUUUGGAUGACCCGUUGAUUUUCUGAUAAAUUUGGAUUCACCUUGAAGACAAGUUUUUAGCUGAAUAAUAUGUAAAUUUUUGUUUAUAGACUUGGAUGGCAUAUGCAUGUUAGUAUCACACAUUUUAAAUAAUAAUGGCCACCAAAAUGCUAUUUGUCAGCGAGAAUACUAAAUAGCACAAUUUUCUAAAGAGCUGUGUGAGCUUCCCUGCACCAGACUUCUCGGCUUUCACUUUUGUUAUUAUAGCAUUUGAAACAAGUUUUGGUGGUAAGCAAGUCACUCUUAUGAUUUCUCAGGUAAAUUGACAGACAAGAGUGAUGUCUAUGCUUUCGGGAUUGUGCUUCUGGAGCUUCUACUAGGAAGAAGGCCUGUAGAAAAACUGGCACCAACUCAGUGCCAAUCUAUAGUCACAUGGGUAUGCCUUUUUCCUAACUGCUCUCAAUUUUAAUUUAUUUGCAUAAUUCCUGUCAAAAACUUAAAUAUUUCAAAACUCAAUGCUGUAAUACAGGCCAUGCCUCAGCUCACUGACAGAUCAAAGCUUCCAAACAUUGUGGAUCCUGUGAUCAAAGAUACAAUGGAUCUGAAGCACUUAUACCAGGUUUGUGAAUUACAAACCCAGUAUGUUUGGUUGCAAUUAGUUCUAUGACAGACUCGUGCUUGACUAUGUGUAUCGAUUCUUUUGUUUGUACUGAAUGGACACAAAAUUUCAUGCUGUAAUAUAAUUGAUGCGUUGCAAUGCAUUACGCACAGGUUGCUGCUGUAGCUGUGUUAUGUGUGCAACCAGAACCAAGUUACCGCCCACUGAUAACCGAUGUUUUGCAUUCCCUUGUCCCGCUUGUUCCAGUCGAACUUGGUGGGACGCUAAGAGUUACACAACCUACAGCCCCAGGGAGCCCCCCAGCUGGUCAUUGAUGCACAAGGCAUUUAUGAUGACACUUUUGCAACAUUCUGGGUUCCUGCUGCUCAAUUGACUGCUCCAAAUCCCACAGUGAUUUUCUUACUUUUAUUUUGCUGGGAAGUUAAUGCCUUCAGUUAUUUCAGAGGAGGAAAGUUGGUCUGGUAGGAAUGUAGAGCUAUUGGGAUCGUCUAUCGCAUUUGUAAAUUGGAUCAAUUAGUUUCAAGUUGCUUGUGCAUAUGAGGGCAUUCGUAGAAACACUAGCUAAUUUCAUUUUUGACCUUUGUUUUUCAGUGUAAGAAAUCAGCUAAUUUUCAGUGGUAAUUGGUAAUUACCUCUGGAGUCUGGACCUGUCUUUGUUCUGAGAGUUCUUUUGGGAAGGUAAAAGCUAACAAUCAUCUUUUGCUAAUGAAGUCAAAUUGCGAAGGAAAGCCUCAAAUAUUACCAUCUAAUGAUUACAAACAUCAACUUCUUUCUGAGUCCAUCUAAAGUUCUCUUAAAGCCUGAAGAGUGGAGAGCCAGAAAGUACAUAUAAAUGAGAAAAUCCUGUUUUUAUUCUUAAGAAAAAGUCUUAUUUCUAAUUAAUUCUCUUCAGGUUUGAUCUUUUAACACCUUUUUUUUGUUUUUUUUGUUUUUUGGGUGGGGUUUGUGGGGUGGGUUUUCCCCUCAAGUUCAUUUAAUAUAGAGAAAAGAAAAAGAAACCUACAAGACAAGGAGAUAAUAAGGGCAAAGCAGUCUUAGCAACCCUAGCUACUCGAAUGGAAAAUGGCAAUUUGACAGUGAACAUCUCUAUGUCAGGCCAUCUCCAGCUAUGGCCAUAGGUCAAAUGUAGUCUUAAAAUAAUGUAAAAUUCAUCUUCAGUUAUGGGCUAAUUUUUUUUUUUUUGGGCCACAUUUGGCCCUUUAGCCCUCCAAGCAGGCUAUUUGUAACCCAGUUUUAGCCUAGGCCAAAUUUUUUUUGUGGGCUCAACGCAUGUGCUUUUCAAAAAGAGAAAGUAUCACGCGUGAACAAGAGAACGAAGCAUCUCGUGCAACUGCAUAUCCAACAUCUAAUAUUAAAGGAACGCUGACGUCAUCGAUGACGUAAGCUAGCUAUUAGGUUAUUUUUUAUUUAAAAAAAUAACAUUUUUAAAUGUUUUCAAAUUCGUUUUGUUUUUAAAAAAUAUAUAUAUAAUUGGUUUUUGACCCAUGGAGGUUAGAACCAUUGAAUGAAAAGUUACUUUUUUUAUAUAUUUAAAAUCUUUUAAAAUGUUUUAAAAUUGUUUUGUUUAAAAAAAAUAUAAAUAAAACGUACACGUGUCAUAUAUGGAAUAUUGUCUCUAAAUAGUAGUUGAAUUAAAUUAAACAAUACAUAGUUGUGGAAUGUAAGAGUGUUGUACUAUAGUUUUUCUCAAAAUAAUAAAAUAUGAAGGGCUCUAAAAUAUAGCUUUGCAUGGCUGAAGAUGGAAAAAAUUGUGAGAAAUUAAUAUAAUUUUAUUUAAUAUUAGUUUUCUAUUUGAAUGGAAAUUAAUAAAAUCCAUUGGAUUAAAGACAUGACCCUUGGGUAAAGACAUCUUCAAUUGGGGGGUGACAACUCUUCAAACUAAGAGAUACAUUGUUUGGGGUGACAACUCUUCAAGAUCAAGGGAUGCACUUUUUGCCUUUUCAGAUUGGGAUACCUUUUUAGAAAGAGUAUUUCAUCAUCUAUAAAUAGAGCAAUCCUCCUACAGUUUUAGUCAUUCAAUCAAUUCUCUACAUACAUACUCAUAUUUCCUACAAUCUUAAGACGAAUUACGCCCCACACUGGUGCUUAUGGUUCUCUAGCGCUCGCCUCUCAGGAUACAACGACUCUCCUCCUUAUGAAAGAAGCACUCCAAUUCACAAGGAACUUUGAACCAAAAUUAUGUAGGAACCUCUCUUUAUGAAAACUCUAAUGCUCUCUAUAUAUGAAAGUAUGUAAUUAAAUUAAACAAACACUAAUUGCCUUUUGUUUCUAUUGUUAGACAAAGUCUACAUAUACAGCAUCGGUUUUUAUUUAUUUAUUUGGAAUCUGUUUUCUGUUUGGCAUCAUUUUUUAUUAUUCUGUUCAUAAAUUCUGAUUAUAUUUAUCUACAUACAUUAAUAUUACUGUACCUGUGAAUUAUAGCAUUCUGUAUUACUGUUAUCUUGAAUAAUUGCAUAUUGCUUUUGCUAUACUUUUUAUCGGUAUUGCAUUAUUAAUUUCUGUGUGUUUUGUUGUAACACACUAUUGUGAUUCAUAAUUUAUCUAUUAGAGACUGCCAAAUAUUUAUUUAUUGACAUUGAGAUUGUUUAUUCGUCUUAAGGAAAAUGUCGAAUGAGAUACAGAAAGUGGGUCCUUCUAUGAAGACAAGUGCACCUGCUGUAGGUUGCCUUCAUCCCAUAAUCAUGCAGAGAAGCCUGAAAAAUUUAAUGGGAUGGAUUUUAAGAGAUGGCAACAAAAGAUGUUGUUCUACAUCACCACAUUGAAUUUGGCUCAUAUCUUGAAAGCAGAUCCUCCUGGACCUGGUGAUACAAUAGAAACAGUGGCUGCUUCUGAUGCAUUGAACCAGUCGGAUUUCCUUUGCAGGAACUACAUCCUAAAUGGUUUAAGUGAUGCACUAUACAAUGUGUAUAGUCCAAUUCAGACUGCCAAGGCUUUAUGGGAGUCACUAGACAAGAAAUAUCGAACCGAAGAUGCAGGAAUGAAGAAAUUUAUUGUCGGUCGGUUUCUUGACUACAAGAUGGUAGACUGCAAGACUGUUAUAAGUCAAGCCCAAGAACUCCAACUCAUUCUACAUGAGAUACAUGCAGAAAAGAUGGAAUUGAGUCUUUCCAAGUGGCUGCUGUCAUUGAAACCACGCUCUUGGAAGGAUUUCAAAAACUACCUUAAGCAUAAGCGUAAGGAGAUGGGACUUGAGGAUUUGAUAGUAAGGCUAAGGAUCGAAGAGGACAAUCGCCGUGCUGACAAAAAGUCUGGAUCCAUAAUGGAAGCAAAGGCUAACAUAGUGGAAAAAGAGUCAAGAAAAAACAAAAAGAGGAAGCACUCUGGAGAAGGCUCAAGGCAAGGGAACUCCAAGAAGUCCAAGGAAUUUAAGGGAAAGUGCUUCAAUUGCAACAAGCAAGGGCAUCGAGCUGUGGAUUGCCGAAGUAGAAAUGGACAAGGCAACCAAAAGAAAAAGGGCAAGACUGAGGCACACAUGACUGAAGAAGACAAGCUUUCAACUGAUUUGUCAGAUAUUAAUCUUUCUGCAGUCGUGUCUGAAGUGAACUUGGUGGGCCCACCAUGGAAUGGUGGGUGGAUACUGGAGCUACACGCCACAUAUGUUCUGAAAUGAAAAUAUUUUCUACAUAUGAAGCAAAUGAUCAAGGAGAACCUUUAUUUAUGGGAAACUCCUCCACCUCCAAAAUUCAUGGCCAAGGAAAAAUAGUUCUAAAGAUGACAUCUGGAAAGGAAGUCACUCUCAAUAAUGUACUUCACGUCCUGAGAUCCGGAAGAACUUGGUUUCUGGAUCACUGCUUAGCAAGAAUGGGUUCAAGUUAGUCUUUGAGUCUGAUAAGUUUGUACUUACUAAGAAUGGAAUGUAUGUGGGGAAAGGGUACCUUACUGAUGGACUCUUCAAGAUGAAUGUAAUGACUGUUGUACACAAAGUUAAUAAAAAUAAAGUUAGUUCUGCCUAUAUGCUUGAGUCAUCUGAUUUAUGGCAUGGAAGAUUAGGGCAUGUUAAUUAUGACAAAUUGCGUCAAUUAAUUAACAUGGAACUAAUACCUAAGUUUCAUAUUGAUUUCCAUAAUAAAUGUGAAACCUGUGUUGAAGCAAAACUAACUAGAUCAUCAUUCCAGUCUAUAGAAAGAAGUACAUAACCUCUAGAAUUAAUUCACAGUGAUAUUUGUGAUUUGAAAUUUGUACAAACUAGAGGUGGUAAAAAGUAUUUUAUUACUUUUAUUGAUGAUUGUACAAGAUAUUGUCAAUUAUAUUUGCUAAGAAGCAAAGAUGAGGCCAUAGAAAUGUUCAAACAUUAUAAAAGUGAAGUUGAGAAUUAACUUAGUAGGAAAAUAAAGAUAUUAAGAAGUGAUAGAGGUGGUGAAUAUGAAUCACCUUUUGGUGAGUUUUGUUCCCAACACGGAAUUAUUCACCAAACUACUACUCCAUACUCACCUCAGCAAAAUGGUAUUGCUGAACGCAAAAAUCGUACUAUGAAAGAAAUGAUGAAUGCUUUGCUAGUAAGUUCUGGAGCACCCCAGAAUUUGUGGGGGGAAGCUUUACUUUCUGCUAAUUACAUUCUCAACAAAUUGCCUCAUAAAAAGUUAGACAAAACACCUUAUGAGUUAUGGAAAGGUCACAAGCCUUCCUAUAAAUACUUGAAAUUGUGGGGGUGUCUAGCUAAAGUUGCAGUUCCAACCCCUAAAAAGGUUAAGAUAGGACCCAAAACUAUUGAUUGUAUCUUUAUUGGUUAUGCCAUUAACAGUAGUGCAUAUCGUUUCCUUGUACACAAAUAUGAUAUAUUAGAUGUACAUGUGAAUACGAUUAUUGAAUCAAGGAAUGCAUCUUUCUUUGAAAAUGUAUUUCCUUAUAAGGAUGCACAAGAAAGAAAUGCACUUAAAAGAACCUUUGAUACUGUUAAUAGCGAUAGCCAAGAAAGUCAUCAAGAAAAUAUGGACAAAGAGACUACAAAACCAGAACUUGGACAUGAACCCAGGCGUAGUAAGAGAGCUAAGACAACCAAAUCCUUUGGUCCUGAGUUUCUAACUUAUUUGUUAGAAAAUGAGCCUCAAAUCUACAAAGAAGCCAUGACUUCUCCUGAAGCUCCAUUAUGGAAAGAGGCUAUUAAUGCCGAAGUUGAAUCCAUCAUGCAGAAUCACAAUUGGGAACUUGUGGAUCUUCCUCCUGGAAAUAAACCAUUGGGUUAUACAUGGAUUCUUAAGAAGAAGAUGAAAGCUGAUGGAUCAAUUGACAAAUACAAGGCAAGGCUUGUUGUCAAAGGUUAUAAGCAAAUAGAAGGAUUGGAUUACUUUGACACAUAUUCACCAGUUACGAGAAUAACAUCGAUAAGAAUGUUAAUUGCAAUUGCAGCAUUGCAUAAUCUUGAGAUACAUCAAAUGGAUGUGAAAACGGCCUUUCUAAAUGGUGAUUUAGAUGAGGAAAUUUAUAUGGAACAACCUGAAGGGUUUAUUGUUCCUGGACAAGAAAAGAAAGUCUGUAAGCUUGUUAAGUCUUUGUACGGGUUAAAGCAAGCACCAAAACAAUGACAUAUGAAAUUUGACAAUGCACUAAUGUCAAAUGGUUUCAAGAUCAAUGAGUGUGAUAAAUGUGUUUAUACGAAAAGCACUCAAGAUGAUUUUGUAAUUAUUUGUCUUUAUGUUGAUGAUAUGUUAAUUAUUGGUAGCAAUAUUGGGAUGAUUAAAUCUACCAAGAAAAUGUUGACCAAUAAUUUUGACAUGAAAGAUUUGGGAGUAGCAGAUGUGAUUCUAGGGAUUAAAAUUUCUAAAACAUCUGAUGGACUAGUGUUAUCCCAAUCACAUUAUAUUGAGAAAAUACUUGCGAAGUUUAGCAAGUAUGAUACUAGUCCUGUAAAAAAACCUUAUGAUCCAAGUCUUAAUCUUGUGAAGAAUAUAGGUCAUGGUGUUUCACAAACAGAAUAUGCUCGUAUCAUUGGUAGUCUCAUGUAUCUUACGAAUUGCAAAAGGCCUAAUAUAGCUUACUCUGUUAAUAAAUUAAGCAGAUAUACUAGUAAUCCUGGAAGGGAUCAUUGGAAAGCUAUAGUCAGAGUUCUAAGAUAUUUAAGAUACAUCAAAAAUGUUGGACUGCAUUAUACAAGAUAUCCAGCUGUACUUGAAGGAUAUAGUUAUGCUAAUUGGAUAUCUAAUACUAAAGACUCCAAUUCUACAAGUGGAUAUGUCUUUACAAUUGGAGGUGCGGCUAUAUCAUGGAGAUCUACUAAGCAAACUAUUAUAGCAAGAUCUACUAUGGAAUCUGAGUUCAUAGCAUUAGAUAAAGCUGGUGAGGAAGCUGAAUGGCUACGUAAUUUCUAAGAAGAUAUUCCAUGUUGGCCAAAAAAUGUAUCUGUUAUAUGUAUACAUUGUGAUAGUCAAUCUACAAUUGCAAGGGCACAAAACAAUAUGUACAACGGCAAGUCUCGUCAUAUACGUCGAAGACACAACACCAUUAAGCAACUGCUCUCUAGUAGUAUAAUUACAAUUGACUACAUAAAGUCAAAAGAUAAUUUGGCGGAUCCGUUUACUAAAGGUUUGAACGGAGAGCAAGUUUAUAGAUCAUCGAGGGGAAUGAGGUUAAAGCCCAUGUCAAAUGAGUCGUCAUAGUGGAAACCCAACCUAGUUGAUUGGAGAUCCCAAGAUCUAGGUUCAAAAUGGACAACUAAAUUAUGAUAACUCAAAAAUAACACUGCGGAGAUAUAUUCUCCUACCCAUAUCCUAUGAUGAUACAGUGUUGUAUGAAAUGUGUUUAGGUUAAGCCAUGCUUUUAAUGAUUCCUAUACCUUGAUUAUCCGAGUAAGAUAUGAGAGGAUAUUACCAAUAGGAAGUCACCUAUAUAAGUGUGAAAUGGGGCCGUUUCCAUGAGAAUUUUCAGGGCUAAAUUCUCUAAAGCACUUAUGAAACCAGGAAUUGCUCAAGGCCAAAACGAGCACAACCGAUCGAACCAGAUAUGUCUAGAAGGAUAUUGUGUGAGUAUUAUUGUCUGGGUUUACACGAACGGCUGAACAGUUCAAGACAUCACGUUCACUGAUUAGCCAAGUGAAUCCGAUAGUACUUCACUAUGGAAGGUUCAAAGUCAAAAGCUACCUAUCUAGAUGCUAUAUUCUUCUAAUAGGAACUCUCUCUAAGUCUGCAUUAUCAUUUACAUAUUGUUGAAACUAAUUUCCAUUCAUGUGGGGGAUUGUGAGAAAUUAAUAUUAUUUUAUUUAAUAUUAGUUUUCUAUUUGAAUGGAAAUUAAUAAAAUCUAUUGGGUUAAAGACAUGACCCUUGGGUAAAGACAUCUUCAAUUGGGGGGUGACAACUCUUCAAACUAAGAGAUACAUUGUUUGGGGUGACAACUUUUCAAGAUCAAGGGAUGCACUAUUUGCCUUUUCAGAUUGGGAUACCUUUUUAGAAAGGGUAUUUCAUCAUCUAUAAAUAGAGCAAUUCUCCUGCAGUUUUAUUCAUUCAAUCAAUUCUCUACAUACAUACUCAUAUUUCCUACAAAAUUUAACUAUACACUAUUUUUAAUGGCUAAAUUUCUAGUCCUAGACUACAUUUAACCCUAUAACAGGGGAUAGCCAGAUUGCCAUUUCCCUGAAAAAUUACCGAUACAUGAAGUUAAUUACCCAGCAGAUUUGGGUAACCAAUGUAAUUUCCACCCUUUGAGUUGGAAUUAGCUUUAUUGAGUAGUCAAUUCCAAAAAUCUUGACCUGAGAUGCGAAAGUCUACACCACGUUUUUUUUUUUUUUUUGUGGUCAACGAGUCUACACCACGUUUAUUGCAGCAUGAUGAAUUGAAUCUGAAACAAAACUCAUCUGAAUAAUUGACUUUUUUCUGAGAUUGAAGAGAAUGCGGGUUUGUUAAUUAAUUUAAGGCUUCAAAUCAGACAGGAGUUGGCCUGAGUCCAAUGAAAUUCAUAUAAUAUAUACUCACGUCCGUAAAAAUCAUUAAUUUAACUGUUCGUUAAAAAAAAACAAAACAAAAAAGUCUUACCAUGCGAGGUCGAGAACCACCCACCCUUUUCAGUUUUUUAUCAAUGCAGACUUGUCAAUGACAAGCAUCAUCAUCAUCAUCUACCUCUGGUAUCUUCCACCAUUUGGCUACCUUAACCUUUGAUGAAUUUCACGUUGGAUGGUUUCUAACUAUAAUAAUAAUGAAUAUUAAGAUUUCAUUAACUAAAAUUUUACAUAAUUGAAAUUGGCAACCCCUUAUAUAUGUCUCAAUAUCUGCAUGAACCUCUGGCAAUUUAAAACAAUUAAAAACUUUUAUCCAGCAAAUUCUACAUAACAUCCCACUUCUCACAACAUUUCCACUGGGACACACAAACCAUGUUUAUUUUACAUAAGCUGAGAUUGAGAACAGAGACAUUAAUAUACUAGCUAGGACUUGGAGUUGGGAUGGGGAAAUAUGAUAUUGGAUUUCUUGGUUGUAGCCUCAAUGGUGGACUUGGUGUUGGAGUUGGAGUUGGAGUUGGAGAGAGAGUGAAAAUAAGAGGCCAUAGAUUGGGCCAUGGAAUCAAACAUCAUUCGCUUCACUGACCUCCUUUUUGCUGGAAUCACACUUGCAAAAUUUGAAGUCUUUGGUUGAACGCAUGUUUUUUUAUUGCCUGCUGCAACCACUUCCUUACCUGGGUUCUUCUUCAUUUCUUCUUCAGCUGUCCUGUGUUUCCACCCCUUUGCUUAGCUUCUGGCUGUGUAAGAGUGUUACGUGUUUGAUGAGUUUUGCAAUGGUGUUAGGGGGACUUGUUUGGGCUUGUUUAUAUAGACACAAACAAAAACCAAAAACCAAAAUAAGGUUUGGAAAUUACACAGAAUGUUCGUCUAAAAAGGUUUAGAGUUUAUAUUAUUUUAUUGGCAAUAUCUUUGAAACUUCAAUCAAAUCCACUUCUUACGUCCAAAUUCGGAGUAUUGAUGUAAAACGUAGGACACAACUCCAAGUCGCUUGGCCACCUCAUGAAUUUUGCAACGUAGAAAAAGAAAAUGCUAUUAACUUUUACAAAUUUGCAUAUUUUUUAUAUUUUAAAAUAAUAAAAUACUUGAAGUAGACUCACUUGAUAAACCUAGUAGUAAAAAGUCUUAUAUAGAGUCCACAACAAAAAACUCUUAAAGUUUUUCGUAUAGACAAGGACAUUACAUUUUCCCAUUAAUGAUACUUUCAAAGUUUUUCACACCGUUUCCUCCUCUAGAUCUAGAAGCUUCAUUAUUAUGUUAUUGUUAGAUAACUAAUUCGGAUUUCAGUGACUUUCUAUAAAGACGAUAAAGUAAAUUUAGGUUUUAAUAAUAAAAAAACUUUUCAGUAAAAUAAAAGUAAACAUGAGAAAAUAAUUGAUUUCCCAUUAAUCAAACGGGGUAUAGGUAGCUUAAGGAAAGGAAUUUUGUUUUCAGUAUUAUUUAGAUUUUCAAAACAAAUAAAAUAAAAUUAUAUACGUGGUCCACGAGGAAAUUUCUCAACCUUUUUCAUUUCACUUAUUCCUUGUUGAGUUUUAUUUCGCAGAUUGUAAUCGAAAGGCCAUCUCGUGGCUAAACGACAAAAAUGGAGUUACUAGAAGAGCAAACUAUAUUGAUAGAACUUAGAAGGUUGAAGUUCAAAAUAGAAAUAACAUAAUUUGCUACCAAAAAUCACAAGUUUGUUAGGCACAAAUUUUUACGUAAAUAUGGAGACAAUGGUCUUUACAAAACUCAGAAUUUACUUUCAAUGGUUUUAUUAUCUCUUUCUUGUAGACAGAGAAAAAUACCACAAAAAAUAAAUUAAUGUAUCAAAAUCUAAAUUUACAUCUCACUCAUUGGAGGAAAAAUCACAUUUACAUCCUCAAGACGGCAUUACUCUUAGCCCUCCCUGUAACAAUUACCGGUACAUGAAGUUAAUUAACAAAAAAAGAAGUCAUUAUACAUGUCUCAAUAUCUGCAUGAACCUCUGGCAAUUUAAAACAAUUAAAAACUUUUAUUUAAUUUAAGACAUUACAGAAACCAGUAAACAUAUAUAGACUUCACACUUCUCUAUACUGCAACAAUUUCAAAACGACAUGAUCAUCUAUAGUAUAUGGAAUUUGAUCAAGCCCACAACAUUUCCACUGAGACACACAAACCAUGUUUAUUUAACAUAAGCUGAGAUUCAGAACAGAGACAUUAAUAUACUAGCAAGGACUUGGAGUUCUUGGUUGUAGCCUCAAUGUCAAUGGUGGAGUUGGAGUUGGAGUUGGAGUUGGAGUUGGAGUUGGAGUUGGAGAGAGUGAUAAAAAGAGGCCAUAGAUUGGACCAUGGAAUCAAACAUCAUUCGCUUCACUGACCUCCUCUUUGCUGGAAUCACACUUGCAAAAUUUGAAGUCUUUGGUUCAACGCAUGUUUUUUUAUUGCCUGCUGCAACCACUUCCUUACCUGGGUUCUUCUUCAUUUCAACUUCAGCUGUCCUGUGUUCAACUUUUCCACCCCUUUUGCUUAUCUUCUGGCUCUGUAAGAGCAACUACACCCAUUUGUCCUUAGCCAUGGCAAGGGGGGAGCUAGGGCAGUCACUAUUCACGUGAAUAGUGGUUGCCCUUGCAAAUAGUAUUUUGUGUUUGCACCCAUUGCCAUGGCUAAGGGCAAUUACUAUUCAUUUUUUUGUUUUUUCACAACUUUUUUUUACUUAAAUAAUUAAUUUGGAUAAUAUUUUCGGAUAAGAUUUUUGGGUUCCUACGUGUCAAUACUAUUCAUAUCGGAUAAGAUUUUUUUUAGCGGAGGUGCAAUAUUGGCUAAGUAUGAAAAAUGGUUUUUCGGAAUAAUCAUUUUCUCAAGAUAAUUUUUGGCGGCUUUUAUUCCUUACACAUCAAAUAAGAAAACUUGAUUUUAUGGAAUUUUAAUAUGAAGUAUAUAUUGACUUAAUGAGCCAUCAUUUUUAGCCUAAAUCGUAUUUUGCACUAAAACCGAUUUUUCAUAUUUUGAUUUGGUGGGAAUUUGAUUUUCUAGUAUUUUUAUUUGAAUCCAAAUGGGGGGUACUUCCUUAUUUACAUUGUAAACUUAAGUAAAUGGAGUAAUAUAGAGAGGAAAAUAUUGAGUAUAAAGAGUGAAUAAUGAUAGAAGUAGAAGAAAAUGUACGAGGAUUAGUGUUGAAAGUGAAGGGUAUUGAUAGGUAUUUAUAGAAGAAAAAAUCUGACUUUUUUAGAAUUUUUUUAAAAAAAAUUAGAUUUUUUUAUAAAAAAUUAGAUUUUUUUAUAAAAAAUUAGGCGAUGACGUCACGCUGACGCAGGCCGUGACGUCAUCAGCCUGGGUUUGAACGCGGGCUGAAAUGGCCCGAGGGCCAGCCCGAGUUGGUGGGUCCCACACGCAACUCGGGCCUGGGCUCCCCGCUGGAAUGAGAUUUUUUUUCCGCCCCCCCCCCCCCCCCCCCCCCCCCAGCCUUGGGCUGAGCCUCCCCGGUGGAGUUGCUCUAAGUGUUACGUGUUUGAUGAGUUUUGCAAUGGUGUUAGGGGGGUUUGUUUGGGCUUGUUUAUAUAGACAAAAAAAAAAAAAAAAAAGGUUCGGAAACUACACAGACUGUUCGUCUAAAAAGAUUUAGAGUUUAUAUUAUUUUAUUGGCAAUACCCUUGAAACUUCGAUCAAAUCUGCUUUGCACCUCCAAAUUCGGGGUAUUGGUGUAAGGAAAACAUAGGACACAACUCCAAGUUGCUUGGCCACCUCAUGAAUUUUGCAACGUAGAAAAAGAAAAUGCUAUUAACUUUUAAAAAUUUGCAUAUUUUUUAUAUUUUAAAAUAAUAAAAUACUUGAAUUAGACUCACUUGAUAAACCUAGUAGUAAAAAGUCUUAUAUAGAGUCCACGACAAAAAACUAAGUUUUUCAUAUAGACAAGGACAUUACAUUUCCCCAUUAAUGAUGCUUUUAUUUUCUAUUCAACCAUUUUCGCACGGUCUCCCUCCUCAAGAUCUAAAAGCUUCAUUAUUAUAUUAUUGUUAGAUAAGUAAUUCUGAUUUUAGUGACUUUCUAUAAAGACGAUAAAGUAAAUUUAAGUUUAAGUUACAAAAAAAAUUUUACUUUUGAAAAAAGUCAAAACUUUUCCGAAAAAGACAGAAAAACUUUUCAACUUUUAAACUAAAGACGUACAAAUAUAAAAGAUUCUUUAGAAAAUCCAAAAAUAAGUAAGGAUAUUUUUGUCUAUUUUAACUUCUUUUAAAAAUAUUUCUAUCUCUUUUGACAUUUUCUAAAAUAUCCCAGAUUAAAUAAGUUCCUAAAAAUUGAACUGUUCGAACUAACAAAUCUAAUUGAUGAUUGGAUCCACUUGCAAUAUAUAUAGGUAAACAUGCUUGGGAUUGGGGCUACAUAUACAGGGAUGCAAGGAAACAUUGUGGGCCAACUCAAGAUUGUAAAAUUAUGCUUAUGUUCCUGCCUUAGAGCAUUUCCAGCAAGGGGACCAAGGGGAGGGCUGGGGGCGCAAGUCCAAAAUGUUGUUUUCAAUAAUAAAAAGUGGCUCGGGCAAGGAGUGGGAUCCAGCGAACUGAGCUGGCCCGAGGGGAAAGCUGGCCCAAGCGCCAGCCAGCGUUUUGGAGAUGAUGUCAGUGAGCUGAUGUCAUGACGACGUCAGCUACAAUUCCCCCCAACGGCUAGCUUCCAUGUGGCGUGGGCUUGGCUCUUCGAUCAGAAUUUUUUCAGCAAUUCAACGACAACUAAUUUUUGUGCAAUAAAAAAAAAUAAAAAAAAUAAAAAAAUUACUGAUUUUUUUUUCUCUAUACCUUAUUUCUAUUUUCACCAUUUAAGUAAAUGUCUUUGUCCUUUUACUUUCAUUUAUUUUUAUAUUACUUCAUUUACUUAAGUUUACAAUGUAAAUAAGGAAGUACCACCCAUUUGGAUUCAAAUAAAAAUACUAAAAAAUCAAAUUCCCACCAAAUCAAAAUAUGAAAAAUCAGUUUUAGUGCAAAAUACGAUUUAGGCUAAAAAUAAUGGCUCAUUAAGUCAAUAUAUACUUCAUACUAAAAUCCCAUAAAAUCAAGUUUUCUUAUUUGAUGUGUAAGGAAUAAAAGCUGCCAAAAAUUAUCUUGAGAAAAUGAUUAUUCCGAAAAACCAUUUUUUAUACUUAGUCAAUAUUGCACAUCCGCUAAAAAAAAUUAUGGGUCCGCCAGUAUCUAUAAAUACCAACCAAUACUCUUCACUUUUAACACCAAAUCCUCAUACAUUUUUUUUCUUCUAUAAAUACCAACCAAUACAACUAAUAAAAUAAAAUCUUAUCCGAAAAUAUUAUCCCAAUUAAUUGUUUAGGUUAAAAAAGUUGUGAAAAAAACAAAAAAAUGAAUAGUAUUUGCCAUGACAAAGGGCAACUGUUGGAAACACACAUUGCUUAAUAUGGUAAGGGCAGCUACUAUUCACGUGAAUAGUAGCUGCCCUAGCCGCCCCGCCCCCCCGCGGGCGCCCCCCCUUGCCAUGACAAAGGACAAACUGCUGGAAGUGCUCUUAGCAGCCUUAUCAACCUUAGUUACUUGCAUGGUAAAUGACAUUUUUCCCAAUUUACAUUUUCUUUUCUGUAUGAUUGGAGGAAAUGCAGGUUUGUUGAUUCUGAAUGCAUGUAUUCAAACUAGAUAACCAGAGUCAAAUGAAAUUCAUAUAAUAUUCAAGUCCACAUCCUCAUAUUGCUUGUUCUGUUUUAUUAGAAUGGACAUUGGAAAAUUAAGCCCCCAGAGUGAGUGGUAUAGCAAUCAUAGAAAGAUUUGCAGAGGAUUUCUAUGACCUUAAAACUACGAAAGCAAAUAUUUGAAGAGGGUUUAUAUGAUCUUAAAACAAUGAAAUCAAAGAUUUUCUGCCCUCUUCUUCAUUGGAGUUGACAUGGAGUCAUGGACUUCAGAACAUUUUUCUUUGUACACCAUGCAGAUGCUAUUACCUUUCGUUGAUUUUACCAUUUUCAUUUUCACGUAGUCUGCUAAUAAGUUAUAAUUAGAAUAGGUCAAAGUUCAAUUCCAUGAGACUGUGAUAGCUUCUAAUGCAGACAUGGCAUAAGUUUGUAAAUUUUGUAAAAUAAUACUAAGAAAAAGACUAGUUGGGUGAACAAUGGGCUGAAGUUUGGGCCAUGUGUGGGAGGUUUGGUUUAGGGCUCUAGUAAUUUGAUAUUCUAUAGUGAGGGCCUUAUAUAAGAUCUUUAGAUGAGACCAUAUCUCUUAAUCGAUGAAUCAAAUUGAUUUGCAUGACUCAUCUAGUAAUACUUUGUUGGGCAUGAGACUUAACAUUUUAUAGGCCUAAUGUGAUAAUAAGGGCAAAGCAGUCUUAGCAACUCCAGUUCGGUUCGAACUAGUUAUUUUUUAUUUUUUAUAUUUAAAUUUAUUAUGGUGAUAAUCGGAAUUGAAAUCGAAUCCAAUCAGUCUUGUUUGGUUUUUUAUAACCAAAGUUGACUUUUUAAUCAACACGAUUUUUUCAGUUUUUUUGGGCCCGAUUCAGAUAGCGUUUGGUAGUGUUUAAAUUUUAAAAAAAGCUGCUUUAAUAAAAAUUAUGCCAAACCAUGGUGUUUGGUAAACAUCAUAAAUGAGCUUUUUAAAAAAAUUGCGGUCAAUCACCGCUAUUUUUUCAAAGCAGGCAAAACCCAGCUUUUAAAAGCUGCUUUAAAAAAAAUUUAACCGGUGGUUUAAUGAAUGUUUUACUUUCCCAUAAUGCCCUCACUUAUUUUUCAAAUAGACAGUCCUUGUCCCUCCAAUACAAAUCGAGCGACGCAAACUCCUCUUCUUCUCCAUUCUGCAAACUCCCAUUUUCUUCUUCGUUCUGUUCAUUCACAACCAUCCCUCUUCCUAUUCGUUCUACCUCACAUCCCUUUUUCUAUUCGUCGUCUGCAACAAACCCCACCCAAGCUCCAACCACAACCACAACCUCCGACCAUGGGCUGUGCUUGGACUGUAGACGACGAUGAUGACUGUGCAAGGAGGACGACUUCUCUGGGCAGAGGGAGAAAAAUAGAACAAGGAGAAGGAGUAGAAGAGAACAUUUUUUAAAAGAAAAAAAAUUUGCAGAGAGAAAGGAGAAGAAGCAGGUGAUAGGAAGAAGGAGAAGAAGAAGAUGAAAAAGGAGCAGCAGAAAGGGAUGCAGAGAUCUGGAAAAAAAAAAGAUUCAAAGAGACGAAAAUGUUCUGACUCAGAAAAAUUGUAAAUUAAAAAAAGAAAAAAAAAUGUAGCGUAAAGGUUUUUUUAUAUUUUUUAUUUUAAAUUUAAGUAGAAAAAGAAAUAAGAAAACAACAAAUAAUUUCAUCAUGAUUCAUGUCCUUUUUUGUCAUUAUACACACUAAAAGCAAUUUUGAUAAAAUUUUACCAAACACUUUGAUUACUCACAACACUUUUUCAAAUAUAGUUUACAAAACGCCUAACUGAUUUUUUUAACAGCUGAUUAUUCUCACAGCACAACAGAAGCAGUUUUUUUAAAAGCACAACAAUACCAAACUAACUCUCAAUUUAAUUUACCAUUUUCGAUUCUGAUGCCAACCUCUAGUUUGUGAGCCUUUCGGCCUCCUUGGAGACAAGUUUGGGCCCUUAGAUGUACUGUUUUUGAGAGUGUUUCCUUUAUAGCCAAAGGCCCGUGAAAUUAUAUGAUUUGUUAGUUGGGCUUUUUCUACCAGAAAGGUUUUCUUUUCUUAAUCUUCAGCGUCAUUAGGAACAAAUGGCAUGUCUCAAAUUGAAUUAUUGAUCUCUCCUGUUUAUCCCAUUCCUCCAGUAAAUUGCUAUUAAGCCAAGACAAAAAAAAGAAGCUUAUAGUUGUUAGUAGAAGUUACAAAAAAAAUUUGAAUCAGGCCCCUGCUUGGUGAAGGAAUUAAAGAAAUACCGAUUAAUUUUCACAUAUAUUCAAUCAGGCCACUGCUUGAUUUUAUUUAUUUAAAAAAAAAAAAAAACUUAUAAGCCCUCUGUCAUGAAGAAGUAAAUUAAGAAUAAAUUUAUAGCAGCAGCAGCUGUAUUGCUUUCCAUUGUCUUUUUUCUGUGAUGGAGGGAUGGCUUUCUUCAUUCUAGAAUCUUAAUUCCAACCAGACAAGAGGGGGACCCGAGUGAAAUGAAAUUCAUAUAAUAUUCUAAUUCCACACUAAUCAAUAAUGUAAGGGGAAUAAGAACAGUAAUUAUUGAAUUGAUCCCCAAUAUGGUAGUAUGUUCACACAGUGAAAGCAAAGUGCAGAGGAUGAUUAGUAUGACUUUAGGACAUUGAAAACAAAUUAAGCAAACAUUUUCUCUGUUCUUGGCAUGGACUAGAGCUAACUAAACGAUCUUUCUUGGGGGACAAAUUAUAAUUUAUAAUAUCCUCCAAAAAAUUUACUCUAAAUUCAUUUUGGAGUUUAUACUAUUUUAUUAGCUUAAUUACACCAAUACCCCUGAAACUUUAAUCAAAUCUACUUUGCACCUCCAAACUUAGGAGGUAUUGGUGUAGUUAAGCCUAUUUUAUUUUCUCAUGCUAGAUUUUGUCUAGAUCUCAGGGGACCAUACUCAAUGUUGUUUCUCGUUUCACCCUCUUCUGGAUAGGUCAAUAUUUUCCAUCAGAAUAAAAACACUGUCCCCAAGAAAAAACACACUUUGUGUCUUCUAUUUCUCAACUUCUCCACACCUUUACAUUGACAAACCAUAGAAUUCCACUAUGGCACAAAUUUUGUAAAGUUACAGACCAAAAUUAAGCUACUUUCGGUUUGAUUGAUUCCAAGGAAUUACAAUGAUGAAAUAGAAACGCACUUGAUUUCCCAAAUGGGUUUUGGUUUUGAAAUCUUUAAAAUUUGAUAAUGUCCUCUUUUAGAAGCUCAUCCAUAUAAGAUUAAGAUUAACUAAUGAUUCUAUAAAAUUUAUGAACUGACGUACUUUAAGAAAACAAUAUAACCUUUAGAAGCUCUACUUUCUUUGCUUUACUAGCCCUUUUGCACGUGCGAAAGUGUACUCCAUGCGACUUAAAAUUUUCUUAUUUUAUCUUUUGCACUUAGUUUCAUAACAUAUAUAUAUAUAUAUAUAUAUAUAAAAUAUAAAUGAUAUUCUAAAUUACUUUAAUCUAUGAGAAGGAGAAUCCAACUUGGAUACAAGGGGAACAGACUCACUGUUGUGGCCAACUACCCUAACCCUAUGUUUGAAUUAUCACCAUCUCCAUAAAGCUGACUUUAAUAACCUCUGACAAUAUGCAUGAAUCUAUCUCUGGCAAUUUCGUUUUGUGAAAUAAGUUAAAACUCUAAUUAAUUAAGACAGUACAAACAUGUAGAAACCAGAAAACAUGUGUCUACGAAGACAUUAUAGUUUCCAAGUAGAUUACAACGACUUCAGAAUAACACAUGAUAAUGUUGAUACAUAACAACAACAAACGUAAGCUGAGAUUGAGAGAACAAAGGACAUCGAAAGGUCAUGGGCAACACAUAGACAUAGCCAUUAAUUUUUGGAUGGGUGGGGAAAUAUGAUAUUGGUGUUCUUGGUUGUAGCCUCAUUGGACUUGGAGUUGGAGAGAGGGUGAAAAAGAGAGGCCAUAGAUCGAACCAUGGAAUCAAACAUCAUUCGCUUCACUGACCUCCUCUUUGCUGGAAUUACACUUGCAAAGUUAGAAAUCUUCGGUUUAAAGCACGUUGUGUUGUUGCCUGCAACCACUGCCUUACUUGGGUUCUUCUUCAUUUCCAAGUGACCUGUCAUUUCCUCAGAAAUCAUUUGAUCAGUUUGCAAGAGUGUGGGGUUUUGAGCAGCUGAUAUACAUAUAUAAAUAUAUAUAAAGUUAUUUUAAUGAAAACAUUUGUCUAGUGUUAUGGUUGGAUGACUAAAUGACUUCGGAUUAACAAAUCAUAUUGAUAUAUAGUUGGGCCCACUUGCACUAAAUGUUUGGGAUUAGUGCUACACAAAGAGAUGUAAGGAAACAUUGUGGGCCAGCUGAAGAUUAUAAAACUCUGCUUAUGCCCCUACCUGCCUCCUUCCUAAAUUCUAUCUAAGACUGAAUUACUCUCUCCCUCGUCCUCCUCGUCUUCGUCGUAGUCCAUGCACAACGGUCACCGUACGCAAAGAGAGUUGUUGCCUAAAUAUAUGGCAUGCUCAACAGAAUGUUUAAGGGAUGUAAAGAGGUGGGGGAAUAGAGUAGAAUUACUUCCUUAUUUUGAAUAUAAAUGAUAGUCUAAACUACAAUAGGGAGGAGAGUUUCACAUACACACUGACGUAGCCUAUGAAGAUUCGAAUCAAACACUCAUCUGCAAAUCAAUAGUAUUUUUCAAUGGGCUAGAUCUUGUUGGAUUUUCCUUUCAUUUUCUUUUUAGUUAAUUAGAUGGGGGUGAAAUUAGAUUCGCUCUAUAGUAAGGGCAAAAGUCUUUGCAGCCCUUUCACCCUUAGCUACUUGCAUGACAAAUGACAAUUUUCCCAAUUUACUUGUUCUUAUUCUGUUUAUUGGAGGAAAUGCAGGCGUGCCUGGGCAUAUAUUCAAACCAGACGAGUGGACCGGAGUCAAAUGAAAAUCAUAUAAUAUUCAAAUGCACAUAAAUUAUUAUUCAAAGGACUUUUCAAAUCAUAUUUUCGCAUAGUCAUAUAUUAUUUGACCUGUUUUGUUACAGGCGACAUUGGAAAUUGGCGCAAAGUCAAUUAACAACUGUUAGUAGUGAAUUAGGGCACAGAGCCAGAGUCGUUUUGAAAUCUUCAAAGAUUUUUAGAGGAUUUGUAUGACUUAAAAAAACGAAAGCAAAGAUUUGCAGUCUUGCAGAGGAUUUCUCUAUGAAGGGUUAAGAUCUUCUAAUGUAUACUCUCGCAAAAAAAAAAAGAAAAAAAGAUCAUCGAAAGCACACGAUUGUGGUAGCUUCUAAUGCGGACAUGCCAUAAAUUUUGUAAAUGUUGUACAUAUGGUACUUGAAAACAAGACGAGUUAUUAUUAUUAUUAUUUUUUACCUGAGUCAAAUGAAAUUCAUGUACUACUCAAGCUUCAUGAUAUUAUUUGGGCUCUGCAAAGUCAAAGCAUACGCAUUAACAACAGUUACUAGUGACCGUAUUUCCAAAGGAUUUGUGUGACCGUAUAAAACAAUGAAAGCAAAGAUUUGCAGAAGAUUUGUGUAAUCUUAGAACAAUCAAAGCAAAGAUUUUCCGUGUAGUCCUUCUUCUUUGGACAUGGACUUUGAGCUAUCAAAAGAUCUUGGGAGGGCCACACACAUCAUCCUCUAACAACUCAUUUUGAACUGCAGAGCCUUGUCCUUGCACUGAUGCAAUUCCCUUUCAUGCCAGAUUUUAUGUAGAUCUCAAUAGCACAUGCUCAAUCUUCUUCUUUUUUCUGUUGAUUUUUACCAUGUCACAUGGUCAACUAAUCAGUUAUGAUUAAAAUAGGUUAAAGUUCAAUCUCUUCCAAUGUUUAAGACUGAGGUGAGGUAGUUUCUAAUGCGGACAUGGCAUAAAUUUUUGUAACUUUUCCGACUAAAUUGAGAUUCUUUUGGUUUGGCUCAAAAAAAUUUCGGUUGUGAAAUCAAAGCUCAUUCAAGGAAUAUUAACUAUCAAACCAAAAACUUUUUCCAAGCCAAAUAAAUGGGUUCCGAUCGGUUUAGCCCUUUGAUUCUAAUCGAACAAAAUUCCGUUGGUUUCUAAAUUUAACAGUUUAUGGAUGUUCACUUUAGACGCUCUCUAUGUAUGAUAACCAUGCAAUAAGACUUUGGCAUAUACACCAUCUCCUAGUAGCAGAUAUUCAUAACCUCUCAAACGUAAGCUUCUUAGUAGAUAAUUCAAAUAGUUGCAAUUGGCAACCCCAGGAUUAAUCUACUAGUCUAUACCCUUAUUUGUCAAUGUAUAUGCAUGAAGGCUCUGGAAAAUUUUGUUUUGUGAAAUAAUUAAUCACUUAAAUUAAGACAAGUACAGACGAUUAGAAACCAGUAAACAUCCUAAUAUACUGCAAGAAUUUCAAAAUGACACGAUAAUUAUUUUGGGACAUGACCAUAUCUAUAUAGAUUAAUUGAGUCUAGCUAGGUGACAACAACAGCAAGAACAAUAGCUGAGCCUGAGAUUGAGAACAAAGACAUUAUUAAUUUUGGGAAGGGUCGCGAAAUAUGAUAUUGGUGUUCUUGGUUGUAGCCUCAGUGGACUUGGACUUGGACUUGGAGAGAGAGUGAAAAAAAGAGGCCAUAGAUUGGACCAUGGAAUCAAACAUCAUUCGCUUCACUGACCUCCUUUUUGCUGGAAUCACACUUGCAAAAUUUGAAGUCUUUGGUUUAGAGCAUGUUGUUUUGUUGCCUGCUGCAACCACUUCCUUACCUGGGUUCUUCUUCAUUUCCUCAGAUGGGUUCAGCUUUUCCACCACUUUGGUUAUCUUCUAAAAUUCUGCAAUGGAUUAUGGUUAUGUGUUUGUUGAGUUUGCAAGAAUGUGAUGGAGGCUUUGAGCAGCUGUUUACUUUAUAUACAGCAUUUUUGGGAACUACACAACAAAAGGAAGCAAGGAAACACUGUGGCCCGGUUGACCAUUGGGGACACACCAUUAACCCACCCACCCAUGCUAAGAAUUACAGGGUAGAAAAAGAAAUCCUAUUCCAAUUUUUCAUCGUGCAUAUUUAUUUUCUAUAAUAAAAUAAAAAAAUAAAAGCUCAAAACGAUAAACUGAGAGUGUAAACAGUGUAAAUCUCAGUGACUGUACAAAUUAAGGUCAUUUUAAGGGUUAGAUGGGUCAUUUGUCUGGUGGCCUUCAAUUACCUAGCAGUAAAAGUCUUAUAUUAAAGGCUUGGGCGGGCCAUGGAUUUGACAUUGUCUGUGCCUUCUUCUUGGAAAAAGCAUUAUUAGUUUUUGUGCGUUUGCAUCCUCGUCAUUCAUGUGUAACACAGAAAGUUUAGAGUCAAAAUAAUUGAGAUAUGAUAUGAUAUCAGCAAAAUACAUUUAACUUACUUUUUCCACACAAAGAAAUAAAUUAAAUCAGUAAUCUUUACCAAAAAAAUAAGAAAAAUGAAACAAAUAAUAAUAAUAAUAAUAAUAAUCAAAGACAAUAGAGGAUCUUAAUUACCACAAAGAAUUGUUAACCAAUCAUAGUAUUAGAGUGGGUUAGGCAGGGACAUUGUGGCGCGACUCUCAAAGUCUGUGGAGAAGGGGACAAAAAAAGCUUCCAAGAGACAAUGAGGAGGUGGCAAAUUGUGUGCGAGCUCGGAUUGUAAUUGAAAGGCCAACACCAAUUGAUCAAAACUUUGCACAGCAACAACAGCCAAAGGGGAAAGAAGGUGUGCCGCUGGUCUUCAGCUCUUUCGAAUAAAGGGAAAGAGAGCUGCCAAUGUUGAACCAAGAUUAUAUGUAUUUGUAGUAAUCUUUCCUAGUGUGAACAUUAGUAUGUGCACAAAUUUGGACAACGAUGAUAUUACGUGUGGGAGUAAAACUUAGUCCUCGACUCAAGAAAACAAUUCCUUAGCACCGUAAACUAGGGGGAGUGAAGCGACAUGAUUUUUAUUUUUAUUUUUUGAGAGAAGAUUGUAUUUCAUUAAACUGCAAGGAUUAGUAUGUUAACAACGGCCUCGUUAAAACCUUUUCAUAGAAAACAAAAUCCCAGGGUAGAAAAGAGUACCAUCUAUGCUAUUGACUAAACAGAAUAGUCAAACAAUUGAUACGAAACAGACAAACCUAAAACUCAAACACAAAACCCUUAAAACAACAUAUCGGCUAAACCUAUAGUGCCAAACCGGCUAAACAUGAACCCAACGCAACUCAACAUAUUCCCGUCAUUGCAACUCUAAAACCUAUGUCGAAGAAUGACAACGUGAGUCAAAUUCUUGUGUAUGUGGGUUAAAAGUUGACGAUGAUAAUGUUUUAUGGCGACUACUUCCACACUAUAAAACAAAAUAAUAAAGCAAGAUAAAUGGAAAAAUGGAGGGGAGGGGCAAAGGAGGAAGGCGAGACAAGAAUAACAAAAGAAAAUUGGCAAAGCCUAGACGAUGAACCAGGUUUAUUUUUUUAUAACUACCUUAUUAUUUUGGGUGGGUAAACCCUAAUCAUGACCUCAGGUGCUUUAAACCCAAAGCCUACUUUUAAGUCUACACCUUCUAGAAGUAGUAACAACACGUUAAAUUUUGCAGCUCACCGUGUGGAUGCUCUAGUGCUUUUCCCAGUUGACUUUUUUUUUUGGGGUGGUAAUUUGAGGAAAUGCAGUGCAACUUUGUUCAUUAUGAAUUCAUGGAAUGACAAGAGUGGACCUGAGUCAAAUGAAAUUAAUAUGAUAUUCAAGUCCCCCUACUAAUCAUUAAUUAAAGGAGGCAUAUAAUCAUAGUGAUAUUAUUUUAUAUGUUUUAUUAAAAUGGAGGAAGGAAACUUUGUACAAAAUCAAAGCAACCCCAUUAAAAUAUAAGCCCAAAGAUUUCCAGAGGAUUUAUAUGAUAUACAAUGAAAGAUUGAUUGGAUACUCAUUUUAGACUUCAUAACCUUGUCCUUGUCCACCAGAUGCUAGUACAUUUCGCGCAAGAUUUUCUGAAGAUUUCAGUAGUGUUAACUUUAUUCUAAAAUGGUGAAAUAAUUCGAUGGAAUUCAGUGUUUAUUCGUAAGGGCAACGCCCAAUAUUUGUACAAGACAAUGAAGGAAAUUAACCAAAGAUGAAAAUAUAAGUCUAAAAUACAAUCAGGAAAUGCAGGCAUGUUCCUUCCUUCUCUAAAUACAAUAAAGGCGUUAUUGCAUUUAGUGGGGGAUUCAGAAAUUUUUCAGGGAAAGAUGCAACAUUUAAAAGGCUAAAUUUUUUUUUAAAAAAAAAUGUUAGACAACCAAAUACUUUUAAAAUUUAAACAAUUCUAAUGACAUUUAUAACUCAUGAAAAAAAUAAAAUUAUAAAUGAAAAAGUAAAGAGCUGAGACGUUUUUAGUCCGACAAAGCGAAGCAUAAGCAUCAAAGCAUUAAUGGGUAAGCUUUUUGAGACAUAAAUUGUUUUGACAAGAAAACUUUACAAAUCUACUAAUUAUUAUUGAAGCAUAAUAAUCAGUUUAAUAUAAUCAAAUAUAAAUACUAAUUGUCAUCUAAGCGCAAUAAUCAAUCCCAAAAUAUAAAAUACUCAAUUGGCCAUACAAGAUCUAAAAAGGAGAGGGAACAUAAAAAUGAGAGAAAUAAACUGUAAAAGCCACAUGAAAUAUGACCUAAUAAUUAUCUUCAAGACGUUAUGUAUACUUAAAUUUGCACCGGAGAAAGCUUUGAGAGAUUUGUUAAUUGAUCAUGGCAUAAUAAUAAAAAGGUUUUUUUGGUUGGAGGAUAAUAAAAAGGUUCAAGCAGUAAUUUGCCAAAGGCAUAAUUGCAUCAAUACUGCGCGUUUCAUUAAAAGGAAACAAAAACAAUGCGAAGACGACGUCGUUUGCACUACAGAAAAAUGAAAACAAAAAAACCCUAGUCAUCUUCCUCGUUUGAAAGGCCUUGCAACACGCCUCAGGAAAGAGGGGCAUUGACUGCACGACUGGACCUAGCUAGUCAACUGAAAGCCAUGCAACAUUUUACCCAAAAAAAAAAAAAAAAAGCCAUGCAAUAUUUCCAGGACCCAAGUCCACAUGAAUUAUUAAAUUGUUUGACUGCUUUAGAACAGACAUGGAAAUUGUUUAUACCUAAUUAAACGGCCUAUUUCCACAGGACAUGUGGACAGGAUCCACUCUGAUCACAGGGCCCCUACGGCAUGCUCACUACCGAAGCUAUAUAUCUUGGCCCUUUUUACCAACAGACACGUGUCGUGUUCACAAUCCAUGCCUGGAGUCUCACAUCGGAAAAAUGAGCACAAAGCACACCUCCCAAGGUCUAUAUAAGGAGACCCAUAUCCCCAAAAGGAAAAGAAGAAGAACUAACGGUACGCUAUCGUGUGAUCUGUCAGUUAACCUUACUAAAUCCAUACUCAUUUAGGCAUCGGAGAGCCUUCGGCCGGUACCGCACCGGUACCCCAAGGAUUUACCGAACGCGUCCUUUUGCAGGUACUUGACCCUCUGGAGUGGACCACUUACCAAGGACAGGGACCUACCGAAGGGACAUUUUGACUAAGUUGACGAAUUACGUAUCAAACCACUUUUUCGCAUCAACAGUUUGGCGCCGUCUGUGGGAAACCAAAAAAUCAUCAACCCACAAUCCCCUAAGCACAUGGGGACCACUUCAAAACAAACGUUCCUAGCGGAAGAGGGGGUACCGUUCGGAAGGCAGAGCGGAGCUAGCCCAGCGCUACCUCCAAACACUCCCUUCGGAAAUGCCCCCGCUACCCAAACGGCUGCCGAAGUCGAGAUGGCAGCCCAAAUCGCAUCCUUACGGAAGGACAUGGCGAGGCUUCAGGAACACAACAACUUCCUUUCGUCCAAAGUGGACGAAACCCAGCAGUUGCUUCACCAGCAGCAACCGCAGAACAUACAGACAACUCGCUCUUCCGAGAGCUUGCAGAACCCCCGCGGGAAGAACAAACGCGCGAAGGUAGCGAAGGCAACGCCCGCACCUUCCAAAGAGUUAGUGGUUCCGGCACCCCGGGAUCAGCCGCACAUCCCAAGGAAGGUCUACACCGAUUGCCGACAUCGGAUUAACGACCGGGAGCAUCGCACUAACGAUCGGGAGCCAGAGAGAGAGGGGUCACCGAUCAGGAUUGGCGCUCGAAUAAGGGAAUCACGGAUGAAUAACCUAGGGGAUAAGUCGCCUAUUCGGAAGGUCAGGGGAUUGGGCCCCGCCGAGUCUUCGGAGUCCGAGUACAUCCCUUCCAAGACACUUCCCCCCGACUACCGUUCGGAAACACCAUCGCGGUAUGCGGGGGAUAAUUCACUAAACCUACAAAGACAAUCGGAAGAUUACGGUUCCGAAGAAGUCCCUAGCCGAGACCCCAUGAUCCGACUCCUUUUUUAGAAGGUCCAGAAAAUGGAAAAUGACAAUGCGCGCUCCCAAGAACCGGAAUGGGGAAAGCUUCGGCCCGGACCGUUCACAAGGCGCAUCCGGGAUUCUCGGCAAGACAGGGAAGUGCAGCAACUGCGUAUACCGUUCUACACAGGAACGGAGGACCCUUUGACACACCUCCAUUCAUUCCAGUCCGCUAUUGGAUGCAAGGGCUUGAGCGAUGAGGGGCAGUGCCUGCUAUUCCCGUCUUCCCUUACCGGGGCAGCCUUGAACUGGUUCUACCGUUUAGAGCCGGAAACGGUAGCAUCCUUUGAUGAGCUGAAGCAGAUCUUCCUCAAUCACUUCAUGAUCCAAACGGACCGUCUCUACUCCGCCGAUGAUCUGUACACGAUUCGGCAAAGGGAGGACGAACCGUUGAGAGAAUACGCGGCGCGUUUCAGUCACGAGUACUCAAGGUGUCCGGAAACGGAUGAUAGGGCAGCCUACGGCGCCUUCAAGAGUGGCCUUCGGUCCUCUCAUUUUCGAUACCUGGUGCACAGUAGCAACUGGCGCACGUACGAUGAACUGAUGAAGCAGGCAGCAAUCCACGCCAAGGCCGAAUACUUCAACUCGAAACCCACGAUUUCGGCACCGCAAGGAAAUGCGGAACCAAGUGCCUAUCCGGCAAGGGCAACGCCUUAUGAGCGAGUCGACACCUACUCGGCAGGUCAUAAGAGGAAGGAUGAUCGUGCAGAUCGAAGGGAGCACCGAAAGAAAGAAAAAGGGAGGUACAGUCGCAACGACAACCGAGCCCCCCUGCCGAAUCGGGAUCAUGGCAAUGAGGUCUUCACCCUGUUGAAUACUACCUACGAGGCCGUCCUGAUGAACGAACAGGAAAAAAUACCCAAGCCGAAUCAACGAAGGCCCAAUCGGCAAGACAACCGGGAUACCGGUAAAUUCUGCCGAUACCAUCAGCACAACAGCCAUAAUACAGAAGACUGCAUAAGCCUGAGGAAGAUCAUCGAACGCUUGAUCCGAGAGGGGAAGCUAGACCAGUAUAUCGCCCGGCAGCCAACGGCGCCGGAGCCGAACGCAAAUCGGCAGAUAAACAUGAUAAGCACUAUCAGCGGCGGCCCAACCAUCGCAGGACUGAGCAAUCGCUCGAUGAAGCAGUACGUGCGUGCCGCACAGUUUCCCCAGGUGUUCGGCAUAGAGGUGAAUCGCCACCAUGAAACACCGAAGGAUCAUUGGGAGCCAAUCACGUUUUGCAAAGAAGAGGAACAGGGCAUUCUCUAUCCCCACGACGACCCAAUGAUCGUCCGAGCAGAAAUUGCCGAUUACGAUGUAGGGAGAGUACUGAUUGAUACAGGGAGCUCGGUAAACGUAAUCUUCGCCAAAGCUUUCCGAGAAAUGGGAAUACAGGACAGCCAGGUCAACCGGCAGUUGACGCCUUUGCUAAGUUUCUCCGGGGACAUGGUCCAACCGGUCGGUAGCGUAACGCUCCCAAUUACCUUCGGCACCGCGCCAAAGAGAACGACGGUAUAUGACCAGUUCCUCAUCGUUGACUGCCCGACGGCGUACAACGUCAUUGUUGGGCGAACGACACUGACCAGGGUAAAGGCGCAUCUCUCCCCACACAUGCUGUUGAUGAAAUUCCCGACCCCAAAUGGCGUAGGAUCUGUCAGGGGAAAUCAUCUGAGCGCACGGACUUGCUACGCCACGGCGAUCAAAUCAACCUCUCUCAAAAUCCCAGACGAGACCAUGUCUGUGCAGGGGAUGCCGAACGGCAACGGACCAGUUGACGACCCAAGAGAUGAGUCACCAACUCCUCAUACGCAACCCGCCGAAGAACUGGAGACGAUAACCCUGAGCGAUGAACAGCCCGAUCGUCGGGUUAAAAUCAGUACCAGACUGACCCCCGCCCUCCGAGCGCAGUUUAUAGACUUCUUACGGCACCAUUCGGAAGUGUUCGCAUGGUCCUACGAAGACAUGCCCGGCAUAGACCCUGAAAUCAUCAGCCAUAAACUCAGCAUUUUCCCAACCUACAAACCUGUAAGGCAGAAGCGCCGUUCGUAUGAUGCCGAACGGUACGAAGCCAUGCGGACGGAAGUUGACAAACUUCAAACCAUCGGCUUCAUCAGGGAAGUUACGUACCCGGUAUGGCUGGCGAACUCAGUCAUGGUUCGAAAGGGUACAGGCGGCUGGAGAAUGUGCCAAGACUACACCGAUCUGAACAAGGCCUGCCCAAAAGACAGCUUUCCGUUACCCCGAAUAGACCAGCUCGUGGACGCCACGGCAGGACACGAGCUGCUCAGCUUCAUGGACGCCUAUUCAGGGUACAACCAGAUUUUUAUGCACCCCCCCGACAGCGAGCACACCGCCUUCAUCACUGACAGAGGGUUGUACUGCUACAACGUCAUGCCGUUCGGCUUGAAGAACGCGGGGGCAACAUAUCAGAGGCUUGUCAACAGAAUCUUCACCGAACACAUCGGCAGCAUCAUGGAGGUUUACGUUGACGACAUGUUGGUGAAAAGCAGAACAGCCGAAGAACACCUGCACAAUCUGUCUAUCAUGUUCGGUAUCCUGAAGGGCUACCGAAUGAGGUUAAACCCGAUGAAAUGCGCCUUCGGUGUGUCUUCCGGGAAAUUCCUCGGAUUCAUGAUUAGUCACAGGGGUAUCGAAGCGAACCCCGAAAAAAUAAAGGCCAUCAUCGACAUGGAGAGGCCAAAAACAACAAAGGACAUUCAAAGCCUUACCGGACGAGUGGCUGCCCUGACUCGCUUUAUAUCCAAGGCUACCGACAAAUGUGUACCGUUCUUUAAAGCCUUGAAAGGGGGCAAACGAAAUAUCUUAUGGACUGCCGAAUGUGAUAAAGCAUUUCAAGACUUAAAAGACUAUAUGGGCAGAGCACCUCUCCUGUCAAAACCACUGCCUGGGGAGAUUCUUUACCUAUACCUCUCGGUAUCUAACACUGCCGUCAGUUCGGUGUUAAUCCGAAAACCGGAGAGGGCAGAGCUACCGAUCUUCUAUGUCAGUAAGGCACUCCAGAGCGCUGAACUUCGAUAUCCCCCAUUAGAGCAGCUUGCACUAGCCCUGGUGAUCUCGGCACGAAAACUUCGGCCAUACUUCCAAGCACACGGGAUCAAAGUCCUGACAAACCAACCGCUUCGGCAAGUACUCCAAAAACCAGAGACUUCCGGCCGAUUGAUCAAGUGGGCGAUUGAACUCGGAGAAUUCGAUAUACAAUUCGUGCCAAGGCCAGCCGAAAAGGGUCAGGCCAUUGCCGAUUUCAUCUCCGAGCUCACCCCACCAACGACACAGGAAAUACCCGAGCCAGUUACCGAAACCGCAGCACCGAUGGAGGUAGACGCCGAACGGCUCGACGCCUCAAAUCCUGUAUGGACUCUGCAUGUCGACGGCUCGGCAAACCAACAGGGGUGUGGAGCAGGGUUGGUUCGGACAACACCGGAGGGACUCAAGAUCGAGUACGCCCUCCGAUUCAACUUCCGAACCUCCAACAAUGAAGCAGAAUAUGAGGCUCUCUUGGCCGGCCUUCGUUUAGCCAAGAGCAUGAACGCAAAACAGAUCAAGAUACACAGUGACUCCCAACUCAUUGUGAACCAGGUAACGGCGGACUUCGCCGCCAGAGACGCCUCCAUGAACGCCUACCUUUCGUCCACCCACCAGCUGCUCCAGAGCUUCCGAGCCUAUGAGAUCAAACAGAUCCCCAGGAGCGAAAACAGUCAUGCCGAUGCUUUGGCGCGACUAGCCUCGGCAAUCAAUGACAAAAUCGGAAGAAAGGUGCCGGUGGAAAUUCUUGCCCAACCAAGCACGGCAACCUCCGAAAUAUGUACCGUACGGUACGAGGAUACGUGGAUGUCCCCUAUCUACUCAUACCUAACCAACGGCACCCUUCCAGAGGACAAGGCCCAGGCCUGAAAGCUUAGAUACCGAUCGGCAAGGUACACCGUCAUCAACGACGUCCUUUACAAACGUGGCUACACGACUCCGUAUCUCAAGUGCCUUACGGCAGAGCAGGGGAGCUACGUUCUCCGGGAAAUCCACAAUGGUGUUUGCGGCGAUCACUCUGGGUCCCGGUCACUCGCACACAAGGCCUUUCGGCAGGGAUACUUCUGGCCGACCAUGCACCAGGACGCCAAUUCACUUGUGAAGAAAUGCGAUAAAUGUCAGCGUUUCGGCAACAUACAGCAUAUCCCCGCCGAACCCUUGACACCGAUCGUGAGUCCUUGGCCUUUCGCACAGUGGGGGCUAGACCUGAUCGGUCCGAUGCCACAAGGUAAAGGCCAGGUGAAAUACGCUGUGGUUGCCGUCGACUACUUCACCAAAUGGGUGGAGGCCGAACCUCUUGCAACCAUAACGGCAGCAAGAGUAGAGGACUUCGUCUGGACUCACAUUUGUUGCCGUUUCGGUAUCCCGUACGCAAUCAUCACCGACAACGGCAGGCAGUUCGAUUCGGAACUCUUCAGGCACUUUUGCACCCGCCUGAAGAUCAACUUGUUUUUCGCAUCACCGGCCCAUCCCCAGUCGAACGGUCAGGUAGAAGCGAUAAACAAAAUCAUCAAGAAACUGCUAAAACGGCAGCUGGACAAAGCCAAAGGAGCCUGGCCAGAAAAGCUUCCCGAAGCGCUCUGGGCCAUUCGGACUUCUUACCGAACGUCCACAGGAGAAACCCCUUUCUCUUUGGCUUUCGGUUCGGAAGCCGUUGUGCCGGUAGAAAUUGGCGAACCUUCCUACCGAACGGAAACCUUCGCACCAGAACCAAAUGAAGAAGCACUUUCUCUAAGCCUCGACCUCCUGGAAGAGCACCGAGCACAUGCCAACCUUCGGAACGAAGCCUACAAGCAACGCGUCUCUCGGUAUUACGACUCCAGAAUCAGACACCGUUCAUUCCGAGCCGGUGAUUGGGUCAUGAGGAAGGUGUCCCUAGCAACUAAGGAUGCCACGGAAGGAACCCUCGGACCUUCCUGGGAAGGACCUUACGAGAUCAUCGGUAUCCUUCGAUCGGGAACCUACCGCCUAAGAGACUCCAACGGCAAGACCCUCGGUCAUCCUUGGAACGUAGAACAUCUCAAGUACUAUUUCAAGUAACCUAGCCUACGGCAGGACAGAGUUGCAACCUAGCCUACGGUAGGACAAAAUUGUAAAUGCCUUUCGGCAAAGAUAAAUAGAAAGCCUUCGGCACUAUUGCUUCAGAAACUCUUGUUACAGUCUCUACUAGCCUACGGCUGCCAAUAUAAGCAAGAUAACGUUCUGGGGCAUCUCUACUAACCUACGGCAGGAGGUAUUUUCGAAACUGUCACCCUACAGAUUCCAUCGGAACUUGACAAUUUCGAAAGCUACUUCUAUAACGUUAUAAAUCCUAUCGGCGAUAAAACAAAAUCAAAUCGAAAAGACAAAAAUAGACAAAAUAUGCACAUCUAAUUUAAAGAUGCCCUCGGCAUCAAGGCGUUCGGUACAGAUACAAAAUAACAAUAAAAAUAAGACAGGCUAAAACUAUUACAGAGGCCCUCAGGCUUCGUCAGCAGCAGCAUCCUCCCCCUCGUAGUCUUCGAUCAUCUCCUCAGUUAUUCCCUCGGGAAGGGGAGGGGGAUCGGCAGCGAAGUUGAGGUUCAGCUUCUGACCAGGGUUGUACCGCUUGAAUCGGUACAACAUACCCGCCAUCUCAGAGCCAACUUCCCUGUCCAGGAGGACAGUGAACUCCUCGGAAGAACGGUAUCCCUGGAUUGCCGUUUGAACGGCAGCCUCAACCUCCGCAGCCUUGGUCCGCUCGGACUCCUGCAGAGCGUCCUGAACCGCCUUCGAGACGGCCUCGGCAUCACGCGCUGCCAUCCGCGCUGCCUCCAGAGCCGCCCGCGCUGCCUCCAGAUCGGCCCGCAUCUCGCCGACCGUCGCCUCCGAAGUGAGAGCCCGCCGUUCGACAGCCUCUUUCUCUUUUAGCAGCUGGGCGUGGUCCUGGAUAGCCUUUCCAGCCUCGGCAACCUUAGCCCUGCCGUCGUCAUAGGCCUUUUUUGCCCGUUCGGCAGCGGAGAUGUGGCUGUGUGCCCGCUUGACACACAGCCACAUCUCCAUGGACGCCUGCACACGAGGAAGAUAGUUUGAAGCCCCACUUGGCACCGAAAAAAAAAAUAAUGAAAGGACAACACCGGGAGAUAAAUUCUUACCGCUGCUUGCAGUCGGAAGGCGCGUCCAGCCUGCUCCCGAAGAACCUUCUUCGGCAACUCGUCAACCUCCGGCAGCUCCAUCUGAGAACCGAGGAUCAUAUGGUCGACGAAUUGCACCGUCUUCGAGGGGCAAGCGAGAGUGACGGCCUCGGUAGGCCCAUCCUCGUCCUCCGCCGCAAAGACGGCCCUGGAAGCGUCUGACGGACGGCUUCGCUUGGACGCCGGAGAAGUUUCCAAGUCCACCGUUAUCGGCCGCUUCCCGGCAGCCCUUGAGGCGACGACAUCGGCGACGGCAUGCCUCGGCGCAUGGGGAUCGACAGCCGGCCUUGCGACAGGCUCAGCGCCCAACUGCCGCAUACGCUCAGUGAGGGUCACCUCCUCGGGGUCCGCCGACGACCGAACGGCAGGGGCCUCGAGCUGCUUCUUUUUCUUAUUGCCCUCGAGGCCCAUCAUGAGGCGCCUCCUGGAAGAUUCGUUCAUCUUCUUGGCCUCGGCAGCCCUCCUUGCGUCCGUCACUGGCCAAAAACAAUCAGUCAGUCGGCAAGCACACAAAAAAAAGAGAAGAGGAAGAAAAGCGCAACAAGUACACUUACUCUCGGCAGGGUCGACGAGCCCGGCUCUGAUGAGAUUAUUGGUGAAAAGGAAGCGCGGGUACACUCGCUCGGCGGCAGGGACCUUCAGCCUCACCCUGUCGAUCUGCCGAAUCUCGUCUUGUGUAGGAGUCGGCUGCUUGAGUUUGCCUGUUCGAAUAAAGAAUGAGUGAGCAAAUAUAAAAAGAAAACAGAAAGGCAACUAGGGACCUGCCGAUCGGUAACUAGGGACCUACCGGCGGUUUGGAAAGUCGUUGGUACUGGGGACUGCGGGCGUACUCCUGAUGGCGAUUCCCAUUGGCCAGAGAGUAGCACCCGCCGAUUCCUCCACGACUUCUGGGAAGUCGGCACCGAGCUGACGAAGUGACCUCGCUCGGAAGCCUUCAGGCAGUUCGCCUGAACCCAGCCACCAUGGUCGGCACUCUUCGACUUAGUGACGCUGUAGAGGUAGGAGAAUUGCUCGUAGGAAGGCUCCCCCUCCCCGGCAAUCCCAAAGGCCGUUAUCACCCCCAUCAGGGCCACCCAAAAGUUGGGGUUAUAUUGGCCCGGGGCAUACCCAAUCUGGGCAAGUAACUUCUGAACGGCAGGCUGCAACGGCAACCUGACCCCCUGCACCAGCAUAUCGGUGAAGAAGACGACUUCACCAUCCCCAGGGUCGCUGAGGGACUCGACCGGGCUCGGGACCCUCAUCUUCACCGAGUCAGGAAUGAGGUAUUCGGCCCUAAUCUUUUGAAGCUCCCGUUCGGUAAGUUUGUUCGGCCCCAAAUAAUCAACCCCGAACAGGGUCUUCUGCGGUAUGCCCACCGGUAUCCUAUACCGCUCUCGGUGGACGAUCGUAACUCUCGGCCGAGAGGGACCGGCAACACACUCAUCAUUGCCGGAGGUGGAAGCCUCUGGCUGGUGCUCAGACGGCACGACACGGGUACCGUCCCUGUACACCGCGACCAGGGGUAACGGGUGCCCCGUCAUGAACCCCUUACCGAUGCCGUGGGUGGGAAUGGAAUCCGCCUCCUCACCGAAUAGCUCGGCAUCGGAGUCUUCCCCGCCCUCGGCGCCGAGGCUCACGGCCUCGCUGGACGUACCCCAGCCGGAGGAUAGCUCCCCGUCGAAAGCGUUGGGCUCAUCGCCGAACGGUGACUCGCUAUCGGACAUCUACAAAACAAGAAAAAGGGAAAAACUAAGGUGCGUGCUGCGCUAUCCUACAGAUACCUACUUCUCUACCUAUGGCCACUAGACUACCGACGGAAGAUCCUACUUAACGAUCGGCGAGCCUAUGCCAUAUACAGAAGUAUAACAAAAUUCAGGGGUACCGAACGGUAUCUUACCUUGAGUGCUAUGAAAAUCGCCUAGCUUGCCGUUCGCACGCUUCGAAAAUCGCCUAGCUUGCCGUUCGCACGCUUCGAAAAUCGCCUAGCUUGCCGUUCGCACGCUUCAAAAAUCGCCUACUCAAGAGCUCUCGCGCAAACUCACAAUUGCAAAGUGAAUUUUUUCAUACAGAGCAACCUCUAUUUAUAGAGGGAGAACUGUAACGGUGCGCCUCGGGAGACGAAACGGCUCAUUAAUGCACCAACAGGCGUGUUAUUGCUGGCCACGCGUCACCCGGCAAAUGGCGCCUCUAUCGGCGCGCCAGGCACGGAAGACGAAGCGUCUCUCUGCCCUCUCGCCUCUCAACAUUGGCGACCCUUCAAGUCCCCGACCGAUUUUCCCAGAACACUACUUUCCGAAAGGAACAACUCAAGCGCCUUUCCUCCCCCAAAAUGAGCAUGCCGAACGGCAGGAGAACCUCCGAACUACCAAGGAAAACCAAAUUCCCUUCCGAAGAACCUUCGAAAGAGAACUUGAAGGACUACUGUUUAUACCUAAUUAAACGGCCUAUUUCCACCGGACACGUGGACAGGAUCCACUCUGAUCACAGGGCCCCUACGGCAUGCUCACUACCGAAGCUAUAUAUCUUGGCCCUUUUUACCAACAGACACGUGUCGUGUUCACAAUCCAUGCCUGGAGUCCCACAUCGGAAAAAUGAGCACAAAGCACACCUCCCAAGGUCUAUAUAAGGAGACCCAUAUCCCCAAAAGGAAAAGAAGAAGAACUAACGGUACGCUAUCGUGUGAUCUGUCAGUUAACCUUACUAAAUCCAUACUCAUUUAGGCAUCGGAGAGCCUUCGGCCGGUACCGCACCGGUACCCCAAGGAUUUACCGAACGCGUCCUUUUGCAGGUACUUGACCCUCUGGAGUGGACCACUUACCAAGGACAGGGACCUACCGAAGGGACAUUUUGACUAAGUUGACGAAUUACGUAUCUAACCACUUUUUCGCAUCAACAGAAAUCUUCAGAAGAUCGGAGCAUUCUCAUUGAGAAGAAGAAGACGACUAAAUUGCUAGCCCAAGAAUGCGUGGACAAUCUUCAUAAUUGUUACCAACUGGAAGUAACUUUCCAAGAAUAUAGCAAUCUAAGAAAUUAAGGGGAAAUCUUGAAAACUGGCAUUUUUCUUAAAAAGUAAAAAUAAAAUCACUUUUAGUCAUUCUUCUUCCUGUACAGCAGAUGCCAGCCAUUUUUCCAGUCAUGUUGGAUUUUCUGUAGGCCCCAGGGGAACAUACCCCAAUCUCAUAGAAUCAUGCUUGAUUCCCAUAUCAUAGAAAGACAAAAUAGUAUUUGGACAGUAACAUAUUCUGCUUUACAAAUAAAUAUACCAUAACUAAGUUUUCAUCUUAUGUUUGCCAACCAUACAAUUGAAAACCUGUCAUAUAUCUUUAACUUUGUUUGAGACCAUACCAGGAUUUCCCAAAGUGAGCACCUUGUUUUAAGCACAUAGGUUUUCAAAAGGGUAGAGAUAAGUUGUUAUUUUGAUCCAAUCAUUGCAUUUACGGGUUCUAGUUUACUUUACGUCAAAAUACCUAACUUAAGUAAGAAAUUUUAUAAUUUAAUUUAUCAAUAGCUUUCGCUUUCACGAAUAAUCGUGUUCAAUUAUUUCAUUUCUAAUAUGGAUUGCAAGUCUUAAUUUUACUUGAACUUACUUAAUAUCAUAUAAUUUGUUAAUAAUGACAUGCAUUUAAAAUUUAUUUUAGUUUUUUGGCUGGCUUAAAUCACUAAGAAAAUUUUGCCCAUGUAUUCCAUACUGCUAUUGAGAUGGCUCCCCUCGUGAUCUUUUUCCUAUUUUUUGUCCGUAUGCUCUAAUAAACUUCUAUAGCGUUUUUUACCAAAAAAAAAAAAAAAAGCUCCCUUUAAUCUCGUGCGGUACCCAACCAAAAGGAAAGGUUGUUGGAAAUGCAUCACUUAGUUUGGGAACACGCGUCAAAGGUAGAAGCGUACGUUCGUUUUUGUUGCAAGAAAGUGUACUUGCUUUAGAAUAAAAAAGAAGACGAAUAAUAUUUCUCAACAUUUGACGGUCCCCAGAUGCUAAUAAAUUAAUAAUGACCUUUUUAAUUUCCAAAGAACCCCCUCUUUUGCUAAUAUUCGUUUUUAGCUAAAUAAAUAGCUUUAAUAAGCAGGUAGUUGAAAUUGGCAACCACAUGCAAGAAUUAAUACCUCAAAAAAAUUCGAUUUGAAUACAUGAAUUAGGAACAUGGUAAGCCCCAAUGCUACACAUUAUAUAUCAAUUGGGCAAUUGAUUAGAAAUGAAUAAUUAAAACUUUAGUUACACACGCACAGACAAGAAAACAUUACAUGCCCUUUUUAAUAGUAUUAGGGCAAAUUCUGAUACACGACCAUCGCAAGGACUUAUUUGGUAUUUAUACAAUUCUAUUGAUUUUUGAUUGUAAAAUAAAACACACAAUUAGUCCUAUGAUAUGGUAUCAGUCUUGUUGGGAUCUGAUGAACGAGGGAGAGGAGGGUGAGGAGGGAGAGAAGAGGACACAGAUUGGACAAUGGAAUCAAACAUCAUCUUUUUCACUGACCUCCUCUUUGCUGGAAACACAGAUGCAAUCUUUGGCUUCUUCUUCAUUGCCUUCUCUGGCUCUGGGUUGACUGAUGCCAUUUUCCUCACUUGGGUUGCUCAGUUUUACCACCAAUUUGCUCUCUGCUUUGUAUUUGUGCUGCAGUGUUUAUGUGUUUGAUAAUGAGGCUUUAGGCUCUUUAUAUAAGUAAAAAAAAGGGGUUGCAACUUGCAGGUAAAAUUUGUGGGGCAGCUCAGUUUUGAAGCAUCAAAUUUGAUUGACCAAUCCAU